This 103406-nucleotide long non-coding RNA is filed under the name Citrus sinensis (sweet orange). RNAcentral's name for it is "long non-coding RNA (CSIN_LNC002323)". The record is from RNAcentral. Lineage: Eukaryota; Viridiplantae; Streptophyta; Magnoliopsida; Sapindales; Rutaceae.
CAGUAAGAUGUGUUUGGUUCAAGUAUAAAAUGAUGGGAUUGGACAAUUUUAAGAUUAAAUAAUCCUAAUGCAAUGUUUGGUACCAAAAAUAAUUGUGGGAUAAAAAUAGUGGACCCCACCAUUUAAUCCAACACAAUGUCAAAAUUUUAUCACAAAGGGGGGUGUGGGAUAAGCUAAAACUUAAACGUAGGAUAACAAAAAAAAAGCCCAAAAUUUUAUACAACACAGUGAUUUUUUUUUUUUUUUGAGUAUGUCAUCAUCCAAUGAUAGUAUAUAUGCCAGAACACUCUUUUGACGUUAAUGAUAUGUAAUAUUUUCAUAUAUACAGCUAGUGACAUUGUUAUGUAAUUUCUUUUUCAUUUAUAGAUUUAUAUUAUUAUUAUAUUUGUUGAUGAUAUUCUUGUUAUGUUUAUAAUUAUAUUAUUUAGUAAUUUAUAAGUUUAAAAACUAUAACAUGUUAAAUAUAAGAAAAACUUUAAGCGAAGAUUUUGUAUUUUUUAACAAAUUUACCAAUAAUUUUUUAUUUAAGUUAGAUUAUAUUCCAUGUCAUUUUAAAAUAAAUCUAAGAUAAUUUUGAUAAAUUAAUAAAUAAGACAUAUUAUUAGUUACUAACCAAUUUCAUGGCAUACCAAACAUGAGAUAUGAUUAUUUACAGUCUAAUCCAACAUUGCACCAAACGUAAUAGAGUAUUAUAUAUAAUCCAAUGUUAUCAAAUCCAAUCAUAUCUUAUCCAAUCCGAUCCGAUCCAGUCUAAUCCAAUUUGACAUACCAAACAAGCCCUAAUUAUGUUAAAAACUACAUCAUUACCAAACUGACCCUUAAUACAAUCUCAUACAUACAUACAUAUAUAUAUAUAUAUUAAAAAUUAAAAAUUAUCUUUAUUUAGUUAGGAAAUAAAACCAUUAUAUUUAAAUAGAUUAAUAUUAUUACUAAUUAUAUUCAGAUAACAAAAUUAAUAAAAUAAAAAUAUUUGUUUGAUUUAUCAAUUAUUAUACACACAUAUUUAUAAAUGCAUGCGUAAAUAAAAUUUUAUAGAUUUAGGCCAAGGCGGAUGUACGGUACAGCAGUAUCUUUAUUUAGUUAGGAAAUAAAACCAUUAUAUUUAAAUAGAUUAAUAUUAUUACUAAUUAUAUUCAGAUAACAAAAUUAAUAAAAUAAAAAUAUUUGUUUGAUUUAUCAAUUAUUAUACACACAUAUUUAUAAAUGCAUGCGUAAAUAAAAUUUUAUAGAUUUAUGUCUAUUUAAAUCAUUUGCAUUCUUAUAACAUUUUAAAAAAAGAAAAGAAAAGUGAUUUACCAAAUACAUGUAAUUGUUCUUCAAACUUACAACACUUUUAAAAUAGAAUUUAAUAAAUGUUUAAUUAAUUUUUUCACAGCUGAUUAUUUUUAUGGUAUAACUAACAAUAAUCUAUAAACUUAUGGUAAAUAUUUGUGUGAAUGUUGGUCCAUGUAAAGAAGUAAAAACAACGCAUAUAUCAAGCAAUAAGAUAUCAAAACUCUUAGUAAAAUACAUAUACUAAUGAAAGAAUGACAGCAAUGCAAUAAAUAAGAUUAUAAUAUAAAUUAUUAAAAUUGUAUAUUAAAAAUUGAUGUAUGAAAUUCUUUUUAUUUUAGUGAUAGAUAAUGUGAUAUAUUUGAAUAAUUUGAUUAAAUGAAAAGAAAAAUAACAAGUAUGGUUGUGGAGGAAAUAAACCAUUGAACUGUGGAAUGUUAUUAAUUAUUGCUAUUUCAUUAUGUAACGUCCUGAUAAUAAGUACAGUGUUAUAGUAUAUUGAUGGGUGGUGAUAUUGUCACCCCUUAAAUUGUGUAAAGUCAACCUCAUUUACAAAUUUUUUGAUAUAAAUUAAAAAGUACAUUAGUUUUAAUAAAUUAUAUAUUUAUUGAAUAAACUAGAACCGUUAGGGAGCUGUAAUGUUAGCACUGUUUUAACUUAUUAUAAAAAAAAAAGUUAUGAUUUGAUCAUAACUCUAAUUUAGAAAAGAAAAAAGAGUUGAAUUGCUAACAUACUUAAAAAUAAAAUAAAAACAUUAUUAUUAGAUGAAAAAUUGUAAAACUUAAGGGGGCAUUUGCAAGUCCGCCACUACUCAAUAGAGCAUUAUUCAGUACUCGUUAAUAUAUCUCGAACUUUUAGGUUUUUUUAAUAUAUUUUUAAUACAUUUUCUAGAACAUUUAGAUAAAAAGAGUCAGUACUCCAAUUGAGUUGUGAAUAAACAUUUAGAUAAAAAGAGUCAAUACUCCAAUUGAGUUGUGAAUAAACUCAUGUUAAAAAAAAAAAAACUCAUUUUCACACUUGAAACGAUUAGUAAAUGGGUGAUACGAAUUUAACUUGGUCAAUAAUAUAUACCAUCUUAAGUUAACUUCAACUCAUUGAUCUUCUAUAGGGUUGAUCAGCCUGCCACAAGGCCCACAAAUUAUCACCUCUAAUGCUUUUGCAACAGUCGUUAUAAAUGCUGACAAAAUGAAACUUCUAUAUAUUUUGGUUUUUUUUUAUUUCUAUGAAAUAUAAGGCCCUUAUGGCAAAUUUCCAUCCAGCGUGAAAUUUGCUAGUUUGGCCUUGGUACUGUGGCACAUGCGUCAUGCAUGCGUGGCUGAGAUGCUUCUAAAACUAAUAAAUUAUGAAGAAUUCCAAAUUCGUACCAAAAAUAAGAGAAUAGGAGCUUGUCAUAGGUGUCCGCGGAUCGGAUUUUAUGGGUUAAACAUUAAUUCAUAUUUGAUUCGUGAUUUUGUAGAUUAUAAAUUUUUAAUUUAAUUCAAUUUAUGGAUUAGUGAAACUCAAUACAAAUUCAAUCCAUAUAUAUGCAAAUUAGAUGCGGAUUUAACCCAAUGCAUAUUCAAUCCAUCAUUUGGCGGAUUGAUUUGCAAAUUAAAAGUUUUUAAUUUUGUCCAAUCUAAAAAGUAAUUAAAUUAAAAAAAUCUAAUAUAUAAAUAAUUGAUUAAAUAAAAAAAUCUAAUGUAAAAAUAAUUUUACUACCAAUUAAAUUCAAAAUUGAACAAGAUUUAAAUAAAUUUAGAAUAAUACAUUCAAAAUUUUAAAAUAUAACACACCGAAAAAAAAAUUCAUUUAUUUAGAUCAAUACAUGAAAAUUAACUAAAAUUAUGAAUUUAAAUGUUGAAACUUGAAAGCUUGGAUGUAACAGGAAGAAUUUAAGAAACUUGAAGAGCUUGAAAAGAAAGUAAGAAAUUAAGUUUAAUUACCUCAAGUGGUGAAGUGAAACAGUGAUUGGCUUGUGCGUGCGGUGGGAUAGAGAUUUGGUGUUAUAUGUCAAAAUAUUUUGUUUGGCUUGGGGUUUUUGUUUUGCUUUAGAAAUUUUAAUGUUUAGGAAACUAUAUUUGCUUAUUUAAUUAUUUCUUAUUUUAUAUUGUUAUCGAAUAAAAUAUAAUAUUUUGUUAAUUUAGCUAUAAUUUUAUGCUGAAUAUAUUUAUUUAAAACGAUUUUAUUAAAUAAAUGUGCAUAUUUAACGAAGGUCUCUGAAAUUUCAACCUGCCUGCUAAUGAUAGCCAAUACGGCACGACCCACCAAAUGUCGGCCCACGCGGGCUUGUGGGCCAUGACGACUUUUUUUGUAAGGGCCCGGCACGGCCCACGGCACGAGUCCGUGCCCAAAAAAAGCCCACCUACCUUUUUUUUUUUUGUCCACAUGUUCAGCGUGCCUAAAAAAACCCACGUGCCUGACGUGCUUUUUUAAGCCCACCAGCCUAAUAGUAACAACAACAACAACAAUAAUAAUAAUUUCAUAGAAAUAAUUAAUGAAAAAUAAAAUAACAAUUCUAGAAUAACAAUUACAUCUAAUUUUAUUUGAACAACUAAUAUUAUAAUUGCACAUAAACUCUAUUGAAUGAAAAUGUAAUUUUUAAUUUAUUAUAAAAAUAUUUUGUUCAUAAUUUUAUUUUUUUGUGCGUAAAUAUGAAAAAUAUUUCAUUCACAAAUGAAACAUAUCUCCAUUAACUAUUAACUAAGUUAUGAUUUCAUAAAUGAAAUAUUAAUGUCGUAAAAUUUUUUAUUUAUCAUUUAUAAAAUCAUGAUAUUUAUUUAUCCAUUUAAUAAAUUAUAAACAUAAAAAAAUUAGAAUACUUAUUUAAACUAGGACUUAAAUUAAUUUUAAAAAGCCUAUACUAAAAAAAUAUAUUAAAAUUUUUAAUUUCAAGGUAUUUAUAAAAUCAUGAUAUUUUAUAUUUAUUUUUCAUUAAAAAAUUUUAUUUUGAUAUACUUUGGCCCACGUGCUAUUGGUGGCCCACGGGCCGCGUGCUUAGCCCACCAAUAAAGUGUGCUUAUUACAUGCCUUUUCGCGUGCCGUGUUUUGCCCCAUCUCUAAUCAUACCGUGCUUUUAAGGCCUGCGUGCCUAAAAUUCUAGGCCCGCCAGCCGUGCCGUGCCGUGCCGUGCCUCGUGCCGCCUGGCCCAUUGGCCAUCCCUACUGCCCGCCAACCACAUUUGUCCAAGAUCAAUUUGUAGGAAAAAAAUUUGAAAAUCAAUAAUUUAUUUAAUUAAUUGUUAAUGUAGGCAUUUGAAUCCCCACAAAAUCUGGGUGUCAGUUCUAGACUUCUGGUGAUAUAUUUUUCUAAUUAAGGAAUAAAAUAUUUUUGUCAUUUUUUUAAUAUUUUAAUUUACCAGGCAUAUCAACUAAUUAAUUUUUCUACUUAGACUAUUAAUUCAUUACGUGCGCAAUCUGUAGCCCGGCGCUCCAAUCCCAUGCAUGUUACACACAACUCAAUCAUUAUUUAUUUAUUUAUUUAUUUUGACCAACAACUCAAUGUUUUUUAUAGAGCUGUCAAAAUUUGACACGACCCGAUUACCCGACACGAACACGACAUAAAUAAAUGGGUAUGGGUCGUCAAAUUUAACACGAUUAUUAAAUGGGUCGGGUCCGGGUCAACACGAUUUUUUUCCGUGUCGGGUUUUGGGUUAAAAUUCUUGACCCAUUUACCCGAUCAAUGACCCGAUUAUAUUUUCUAUUUUAAAAUAAUUUACAUAUUCUUAUAAUUAAAACUCAAAUAUUAGAGAUGAUUUUCUUUUUUUUUAUUCUUUAAAAGGGUGAUAUAUUUUAUAAUAUCGAUAAAUUAUGUAUGUAUGUAUUUAUGUACAUACGUAUGUAUGAUAGUGUGGAAAUAUUUUAUGUAACUUUUGUUCAAUAUAUAGAUAUUAAACGGGUUAUUGGGUAACCCGAUUAUUUUUCCGUGUCGGGUUUGGGUCUCAAUAUUUUGACACGAUUAUUAAAUGGGUCGGGUUUGGGUCGACCUAAAUUUGACACGACACGAAACUGACACGACAUGAACACGACCCGAUGACCCGUUUUGCCAGCUCUAGUUUUUUAAUAUGAAAAGGUAUUGGUUAGCUUUGUCUUUAGUUUUUUCAACUUAUAAUAAGUUUGUAUUAAGGCUCCCUUUGGUACAGAUUUUCAAGUAAAACUUAUUUAGGGUUAUUUUUAGGGACCUCCCCUGAGGUUUGGUGUAUUAACAAUCUGAUAGAAAGUAUUCACGUAAUUACAAAGACCUCCCCUGACAUUUGUAUUAUGUUAAGUGGACUGUUAUUGACUAUUGAAAAUCCAAAAAUACCCUUCCUGCCAAAAUAUUUCUUUAUUCACUGAUGAACUGAUGGGUAAUUCGUGCCAAAAUCACAAAUUACUUAAGAAGAUGAAAAUAUCCAUUGGAUAAAAAAAAUGAAAUUGCUUAAUAAAAAAAUUGACAUUGCAUAAUAAUAAAAAAAAUUGAAAUAAUGUGCGGCGGCAUAGCUGCAUCUUGCAUGCAUAUUAUUAUUGUGAUUUUUUUAUUACAAACUCCAUCCUGCAUGCUUAUUAUUAUUGUGAUUUUUUUUAUUACAAACUACUUCAUAACUAAUACAUGCCACAAGAGCAGAGCUAUUAAAAGAAAUGAUUUUCAUAUUGUAAACUUGAUAGUACAGGUGUUGGCACCGACCAUAAAACCCUUAUGAUACCAAUCUUUGCUCCAUCCAUAUUUAAAUCCAGAUCAAGUAAAUAUUAAAUUGGAUUUCAGGUCCUGAAAAUCCCACUCUAUAAUUGAUAUCUUCGAGUUUUGUUGGUGCCUCAAACCUGGAUCUAGAGCAUCAUCUCUGUCAUACUCGGAACACCUAAACUAAUGGACUUGCUGCAGCUGCUUAUUCUUCUUCUGAAAUGAUGCACGCAGAUAGAUUACAGACUUUGAAAUAAGAAAUACAAUAAACAACAUGUAAUCGAACUUAAGAUUUCGGCAAACUUGUUUGAAAAUUAGAAUCAAACAAGGAAAAUGGCAAGUCAAUAUUUUUUAAUCUAGAAAAAGGGCAAUUUCAAAGUUUAUCACAUGCCAAAUUCAUAGUCUUGCAUCCACUAUUUUCUAGUUUGAAUAACAAACAAAAGCCUUAGACAAAAACACAGAGAACAUCUCACAUGGGAGCAAAAAUUGUGUGUAGAACAAUAUACUUAAGUUACAUGUGAUUACAAUCACAUUAUUUAGCAAAUACAAAAUUACCUUCUCAAAAAAAAAAAAAAAAAAAAAAACACCACCAAAUUAUUGAAGGUAUUACAACAAUAAGGCAAAAGAACACCAAAGGCAUGCACAAACCGAAACUAACACACAACUCAAUUAGUGUCAUGACCCCAAACUGAACAAUCAUAUAAACCAUUGUGGGCUCUCUAAAAGAUUAUCACAUUAUAAGCAAACAGAAACCUAUAUUUGAUGAACUACAUCUAGUACUUACACAACUCUUAAAUCAUUAGGAAAUUGCUCUUAUCAGUCAUUACCCAAUAGUUUUUUUCAACUCAACACUAACAACCCCAAAGAGAAACAACAUCCAGCACCAUUUUCAUUAAUUAAAACAGACCCAUUGUUAUUUUUAAUCAAUAAAAUAACAACAAUAUCGUGUAAGCCACUGAUUCAAGCAUUCAAGCUGUGUUUUCGAAGACUGACCUCUUCUUGCUAUCUAAUUCCAGUCACGAUAGACGCUAGAUGCCGGCAAUACUCGCUUCUUGGAAGCUCUGGACCACCGCACGACGUCAUCUUGUGCAGUAGAUGAAAAUAAAUCAAUGAUUUCAGAAAUUAUUUGUGAGUUGCAGACGCUUCUUCUCCAUGGAUGAAAAUGAUGGUGGGUUUUGUUCAAGUGUAAGCUGUGUUUACGAGGAGAAGUACACUUUGUGAAAAAAUCAUUUUCUUUCAUCUACUGGAUAAUGACUUUGGACUGGGUAAUGGUGUGUUUAAGUCUCUAUUUCACGGACAUUGAAGCAUAUUUUGCUUGAAUUUUGAUUUUGUUUAAAUUUCAAGUUUACUUUUACUUGUUUACCCUUUUAUACUGACGCUUAUGUAUUUUUAUACUAACGUUAAGGGAGGUCUUUGUAAUUAUAUGAAUACUUUCUAUCAGACUGUUAAUACAACAAACCUCAGGGGAGGUCCCUAAAAAUAACCCAACUUAUUUAAAUAGAACUUUUACAAAAAAAAAUUUAGUUAUUUGGUUGUCAAUAAACUUUUCAAGUAUACUUUGUUUGGUACAGCUUUUCAAGUAAAACUUAUUUAAGUAGAGCUUUUACAAAAAAAAAAAAAUUAGUUGUUUGGUUGUCAAUAAAAAUUUUUAUUAAAAAAAAUAUGAAAUUACUUUAUUAGUCAAGUUUUUUUAAAGUUAUGCUAUGAAAAGAAUAAAAUAAGAUUGUCAAAUAAAUAGAAAAUAUUUUAAAUAUUUUAACAUUUAAAAAAACUUUUUAACCUUUAUUUUCAAAAAUCUAAAAUUUAAACUUUUACUAGUAAAGGCAAAAUAAUUUAUUUAAACUUCAAAAGCUUUAUUAGAAAAAUAAUCAAACAAUAACAAAAAUUAUUAUAAAAGCUUAUCGAAUUAAAUAAGUACUUAUAGUUAUUAAAGAAGUUAUAUCUAACAGACACUAAUGCCGAAAGCCCCUUCUAAUUGUGGGUGUAAAAGUUUGAAUUAUGCAUACGGUUAAGGAGUUAAGGUGUGUUUGGCAACUGCAUUAAGUGGAAAUUUUUAUUUUGUUUCGAAUAAAAAUACAGCAAGCUCGUGUUCGGCUCAAAAUAAUGGAACGUUUAAUUUGCAACCGUCGGCGGACGAAGCACACCGUUCACGGCCCUUCGUAUAAAAUUGCAUAUGUAAACGUAAAUAGGUCCGGAUUCAGAUUCGUUGCUGUAGAGAGUGGCACGCACGAUCGGGCUGCUGUCGGUGGUAGGUUGGCAUUGGAAUUCUCAUCACGCGCUUCCCCAGGCGCCUACUUAUGGCAAAUUGACACGUGACGCGUGUGGAUUGAAUGGACAGAGUCCCGGGCAGUGUGUCCAAAGCUGCCAACCGUGCUCUGAUUUUUGUCAUCCAUAAUGGCUAACGACUAACGAGGGAGAUUUCCGGGCAGAAAGAAAUUGUUGUCGUUUCUGAAGGGGAAAAAAAAGUUAUUUAAUUUGUUGUUGAAGACAAAAUGAAGAUCUAAAUAAAUAAUGGCUAAUUUUGAGUGUAAAGCAACGGUAAAUGCAUUAUUAAAUUAGAUUUAGGGUCUGAUUGAGAUUAUUUUUAGAUUUAAAAUUAAUUUUGAAAAGUUAAAAUUAAUUUUGAUGUUUAUUAAUUUUUAUUAAAAAUUAUUUUUGUCAAAAUCUCUCAUCCUCCAGCAUAUUAUAAAAAAUAAGGAAGAAAUAAUUUUUUAAAAUUUAAUUUUAAGAAUCAGUUUUAUACUUAAUAUAAUCCACAUAUAUCCUCGUAAAUAUUAUAAAAAUUUAAAAUUAUUCUUAUUUAUUUAGGAUAUAAAAUUAUUAAAUUCAAACAUAUUAUUAUUAUUAUUAUUAUUGUUAUUAUUAUUAUUAUUAUUAUAAAUUCACACACGCACACACAUACUUAUAAAUUUAUAAAUAAACUUUAUUUAACAUUUUGUUCACUUAAAUCAUUUAUAUUCUUAUAGCAGUUUAACAUUAUGAUUUACCAAACACAGAUAAUUAUUUUUAAAAUCCAUAAUAUUUUUUAAAAUAAAUUUUAAUAAAUGUUUAACUUAUUAUUCUGACAACUGAUUUUUUUUGUAAGGUAUAACCAUUAAUAAUAAAUAUUUUAAAAGUUACAGUAUCCCCAAAUUGGCCCUUACUAAUACUCUGCGUUGCCAACUAAAUACUAAUUGUAACAUUAAACAUCUGGAAUAUUUUUCUCUAACGAAACAACACAAUUAAUUUCCCUCUAAAAAAGAAAAAGAAAAAGAAAAAAUAAACUACCAACCCCACCCCUUUAGACAGCAGAGUUUUAGCUGAGGCGGCUUGCUUGCAUAAGCAUUAAGGCUGCUCUUCACCAACCAUUGAACAUUCUUUCCAUUUGAUUGUUACACUUUACUUCGCCAUCUCAUGUCCAUGUACAUUGUUUUGAAAUGAAGACUUUGCGUACAACUAAUCUUUUUCAAUUCAUAAUAAAAACUCUUUUAAUUAGUUAAUAGCUAUAGCUUCCAAUUGAGACUAUAUAUAAAAAUCCAUAUUGACUGACCAAACCAAUAAUUUUUAAUUGGCUUGAGCAUUGUCUUACUUACUUCAAAAUCGUCACUCUCUUUGAAAAGAACAUGAGAGAGUUCACCUCCAUCUCAACCCUUAACCCUAUAUCUCAGUCAAGAGAUUAUUCAUGGAAAAUUCAGAAAAAAGAAAUGUUGCAAUAUUUACGAAACUCACGUCACGUGAGGUAAGAUAAAUUAUUCCUUUCUGCUUUAAUUCAUGUACAUAAUCAUGAGAAUAACUUUAAUUAUAGUUUAUUUCUCCGUUUUAAGAUUUUUCCUUUUUUUUUUUUAAUUAAUUAAUUAUAGUUCAUUCAUUAAUCCCAUAAGAAAUUAACACCUUUGCCGGUAAAGUCACACAUACAACAAUAUUUUAGAACAAAAGGGAAGAUCAUGCACGAUCAUGAUGUUUUAUUAUAUCUCUAGCAAUAUAAUUAUCUUAUAAUUAAUUAAAAACAAAACAGGUAAUUAAGCCAAAGUGGAUGGCAUGCAUCAAUCAUCAUGCAGAACACCUCCCCUUGUUUUAAAUAUAAAUAAAAGAAAUUUGUGCCCAGAAGACUUAAUUAAUACUUCUCGUUUCUGAAGUGCUCACAUGAUAUAUAGUCGGACGCAUUAUAUUUAAUUUCAUGAAUUAAUCGUACGGUUGUAUUUUGAGAGAGAGAGAGAGAGAGAGAGUGACUGAGUAAGAUAUGGCUUAAUUUAACCAAAUCUACGUAUAAAAUUUUAAAAUGAAUUUUUGAGUUUUAACUUAGGAAUUGUCUAUGAAUAAAAGUGUUAAUCAAAUAUUUCGUGUAAAAACAGUCAGCUGUAACAUUUUCGGUUGCUUUAACAAAACUGUAUAUUUCUGUAAUUUCCUAUAUGGGCCAAAAGGAACAUUUUUCUCAGAAAUUAAAAACUUAUGGUGAAAAAGAUAAGAAAACCAACAGGUUCAAAGGUGCGAGUAAACUGGGCUCUGGUGCGCCCAACUCCCUCUUUUGAUUUUGAGACUCUAUUGACCAUUGAGUUUGAGGCCCCAACGGCCCAGUUUAAAACUGUUAUGAAAAGAAAAAAAAUAUAACUAUAAAAUUAAAAUUAAUAAUGUUUGAUAAAUAUAAUUUUUAAAUAAUAAUUUGACAAAAAUAAUAUAGGGUCUUGUGUAUAUUUUUAUUUGGCAUUUCAAUUAAUCUGCUUAUAUAUAUAUAUAUAUAAGUUAAUCUAUAUUUCUUGCAAGAAGAUAGUAUUUCUUUAAUUAAAGUCAUAACUAAUAUAUAAAUUAUCAACUAACCAUCAAACAUUUAUCUCAUUUUAUCUCCACCACGAUCAUCACCAUUCAUCCUGUCACGAUCUUUAUGUAACUACAAUUAUUUUUUCUUUAAUAAUGUCAACCCACCAACCCCAUAACAAUAUCUCCAAACAUCUCAUCUCAAAAUUCCUAAUAACAUAAGUGUUUAUGUAUGAAAGAAAAUGUGAAAUAUAUAAUCAAAAAGUAGUUUAAUAAUAUAAUGUUUAAAAAUUAUGGUAAAAAUAAGUGAGAGUUUGGCAUGGCAAGUUAAUAAAAAGAUAAAAGCUCGGACACUUGAUGCAUCAAAGUAGCAAUGUCUGUCCAUCAUUAUCAUCAUGCGGGUUUAGGUGCUUCUCAUGAUAGCAUUAGCUGGUAAGACCAUCAUGCAUCGUACUUUCAUUGUUAUACAUUUUGAAGGUAAGAAUGGUUAUGUUACGUCCCUCCGAUUAGGUGUAUUUUUCUUCUUCUUCUUCUUCUUUUUCUUCUUCUUGUACGUAAUAAUUUCUCUUUCUUCCAUGAAGAUUUCUUUCUCUCUUUCUUUUUUUUUUUUUUAUUAUAAAUAAAAUGAUAAGAACUAAUUUCCUUACUAAUUGGUAGGGUCGUUUAAUGGUUCAGAUCCAUUAGAUUUUGUCAAAUUCAAGUCCAAUCCAUCAUAUAUUCCAUUUUAUAUUCCGGAUCCGAUCACUAAUAGAAAUCCAUUAUAAUUUAAAACAAUAAAACGUCGAAUCCAAUUUAAUUCGAUAUGAUCAAUCCAAUUAAAAUAAAAAUUUACAAAUAAAAAUCAUUAGUUGCUCUCUCCAGUUAUAAUUCUUAACAAUUAAAAAAAAUACAAAAUAUCAACUCCUUUAAUAUUUCAUGAUUCAUGUACUUUAUUAUCAUAUGGUUGGAAAAAAAAGUUGAAAUUUGAAUAUUAAAAGCAAAUGUUGGUUGCGACCUGCUGUUUGUAUUCUAUAUUGUUAUAGUAUAUUUAUAGUUAUUUUUUUAGCAAGUUAAAUAUAAAAGUGACAUAUAGUUUUUUUUUAUAAAAAAAAAUAAAUAAAGAAAAUAAAAAAUUAAUUGGUUGGAUUGGUUUAUAUUGGAUUUGAACAUAUAGAUCCAUAGACCAAUCUAAUAACAUUAUAUUUUUUAUUUUGCAAUCUUAUCCAAUCCAAUCAAAAUGUCAAUAUGACAAAAGUUGGAUUGGUUUUGAUCAGAUCGAUUGGUUUGAUUGGAUUGAAUUGAAUUAGAUCUUGAACAUCCUACCAAUUAGACUUUCCGUGAUUUUUUUUUUUCCAAAUUUAAUAAAGAGACUUCCCAUGAAUGUUAAAUGCAGUUUUAUUGAUGAAUUCUGCAAUUUUAAGAAAUGUUUGAUACACGAAUAAUGCAUCUCAUCAACCAAGUAACUGCGUCCCCUGCAGCAGCCGCGGCUUCAACUGGAAUACUGCAGCCACACCGGUCUUGAGACUCAACAUUCGGCCGAAACUCAAGCAAAAGUUGAACAAUAUCAGGCCUGCUUUGAGCUAUAGCAAUAUGAAGCAAUGUUUGUCCCUGCGCACCAGCAGAAUCAGCUGGGUGGGUUCCAAGCAGGGUCACUCUGUUCAAGAACCUCUCUUAUCUCAUCCAUUUCACCAUCCUUAACUAGCUGAACCACAACAUGGGACCCAACAAACAUGAUCUUGAUUCCUAUUGAUGAACGCUGGCUUCUUCCUUCUUGUGAACCAGUCACCAGGAACCGAAUCAAGCAUCAAUGUUGCAUCUUUAAUUGCAGCUGCAGGAACGACAACGCUAUGCAAGAGGAAGGAAUCAUCACAGUGAGGGAAAGUAUGAAGGAGAACUGAUCCUGGAGGAAGAUGAUACGCAAUCUCUAUGCUUACUGUUCCGAGUGGUUGCAUUGACCUGAAUAGUUCGAUCUAUUUCUCGUGUAUCUACUUGCGCUGCACUUUCACUCGAAGAACCUACAAAAUUAUUCAUAACCCGGCAUAAAAAAGACGUAAAGUUUUCAGCGCGAGCAUGGUAACUUCAAAACCCGUUUCAUACCUAUCAUAUUUCAUUCGUCCCGCACCCUCAUUUAAAAGACUAGAGCUUAUAAAAACUAGAAGUACCUUACCCAGAACAUAAAAGCAGACAAAACCCAGUCGAGUAUAAAUAUAACGUUGAAUAACACCUACCAUUUACCAUUUCAUUCAAGAACACCACACAAUUAACGAAACCAACAUCGGUAUGUUUUCAGCCGUUGUACUUUCAACUUAAUUUUGAAAGCGCGGCAGCUAAAGCCUAAACUGUUGUUUGAUAAAAGUCCACCCACUGACUGCUACCUGGCGGCUACCGAUUCCAUUCAAUAGCAGUCAUAAAAUAAAAAGUACAAAACAAACCUAUGUACAAAAAAGGCAAUGAAGCAGCCAUGGAUUCAGUUAUUUGCAUGUUUGGGAUUGUGGUUGAUUCCAAAUUGAGAAUAUACUGCGAAAUUAUGUUUGAUAAGCAUUUAUCUGAUGAUUGCUACUUUAUUGAGUGCCUGUUUGGUAUGGCUUAUUUAAAAGCCAUAAGUGCUUAUUUAAUCGUAUAAGCACUUUUUUAAAAUUUUUAUGGUGUUUGGUUAUUUUUUUAGUAGAGUUUUUUUAGCUUAAAUAAGCUAAUUUACCUCUACUAGCAAAAGCCCAAAAUUUGAGCUUUUGGGAGUAGAGGUUAAAGAGCUUAUCUAAAAAAUAUAUAAUAAAAAAAAUAUCAUACAGUUUAAUGAUUCAAAAGUGUUUUUUUUAUUGACAACCAAACACCCAAUGACUUUUUGUCCAAAAACUCUAUUGGUAUAAGCUCUACUGCUAUAAGCUCUAUUGUUAUAAGCUCUAUUUAAUAAGCUGUACCAAACGGAGCCUAAAGCAUUCAUUUUUUUUUUUCGCGUUUGGCCUCUUCACUUUUUAAAAAAUUUUAUGGUGUUUGGUUAUUUUUUUAGUAGAGUUUUUUUAGCUUAAAUAAGCUAAUUUACCUCUACUAGCAAAAGCCCAAAAUUUGAGCUUUUGGGAGUAGAGGUUAAAGAGCUUAUCUAAAAAAUAUAUAAUAAAAAAAAUAUCAUACAGUUUAAUGAUUCAAAAGUGUUUUUUUUAUUGACAACCAAACACCCAAUGACUUUUUGUCCAAAAACUCUAUUGGUAUAAGCUCUAUUGUUAUAAGCUCUAUUUAAUAAGCUGUACCAAACGGAGCCUGAGUCUUCAAAGAAAAACUCAAUCAACUAAUGCUCGAUUUUUUUUUUUAAAUGACAAAUCAAAAAGUAUUUUGGAGUAGAUUCUCAAAAGAGUGAUUAUUUGAUAAUCCACCAUAAUCCCACUUAGUUAUCAGAAAUAAAUUAAAAUCCGACGAAUGUUACUUAAGCCAAACAGCAUUAUUUUAUUUUGACCACAAGGACCACAACCCUCAAGCUGUCAAGCAACCGUUACCGUUAACGACCAAUCUUUCACCUCUCCGAAUCUUUGCAAGUCACUAUCAAGCAACCGUUACUAAUAUUUAAUCAAUUAUUAGGAUUAUUGGAUUUCUCAAAUACCUUAUGUACUUUGGUUCACUUUCUACUAAAAUAAAUAUUACAGGAGCUUUCAAAGUCUAGGCUAAGGUUGUUGUAAACAUAGAGAGAUUCAGAGAUAUAACAGCUUGUAAUUACAUACCACAAAGCAUAACUUUGUUCGAAUGAUAAUGAUCAUAAUCCAGAUUAUAGACGUAGAGAGAGGAGAAGUCGUACUUGAGGGGCAAAACGCGGCGUUUUGGCUCGUGGAUGAGGUGCUGCUCCUGAUCGUCGUAGAUUGAAGGGAGGAGAGGUCGGUCGAGGAAGUUUAGGAGACGGUGGAGGCUGAAUUGGUGAAUUUCGAUGAAGACUGACGAAUCCAAUGGGGCUUGAGGGUUUGAUUUGCAAAGAUGAAAGAUAAGAGCAUUGUUUUGGUUUCUGUGCAAAAAAAAAAAAAAAAAACAUGACAAGCGUUGUUUUGGUUUUGGUUCUAAAAAGAUGAAAAUUUGACUGCAAUGGAUCCAUACGCAGUCGGUGUCAAAUAAGAGGAGAAACAAAUAUGUUAAUCACUCGCUCAAUCACUCAUGCGAAGUGCCUUUUUUUUCGUUGCUUUGGCUUCUGAGAAAUAUAUGCAUCAGAUAUUACAACUCUCGAGGAUAAUGCAUUUUGUUCCGGUUUUGACUGAUAUUUAGUGGCAUUUGAUAAACUGAUACCUCAGAACCUGGUAGAGAGUUUAUUAAAUACAAAGAGAACAAAAAUAUAUGACUAUAUAAGCUUUUACACGGUUGAAGAUCCGGUCAAAUUGGCUUUAGUUAGCAAGAUCAUUUAAAACUUUCAAAAAACGAAUGGUAUCAAAAAGCUCUGAGAAAAAGCGGAAAAAAGGCACCACAAAGAUCUUGCAAUUAUUAUCACAGCUUGAUAAGACAUGGAAAUGUAUCUUACAAAUUGGCCUUCCAAGCAUCAAAGAAUUGGGUGGCGACAACUCCCAUUCCUAGCUGCUACCGUGGCCAGUCCCUUCUAACUAAAAUGGGACAGGACCAAAAGCAAGGUCUCUCCCACUCUCCUUAUGUAUAUAAAAUUCCCUACAUUCGAAUAAAACUACAGAAAAAGAUUUGCACAUCAUCUUCUUUCACCUUAUUUUGCAAUCUUCAAGAGUUUGGAAGAUUUCAAAGCACUUGUUAGAAUGUAGCACUCCAUUAAGCAUUCUCACCUUCCCCACACCCCAAUGGACCUCCUUAAUCCUAUCGGCAGACCUACAAAUUCUGCUGCAACUCCAAUCAAAUAAAGCAACACAAUUGUUGCCUGCCUAAGCCUUCCACUCACAGCCUGCAAUGACAAGUUCAUGAUACAAAAUCAGAAACAUUAAUAAACAAAAAGAUAUUACCAUUACUUGCAGAGGGGGAUUUGUUGCAAUUAGUAAAUGCCAUACUUAUCACUUUCAUUGCAGAUAUCAUCAUCAUCAUAAUACUAGCAAUCCAGCACUAAUAGUCAGAAUAAUAAUAAUAGUAGCAUGAAUAAAGAAUUUCUGCAGAGUAAGCUCUAAAGAUGCCGAAAGUGUCAUCUAUUAUGUUAAUAAUAAAAAAGUCUAUCAAGAAUUCAAGGAAAGAAAACUCAUUAACAAAGAACUAAACUUUUUAAUAAUGUUUAAUAAACUACGUACCUAUGAUUUUCUAUUAUUAACAUAAAUGACACUACGUACAACUGAUUUUCGCUUUCUAAUGUUUCAAAUCAUACCGAGAAAUAUAACAAUUACCAAGUCAGUAAGUAGCACAAUUACUUAAUAAGACUUUGACUUGUCUAACCCAAAAUUGUACCCAAUUCUAUACUCUACCAUGAAAAGCUUAUGAAGCCGAACUUACUUUGACCAAACAGUACUAUUAGCUCAGUUAAAGGAAACCACAAUUGAACAAAGUUCAGCUGAAAUAACUGAACUAAAAAAACUUGAUAAAAUUAAAAGUAACUUAUAACAGUUUAGUAAAGAAGCAUACAAAACAUGAAGAUAAAUAAACAUAGGUCUAUUUUCUUGACACUACCAGGUCCUUUCCUUUUUUUUUUUUCAGAUAAGAUCUCGAUACUACCAAGUUUUGGAUUCAAAAUCACCAUAUUACAAUAAUAGUUGUGAUUCAUGGGAUACAAUAUGUAGCAGCUUAUAUGUCGGCAAUUAUAGUCAAAGAUGGUUGUCAAACAUCAUCGCAAAUCAAGAAGCUAAUAAAGACCAUGUCACACUACAUUAACAUAUAUCAGUUCUUUGAUACAAAGAUAUUGAAUGUUAUACAUUUCUAAUCCCAAGUCCUGAAAUACAAAACAAAAGUUCACUUCACACAGUCAUAAAGCUAGACUGCUAGAUAAAUGGACAAUAGGCAUUGGAUAUGGGUCAAUAAACUAUUAAGCUAAUUAAUGCACACGAAGGAAUCCGUUAGAGCUAGUAAAAUAGCCCUUACCAGAGAACUCGCAGAAGCAUUCAAUUUCCUCAAAGGAGAUAACUUACAACAUAAACAUUUUGAUAAGCAGCAACACACAUAAAAUAGCUUCACUCACUAGCAACAGAGCAACUUCUUCAACACAUUAAUAAAUCCAUUUUCAUUUUUAAACAACAAAAUAAUGCCCAGUUUCUCCAGCACAAAUAGGGUAAGCAGUAAUAGAAAAACAUGAUACAUAGGAAUUACCGGCCUCAAGAAAUCUCCAAGCUUUCUGUCCUCUGCUUCAAUUGCUCAAUCAAGAAUGCCCCAGACGUUGCGCUAGCGUGGUGGUGGAGCGUCGCGAAGCGUGUGGCGGCGGUGUCGGCGAAGGCAGGUCAUGAAGAUAGUUGGUGUCGCGCAGCGAAGGCAGUGCAGCUGGUGUCAUGCGGCGAAGGCAAAUCGCGUGGUGGUGGAGUUGGGGUCGCGCGGCAGUGGCGGUGCGGUGCUGAGGCAUAAUAGUGGCGGUGGCGUUGUGCGACAGUGGCAGUGUGGAGGCAGAUUGCGUGGAGCUGGCGGUGUUGAGGCAGAUCGCGUGGAGGCAGAUGCCGCGGUGGUGGAGUUGCUGUCGCGAUCAACGCCUGUGAAAGGGAAUGAAAGUGAAGGAGAUACCUACAAAAGAAAGAACGAGUGAAAUUUUUUUUUUUGUUCAAGGGUUUCAAACCCACAUAAACCCGACUCUCACACGGGUUCAGUAAGUUUAUGCGGGUUUGACUGCAUUACAAAUUGGUAUGACCACAACAACAGUACAAUGAUUGGUAAUUACCAAACAUGCUAUUUAUGUUGGUAUUAAAUUAAUUUAAUACAAUGAGGAGUGGUAAUAUCAUACAAUGAGGACUGUUAAAUAUGGUGUGUUUAAUAUGUUGUAUUGUAUUAUAUUAUUUUAAUACAAAUAUAUUAUAUUAUCUUGUAUUAUAAUAUAAAAUAAUGAAAAAUAUCGAAUUUCAAUAUAUAAAAAAAAAAUAAAUAUAUUUUGUUAUAUUCGAUCUGCUGUACGGCCAAGGCGGAUGUACGGUACAGCAGAUAAGAAUUUAAAUACAUACACUUAUAAUACAACUUAGUUUUUCCACAUUGUCGAGGGAUCAAAACAACCCAUCAUUGGAGUCCAAUAAGUUAUGUGGCGACACAAAAAAGUAAUUCUAUAUUUUUUACGUCAUAAAUAUGUAAAAAAAAUUGUAUUAUAUCUUAUUAUUAUUAGUUUUUUUUCUUCAGUUUUGACAAGUAUAGUUUUCUUGUUGAGUGGCUCAACAAGGCUGGUUACAAUUUCGAAAUAAUGUUCCAUCUGUAUCUGUUUUCCUUUUGUUUUUGAUUUUGUAGUAUAGUUAAUUUGUACGAAUUUGUUGCCUGGUUGGUUUUUAUGCUGAAAAGUCAGUUCAUUGGAAAUGACAGAAAAUUGUUUUUCUUUUUCAUUUUUACAGAAAGAGAUUUGCAACGUUAUAAAAGUAAGAGAUCCUAAGAGAUCCCUGAAUCAUAUUAAAUAUUAAACUUAAGAUACAGUCAAGGCUUUUAUUAUGUUACUAAUCAUGUAACGAAUAUAAUUAUGUAGCAGUCGUUAAAUACAAAUUUAACAGUUAUAAAAAUAACAUGAUUUUAUUAUCUUAUAUUUCUAUAAUCGUUGAAUUUUUAUCUGCUGUACCGUACAUCCGCCUUGGCCGUACAGCAGUAUUGAAUUUUAAAAAUUUAAUAUUAUUUUUUUAAUAUAAAUAUUAAAAAAUAUCAUAAUUCUUCAUAGAAAUCGAAGUUCAUGGCAUUAAAUUUUUAACGCCGCAUACAUAAUAAAAAAUUUGAUUCUCUAGUGCCAAUAUAAUAGAAUACAUAAAAACGAGACUGAGAAACUACGAAUAAAGCUCAUCAUCAAGGACUCCACAACAUUAUAAGAAGUACUAUGUAACAUUUGCCAAAUUACAACACCACAUCAAGACAUAUCACAAUGUAAAAUUUUUCCUAGAGAUUUGGUAAUUGAAAAACACAAUUCAAGUUGAAAACUGAUAGUCGACUUGAAAAGUUUUAACAUAUCCCAUAAAAGAAAUGUGCCAUGCCAAAAAUCCUAACCCUUGGCUCUUUGACGAUAAGAAAAUAUUGAAAAUUCCAAAGUACAGUGCAAUGGGAGAAAGAAUGCCUAUAAAGCUAGUAAAGAUAUUCUUAAACUACUAUUGGGAUGUUGGGCUGGUUGGUAGCAAAACCCAAACCCUGCUGCUGAUUUCCGAUACCACCAUCUUGGAUAAGCCGCUCUCCCUCCUCUUCCUAACUCCUAAGCCCAAUAUCUUUCCAAAACCUUCACAACCCACUCAUAAAUCUCAUUGUUGUCGUGGAUAUGCAAAUUCUCAAUCUUUUCUACUCCAUCACACUCAUCAAUCAUUUGGGUAUAAACAUUAACCCAAUUAUCCAUUCCUAUUUCCUUGUUAACCUCACCCACCUUGAAAAUGUUCUCAAGACCCUAUAGACAAACUGUGACGAUCCUUUGGUCCAGACAAACCAGAAGAUCACAGAGCGGUUUGAUGCAACCUUGGCUCACCAGGAAUCUGCAGGACCAUGGUACCAUAAGUGAUUCUAUCACAUGAACAUCAUUAGAUUAAAAAAAGAAAAAAAAAAGAAACAUCUAUCGUAUGAACAUUGCUGAGUGAAUAAAAGAAACAUACUGAAUAUGUUCAUGAGAUCCUCCAUAUGUGGCAUUUAAGACAGGCCAUGCAGCCUCCUUGAUUUCAAGUUCUGCAUGUUGAAGAAGAGGUGCACAAAAGGAAGGAUAAGGAAGGAUGAUAUUGGCCUCCAUAACAGCCUGUUGAACAAAAAUUCGACAAAUUAUAAUUAUGAGUAUAUUUAAGUAGCAAUUUUGUCAGAAUUAACUAGACUUGACUAUUGAGGAAGUCACAUUCAAAAAUAGAAAAGACGAGCAAGCAAUUGUAUUCAUGCUAUCGGGACCAAAAUACUAUGAUGCAAGCAAGAAAGAAAAACAUACAUACAUAUAAAACACUAUCUUUGAGUUGGGUAUUUUCUUUCAAUUUUGAUAAUGGCAACUUUGGAUUCUUCUGCUGAAUUACCACCACCACCACACCAUUGUAGUUUCACAUACUAAGAAAAGGCAGGUUCAGCUCCCGUGCAUGCCCAUAAGAAUAUGAUGUAUUAAUUAGAAGUAAAAUUAAUCUGUUCAAUUAAGUUCUCUCAUAUAUUUGUGUGCGUGUGUGUGUUAAUUAGUUUGCUUUCAAAUCUUUUCUCCCUUCUUAAUGAUAUAUAUUUUAAGCAUGAUAUCAACCACGAUGAAUUUAUUAGCCGAUUUUUAAUUAUACAUUCAGCAUGAUAUCACAAACCAAGAGCUUAAGUUAGCCUAAUUCUUCAUAAAUCUAAUAAUUGCAAUCAAUAAUAAUGCUGAAAAUACGAGUUUGAAUUAAGCUAGCAACUGGUUCUUAAAUUAUGCAAUAUGUAAUCAUAGGUUUACUUAAAGAUUAAAGCAUUUCUGCAAUCCAUUGUGCAAAAAGAUUAAAAAAAAAAAAAAUAGUUGCCAAAUUUUAUCUAAAUAAAAAUUCCUUUAGUGGUUAGUACUUGUGAAUUAUAGAAAUUAUUAUUAGUACUUGCUCAGCGCUUUUUAGAUUUGUACAGGUAGAUUACGCCAUUUCAAACCCGACCAUCCAUUUAGACAUACAAAUCCCCCCAAUUCCCUGUCCUCCGCCUUUACGCGACUCUCCACUGUAUGUGCCAACUAAUUAAUUUUUUAAUUACUUGUUUAACUAAUUAAUUCAUUUUCUCAAAAGCAAGAUUAAUCUAUUUGUUCAAAUCUGAAGGAGAUUAAGUUAAUUGAUUUUAUUGUAUGUAAAAAUAUACAAAGAACUCAUGAAGCCAACUAGAAAAAAAAAAAAAGACAAAAAAAAAAUCAAACCCAGAAAUAAAAAGACAUGCUUCGACAGAAAAUUAAUGAAAAUUAUACUGAUUGUGGUUCAAUUUGAUCAAACCCAAAUAAUAACCGGUUUGAUUGAUGACUCAGCGGCAAAGUGCAGGCGCAUCAGUGGUUGCACAGAUGAGUGUUCUCGUGCGGCACGACAAAGCAAUUGUCGGCGAUUGUGAUUGGUGAUGACAUCGAGCGAUGGGGGUAAUGGCAUCGGUCGUGACUUUGUGAUGGAGAAACGAAUGUUAGAUUCGUUCGAAGAUUCGUGUUUUGAUUGAAUAACAAAGAGAGAUUUUAUGAGUUUUAAUUAUCUAAUACGAUACCGCAUAAACCCGACUCGUACGUGGGUUUAUUUUAUGCGGGUUUCGGUGUACUAAAGCAGUAAAUUUAUGUGGUGCAAUUCAAACUGAUUUCACCGCCAAAAGAUCGUGUAAAUUUAAUAUUAUACAGGGUUUUAAUACUAUGUAAUCCAAUACACCAAACAUGCCCUUAAAAACGGAUAGCAAUCCGGGGCCUUUAAAAACGGAAAAUACAAGCAGAGAAAAAGAAAAGCCAAUUGUUCAAAAGUGCCUAAUAUGCCCACGGAAAAUUUUCGUCACGACCCACAGUUACUCGAAUAGGUAAUAAGACAGGAAUGCCUUUGUUUGUUCGAAUAUAGAAGCACAAUGGCUCAGAAAGGAUCCCUCCAAUCUCCUUGGCACUGUCAGCUGGGUGCGGAGUAGCUUGGUGGCAGCAACCAUGUUUGAGAGGGCUGGCUUCACCUCAGUGUACUUGCGAGUCUUGAGACCACAGUCAGGGUUAACCCACAAAAUGUUGGUUUCUAGCACAGUACGCAUCUCGUAGAUUCUGUCAACAAUUUCUUCGGUUGAUGGUAUUCUUGGAGAGUGGAUGUCAUAGACGCCAGGGCCAAUUGCAGCAUCAUACUGGACUCCCUCACGGAAGACUGACAGGAGAUUCUCAUUAGAACGAGAGUUCUCAAUGGUGAUCACAUCAGCAUCCAUGUCGAUAAUUGAGUGGAUAAUGUCGUUGAAGUUGGAGUAGCACAUGUGGGUGUGGAUCUGUCAAUCAAUAAACAAUAGAAUGAGAUACAAAAUCAACAGCUAAAUUAAAGAGAUGAGAUUGGAGAUUAAAAGGGUAACUGACCUGGGUAGUGUCCUGGAUGCCACAGUUGGUGAUUCUGAAGGAGUGGACUGCCCAGUCCAAGUAGAAAGCAUGCUCAGAUUUCCUGAGAGGCAAUCCUUCCCUCAAGGCAGCCUCAUCAAUUUGAAUAACGUUAAUGCCUGCCUUCUCAAGAUCCUCGACUUCGUCCUUGAUGGCCAAAGCAAUCUGGUAGCAGGUUUCAUGUCUGCAAAAUUGGCAGCGAUUGAUGUUAAACAAUGUUUCCAUUCCAAAAGGUUAACCAAUAGUGAACCAGUUCUCAUUUAUAUACCUGGGCUGGUCAUUUCUGACAAAGGACCAGUUGAGAAUGGUGACAGGGCCAGUAAGCAUUCCCUUCAUUGGGCGAGCAGUCAUGCUCUGAGCCCAGGAGGACCAGAAGACGGUCAUAGCCUUGGGACGGCUCACAUCACCAUAGAUGAUGGGUGGCUUCACACAGCGAGAUCCAUAGGAUUGCACCCACCCAUUGGCAGUGAAGGCGAAACCUGAUAACUGCUCUCCAAAGUACUCAACCAUGUCGUUUCUCUACAAAAACAAAUGUCCGAAUUCAAUUUGAGAUCCAGCAUACUUCGUAUGCAAUUAGAAAUGCAGAAACAAAAAUGUAUAAAAUUUUAUGUAAUUCAAAACCAGGAGACAUUGCUUUGCUUCCAUUGGGCAUUGCGAGACUCACCUCAGGCUCUCCAUGGACAAGGACAUCAAUAUCAAGCUCUUCUUGGAGUUUGACAACCUUGUUGAUUUCCUCCUUGAUGGAAGCAACAUAUUCUUCCUCAGAAAUCCUAAAAAGGACAAAUAGUCACGGCACAGUUAAUACAGUAGUUGCAGUAAUUUCACACAUGGCAUUGAAUGAAGAAACACCUCAGAUUGACUCACUUCUUAGCCUUGUAUUCACGGCGGACUCUCCUAAGUUCAAUGGUUUGUGGGAAGGAUCCAAUUGUGGUGGUUGGGAGGAUUGGAAGAUUGAGCUUCUUCUGUUGAGCAUCUAAUCUAGCACUAACGUUUGUAGCACGUCUGUGGUCUGAUCCCCUCAAAGCAGCAGCCUAAUAGACCAAGAGGAAGGAAUCACUGUUAGCAAAAAAGGAAAUUCUAAGGGACAGCCACAUCAUAAAAAUGGAAAACAAAUCAAUCAUGCCACUUACAGCCUUUUGAACUGCCUCAUUGGUCACUCUCGGGGAGGACUUUCUUGAAGCCUGAGCUGCAGCAUUGGCAGAGAAGAAUCCCUGGAAACAAAUGAUAAGGAGAACCAAAGUUAGUCUCAUUCAUAUCAUUUUAAAAAGAAGAUACAUAUGCAAUUAGUGGGCUGAUUGUGAGAGAAAAAGUCCCCAAAACUUUAAUCAAACACCAAAUGCCCAAGUUGCCAAAUGAUGUUUAAUUCGGAAAAAUAUAUUUAAAAACAUUCAAAUAUAAUUUCCCCUUCUAAAUUUUCAUUUUCAACAACAUAUUUUACAAGCCAAGCUCAACGUCAGGCCAAGAUUUUGUGCUCCUAUAAUUAUAUUUUACCAUAAAACUAGGUCCUUGAAAGGCUAAGAUUUUCUGACUCUUGUGACUAGUCAAAGCCUAAGAUUCUUUCAAUUCAUCCGUAGUAAAAGUAUACCUCAUCCUUUUGGCCAGCCAAAGCCUUGGCCAAUGCAUUGACUUCAACAACUUUCUGGGCAGCAAAUGCCAGCCAUGACUUGAUUUCGUCGUCGAGUUUGUUCUCAUUAACAAGAUCAACAGCAGUGUGAAGAAGUGAGCAGGAGGUGGAGACCACAAGCUUGUCUGCAAAGAAAAGUAAUAAAUUAUACAACAAAUCCCAUAAUAGAAUAAGAAAUAUUUAUCACAAAGAAAAAUGCAAGCAAAGGAUGUAUACCUUUGCCAACAACACCCUCAAGCCCCCGGAGAACACUAAGAGAAGCAGCAAGAUCAUUGGCCCAAAUGUUCCUUCCAUCAACCACUCCAGCAAAGAGGUACUUGCCAGCAGGGAAUCCACUCUUGAUCAAUUCAAGGGUCUUGGUUCCACGAACCAAAUCAAAUCCAUAAGCGGUGACACCCUUCAAAGAAGUGAGGGUCUGGAAUGCCUCAGCUGGAACAUCAGCAAAGUAGGUCUCAACAAGAACAUUCAAGCCAGACAGAGUUGACUCUAGUUCCGCGUAAGCCUCACUGAAUGCUUGCAAUUUGUGUGAGUCAAGAUCCGUAACAAGCAAUGGCUCAUCAAACUGAAUCCAGGAAGCACCAGCAGCCUUAAGCUCAGAAACAACUUCCCUGCAGAAGUGUUAAUUGGUACGACACGGAUUAAUGAUGCCACACGAUACACACACACACACACACACACACACACACACACACACACACACACACACACACACACACACACACACACACACACACACACACACACACACACACACACACACACACACACACACACAGACAGAGUUAUUUAGCACAUACACGUUUAUAAAUCUGUAAAUAGGUGAUAAUUCUUACUUGUAGAUCGGAAGGAUUUUGGGAAGAAGAGAGAGAACAGAAAAGGUCUUCUCAACCCCCCAGGCAGGCUUAGACAGCAACAAGUAUGACACAGGGCCAAUAAGCACUGGGACAGUUUCAACUCCAUGCUGCAGCAUUAGACAAGUGGUAGAUAUUAGCAUCUCACAAACUUGAUCUGACUGAUAGAAAGUUACAAGCAAGUUAAGAAUAUGUUUGAUGAAAUUUCAAUGAAAAAUCUUCAGGGUCCACAACAUGUUGACUAUACCCUUUUUAAGUAAUUUAUCUUAAGACUAUUUUGCAAACAGUAUUGCUUCCCUUUACAGAUCAAAUAAAUCAUACAACAUCUGAACGCAUUUCCUGAGCCAAAUAUAAGUUCAAAGCUCUAUAAUAAAUGUCAAUGACUCUAUAGUAAAUUCCAUCACAUUCUGAGCUAUGGAUGAGCAUAUCAUAUGCCAAUUUCAAGUUGAACGUAACCCAAUUUCAACAUAUUGUAGAUUCAAGUAUCAAACGAAAAAAAAAAUAUUGUAAAUAUAGACAGAACUGAGAACAAACACUCACCCCCUUAGCCUCCUUGUACUCAGUCACAGCCUUGUGGGAAGCGUAGGAGAACUUAACAUCGGGUCCCAAUUCAGGAACAAUGAAAUGACUGCAUCAACACGAAGCCAAACACACGUCAGCAUUCAGUACAAAACCAUUACACCAUAACUAACUUGAAAUGCCGCUCUUCCAAGUAGUGAAUACUUACUAGUUGGUGUCGAACCACUUGGUCAUUUCCAUUGCGAGAACAGAGGCGUUUCCUCUGGCCAUGGAGAAGUAAACAUCGAAUCCAAUCUCGCCGCCGUUCCAGUUAAACCUCGGGGGCACGGCACCGAGCAUUGCGGUGGUGUCGAGCACUUGGUCGUAGUAGGAGAAAGUGUUGCUGGGAAUGUAUUUGAUCCCGGCCUCGGACAUCUGUUUCCAGAUGGAGGAUCUGAGAUCAGCGGACACCUUUUGCAAAUCCUCGGCGCUGCUCUUGCCAUCCCAGAAGGAUUCCAACGCGAACUUGAGCUCCCUCUUGGGGCCCAUGCGUGGGUAACCAACGAUGUGAGAUGCCAUUUUACUGUCAUAAUCACGUCAUCAAUGAAUCGAAAAUCAGUCCCUUCCAUUAAAUCAAGAAAUUAUUAAUUCAAAUGAAUGGAUCACAUUGUAUAUAUAUGGGAUAAAUAUAAUUAUGAACAAAAGCGUCUAAUCAAUCACAAAAAGCAAGCGACUGCAUCAAAUUUAGGGAUCCGACCCGACCCGACCCGAUCUGUAAAUUCCGGUUUCAAUCGGAUUAAGAUGAAACCUCUAACCCGAUAUAGUUGGAUUUUGGCCAACUCGAUCGGAUCAGAUCGGAUCGGAUUAAACUUAGUCCAAUCCGAAAAAUUCAAAAAAUCAAAACUACAAUAAGUAUAAAUCUAAAUUUUCAAUUCAAUUUGAUCUAAUCUGAAUAUAUUCGAAUCGGAUCAAAUACUAUGCUCUGCUUAAACUUGGAUUAUAUUUUUUUCAAUUUGAUUAACCUAAAAUUCGAUUGGAUAGAUCCAAAACUGAAUUUAUCUACCCCUCAGUCAUCAAUCAAUUACAAAACCUAAAAUCCGAUUGGAUAGAUCCGAAACUGAAUUUAUCCACCCUUAAGUCAUCAAUCAAUUACAAAGGCGACUGAUGUUUAUACAAUGGACAAUUAUUAAGUUACAGCUCUUGUAAUUUACAACUUAUACAAAAAUAUGUGAAAAAUUGUGAUAGGCAGUACAGUGUCAUGAUUUUAUACAAAAAUAUGUAAACAAUUGUGAUAGACGGUAGAACCUCAUGAUUUUAUAAAAAAUACGUAAAAAGUUGGGAUAAGUAAUGGAGCCCGCAUAAUUUUUUAUCAGCUGCAAGUUGCAAGUUACAGCAACUGUAACUUAGCGACCCCGACUUCAAUGUAAAAUGAGAAAGUACUCCUCCGCAUAGUACCUGAUGCUCAAAAGUCAAAUCACACGAAAUGCAAAUAGACUUAUCAGAGCAUAAAACCUUAUAUUACUUUUUGAAAAACGAUUUGAAACAAGGGCAAAAUUACAGUGUAACCGUACUUAGUCAUUGAAUUCAGCUCACAAUUAUCAUUAUAGUUAGAUCUAAUAACUAGAUCCAACUGUAUCCACAGUUAUAUUGUAGUUAGAUCUGAUAACUAAAUCCAGAUCCAGCUGUCCCCACAAUUGUCAUUAUAGUUAGAUCUAAUAAUUAGAUUCGGCUGAUUCAGCUGUGAUGUAGUACCCUGUAGUGCCAUAACUGGACAAAGAAACAAACUGAUAUAUUUUCUUUUUUGAAACAAACUGAUACUAAUCCAAGAGUUUCAGAUGAUCGGUUUUUUUUUUUUUUUCUAUAGUCACAUCAAUAAUUAAGUACUUUCAGUCAUUUUCGAAGGAUUAAAACGAAAACUCUAAAAAAAUUCUGAGAAUGAAGAAUCCGAAAAUAGAUUCAGAAAUAGUAACACAAGUAGAGGUCAGAUUGUUUUUUGGAAAAGAUUAAUUGCAGAUCUGAUGAACUCAAGUCUAGAUCUAGCAAAAUCACGGCAGCCAAACACUAGAUCUAAGACUAACAGUCACUCACCAGUCGAUCAGAAAGUGAAAUCAAGUUCAAAAUUCUUUUUUUUUAAUAGAUCCAAAAGCUAAUAUACAUAUAUAUAUGGCAAAAUAUAUAUACCGUACCCGAGAAGGACGAGCAGAGAAAUUAAGCUUUUUUCGAGAGAACGAGAAAGAAGAGAGACGAGACUGUUAGAAAUUGCUGUCAGUUUAAUUUUUAUUUAUAGCCAAAAACCUAACCUUGUUUAGUGGUUACUGGUUACCGUCUUCGGCGGUGUUGAUCUGAGAUUUAUCAUUUUAAUUUCUUUCUCUUACUUAUUUAUUUAAUUUGGGUCCAACUACGGUGAAACUGUAGUACCGUGCUACAGUUAUUUUCAACCGUUUGAUUCACUUGGAUGGUGGGAUCCAAUAAAAUCCAAUAACUGGGUGCAACCGUAGCACGGUGCCGCAGUUGCACCACAGUUUUUCCCAUUUAUUUAUUAUGCUUUCAGUGCAGUUGGCAAAAACAUGGAGCUUACGCGCGCUUUUCUGAUGUGGCGCGUGAAUUGGAAAUGUGGUAGAUCUUUGUGGAUCCGCCGGUGCAGUGAAGAGUGAAGGAAAAAAGAGAAAAGUUAUCAUGCCAGAUCAUUUGAAGAGAGCCGCAAUUAGUAAUUACACCACAAUAUAUUUCUGAUUAUUUGCUUACUUUGAUGAUGUUUUUACUGAUUAGUAAUUGGAAUAUGUUAGAAUCUAAAUAUAGUAGAAUCAUAAUAGAGUUGAAUCAAAAUAGACUAUAAUUAGAAUGGAUAAUGGGAAUUAGAAGAAUUAUUUGCUUUAGUUGUGAGAAUCCAAAUUGGAAUGAACUAUAUUGUCGUUGAUAUGUUUACUUUAUCAUAGAAUAUGAAUGAAUUAUUACAAGUUACUAAACAGACCUUAAGUUGAUUAUUGUCAUUAUUUAUUUAUUUAUUAUUAUUAUUAUUAUUAUCAUCAUCAUCAUCAUCAAAAUUAUUAAUCUUAUUAUUAAUGUUAAUUAUAAUAAUUAAUAAUUAUAAUAGUAUUAUAAUAAUAAUAAUAAUAAAAGCAAUCAUAAAAUGAGAAUUUCAAGAUUUAAGUAGAGAUAAUAUAAUUAUUUUAGAAAAUGAGAAUUUCCAUGAGAAUGUGAACUCUAUUAAUCAUUCCCAAUUUGAAGUGGGGCCUGCCAUUUUGAUUCAAUCUCUCAUUUAAGCAAGUAAAUACGACAUUUAUUCUCAUUCCCUCAUUCCCACUCUCAGGUAGCGUUUGUUUUUUAACUUAAUGACUUAAAGUGACUUAACUUAAUUAAUUAAGUUAAUUAGAGGUGUUUAUUUUUAUAACUUAAUGAGACUUUUUAGAUAAUUUUGACUUAAUAAAAUGAGCCAAUUUUUUUUGGCUUUUUACUUAAUGGAGAAAUUUGAAUUUAGUCAAUUACUUACUAAUGUCAAAAAUAUCUAUGUUUUAUAAUUUAUUUUUCAUGUCUAUCCCAAAACUCACCCAUAGACAUUUACCCCACAUAAAAAUAUCCCUAUUUUUUCUUUCUUAUAUUAUAUACGAUAAAAUUUGAAAUUUAUGGUAUUUUAUAUAUUAAAAUUCUAAAAUAAUUAUGUAUUCACUUGAAUAUAGUUUUACUUAUAACUGUUAAAAUAUUGUGGUAUUUAAUAUAUUAUUUAUUUGACAUUAAAAUUUAAUAAGGAUACAAAUGUAAAAGUACAUAUUUUCAGUUUUUUCAGUUAAAAAAAAAGCAACUUAAUACUUAUUUUUCGAGAUUCAGACGAAAAAAUAAACAUAUUAUUCAUAUUCAGACAUUUAGAUAUAUUCAGAAUUCAAACUAAUUCAGGUCUAUUCAGAUUUUAGACAAAAAAAACAAACGCCACCUCAAUCAAUAAACACACCAUAAAUGUAGAGUUGUUACUAUUAGAAUACAUUAUAAUUCAUCACAAUUAUGAUAGGUAUAUACGUGUGUAAUAAUUUAUAUAAGAUGCUAAAUUUUGAAAAUAAUAAAAAAUCAUUUAUACAUAUUUAAAAAAAUCAUUAAUACAUUAAAAUGUGCAUCACAUAUACAUUUACAUAAUAGCAAUGACCAUAGUAUAAAAAAAACUCCUAAAAGAGAACGACUUCGUUAUUUAUGUUAUUUUAUAUAUUUUUAAUUGAUUAUUAAAAGGAUCAAUUGUUAAUUAUUAUUCUCCAAACAUAAUCACCGUUAAACAUUUAUUCAAUUUAACAAUAGGUAGAUGUUAAAUAAUAUUGGAAUAUUUAAUGAACAAUAUAAUCACUAUUGCAGUUGUUUUUUUUUUUUAGUAAUGGAUUAUUCGAAACUCAAAUUCAUUUUUUAGCCCCCUUACCUCUCUUAAAAUUCAAAUUUAAGUGACUAAACAAAUAAAACUGCUUAAAAUCUAUACGACUACAUCUUUGGGGACCAAUUAAUAUGGAUGUUUAAAUCUUGAUUUAUUAUUAAAUCUUUGAGUUUCAACCACUAAUAACAUCAUCAUCGAUUAAUGACAAAUAAAAUAAUACAUCAUCAAAACCAUUAAACACGUCCAUCAAUAUCAAAAACAAGUAAAAAGUUUAGCAUGUAUUUCAAAUAUACUUUUCAUCCCAAAAGUUGUAGAGAAAGUCUCGAUAUCAAUGUCACUAUGAGACGUAAUUUUAUAUUUAAAGUCAGCGCAACUUAAAAAUUACUAUGAAUGAAUAAUACACCAUAAAAAAAUUAUUUAUAAGUAUUUUCAUCAUGUAUUUUUAUUUAACAAUGGUGACAUUUAUUUUUUAACUUAAUGACUUAAAGUGGCUUAACUUAAUUAAUUAAGUUAAUUUUAGGUGUUUGUUUUUAUAACUUAAUAGGACAUUUUAGAUAAUUUUGACUUAAUAAAAUAGGCCAAUUUUUUUUAACUUUUUACUUAAUAGAGAAAUUUGAAUUAAGUCAGUUACUUUCUAAUGUAAAAAAAUAUUCCUACUUUAUAAUUUAUUUUUCAUGCAUAUUCAAAAACUCACCCAUAGAUAUUUACCCCACAUAAUCUCAUCUUUAUUUUCUUCCAGCCGUCAUGGAAUCCCUCCUCACUUUGCUUCUCUCCUCUAGUUCUUGAAUCUCCCUUUAAUUUCUCGCUAGGCAAAGCACUUGAAUUGGGCUUUUUUUUUUUCCUUUUCAAUUACGUUUUCCAACAUUCACUUAUAUAAUAAUCAACUAGUUGCUACUCUUUUUAGUGAUAAAAUUUGAAAUAUGGUAUUUUAUAUAUUAAAUUUUCAAAAUUAUGUAUUCACUUAAAUGUAGUUUUACUUAUAAAUAUUAAAAUAUUAUGUUAUUUAAUAUAUUAUUUAUUUGACAUUCAAAUUUAAUAAGGAUAUAAAUGUAAAAGUACAUAUUUUUAAUUUUUUAAGUUGAAAAAAUAACUUAAUAUUUAUUUUCAGAUAUUCAAAUAAAAAAUAUAUUAUUUAAAUUCAAAAAUUUAAAUCUAUUCAAAAUUUAAAGUAAUUCAGGUCUAUGCAUAUUUCAAUCAUAAAAACAAAUGCCACAUGAGUCAUUCAAUUUCUAAUUAAGAGGAUAAAAAAUAGAUUUGGACUAUCCUAAGACAAAAACAAAAAAAAAAACAAAAAUAAGAUUUCCUAAUAAGUGUACUAACGUGGUCACGCGCCUUGAGAAACGCUUGGACCUAACACACUAUUUUAAUCCGAUAUGCAAAAAAAGAAAAAAAAAAAAAAGGAAAAAUUAUGAGAUGUAUAAGUUUCUAGAGACGUGUUAAAUUUUGAUGAAACAAUGAAGAAAGUCGGUGGCCGAAGUUGGUAUGGGGCAAUGCGAAUGGUGGUUGGCCCACGUUGCCCUGUAAUUGGAGUUGUUAUAAUUUUUCUUAUAAUUAAUAGGACUUGACACAGACUGCAGCAUCAGCCGUUGGAUGUGGAGGGAGAAACUAAACAAUAGAAAACCGUAUGGUGGGAUGACGGUAGAUGUUUGUUACAGAAACUGUACCAUAGACAGGUCCUAAUUAAUAAGCUCUACGUUUUGAAACAAUAAAUAAACUCCAGAUGACCAAAAUAUCAUUUCAUACUGCUACCUAGACAUCUUGGCGAGGGUGGGUAAUGUGGGGCCCGGAGCUUGUUUGAUCGUCAAUUAUUCUCUGGUUUGGUGAAACGAAUGGACGGACGAUGGUGAUGGCUUUUAGGAGAUUAGUAUUAUUAUUAUUAUUAUUAUUAUUACAUUGAGAUCGUAAAACAAAAAAUUCAAUUAAUAAUAUAAAAUAUUUAUUUAAUUUAUUAAUUAUUAUAUAUACACAAUAAAAAAAUUUAUAUACAUAUUUAUAAAUGUGUAAAUAAAUUUCAUUCAAUAUUAUAUCCAAUUAAUCAUUUAUAUUUUUCUGCUGUACCGUACAUCCGCCUUGGCCGUACAGCAGUAAAGCUGCUGAUGCUUUAUCGCGAAUUCAUGAGGAAAAUGUGAUUGAAGAACCCAAACCAACAACUCUUUGUUUGUCGUUAGACAUUUACCCCACAUAAAAAUAUCCCUAUUUUUUCUUUCUUAUAUUAUAUACGAUAAAAUUUGAAAUUUAUGGUAUUUUAUAUAUUAAAAUUCUAAAAUAAUUAUGUAUUCACUUGAAUAUAGUUUUACUUAUAACUGUUAAAAUAUUGUGGUAUUUAAUAUAUUAUUUAUUUGACAUUAAAAUUUAAUAAGGAUACAAAUGUAAAAGUACAUAUUUUCAGUUUUUUCAGUUAAAAAAAAAGCAACUUAAUACUUAUUUUUCGAGAUUCAGACGAAAAAAUAAACAUAUUAUUCAUAUUCAGACAUUUAGAUAUAUUCAGAAUUCAAACUAAUUCAGGUCUAUUCAGAUUUUAGACAAAAAAAACAAACGCCACCUCAAUCAAUAAACACACCAUAAAUGUAGAGUUGUUACUAUUAGAAUACAUUAUAAUUCAUCACAAUUAUGAUAGGUAUAUACGUGUGUAAUAAUUUAUAUAAGAUGCUAAAUUUUGAAAAUAAUAAAAAAUCAUUUAUACAUAUUUAAAAAAAUCAUUAAUACAUUAAAAUGUGCAUCACAUAUACAUUUACAUAAUAGCAAUGACCAUAGUAUAAAAAAAACUCCUAAAAGAGAACGACUUCGUUAUUUAUGUUAUUUUAUAUAUUUUUAAUUGAUUAUUAAAAGGAUCAAUUGUUAAUUAUUAUUCUCCAAACAUAAUCACCGUUAAACAUUUAUUCAAUUUAACAAUAGGUAGAUGUUAAAUAAUAUUGGAAUAUUUAAUGAACAAUAUAAUCACUAUUGCAGUUGUUUUUUUUUUUUAGUAAUGGAUUAUUCGAAACUCAAAUUCAUUUUUUAGCCCCCUUACCUCUCUUAAAAUUCAAAUUUAAGUGACUAAACAAAUAAAACUGCUUAAAAUCUAUACGACUACAUCUUUGGGGACCAAUUAAUAUGGAUGUUUAAAUCUUGAUUUAUUAUUAAAUCUUUGAGUUUCAACCACUAAUAACAUCAUCAUCGAUUAAUGACAAAUAAAAUAAUACAUCAUCAAAACCAUUAAACACGUCCAUCAAUAUCAAAAACAAGUAAAAAGUUUAGCAUGUAUUUCAAAUAUACUUUUCAUCCCAAAAGUUGUAGAGAAAGUCUCGAUAUCAAUGUCACUAUGAGACGUAAUUUUAUAUUUAAAGUCAGCGCAACUUAAAAAUUACUAUGAAUGAAUAAUACACCAUAAAAAAAUUAUUUAUAAGUAUUUUCAUCAUGUAUUUUUAUUUAACAAUGGUGACAUUUAUUUUUUAACUUAAUGACUUAAAGUGGCUUAACUUAAUUAAUUAAGUUAAUUUUAGGUGUUUGUUUUUAUAACUUAAUAGGACAUUUUAGAUAAUUUUGACUUAAUAAAAUAGGCCAAUUUUUUUUAACUUUUUACUUAAUAGAGAAAUUUGAAUUAAGUCAGUUACUUUCUAAUGUAAAAAAAUAUUCCUACUUUAUAAUUUAUUUUUCAUGCAUAUUCAAAAACUCACCCAUAGAUAUUUACCCCACAUAAUCUCAUCUUUAUUUUCUUCCAGCCGUCAUGGAAUCCCUCCUCACUUUGCUUCUCUCCUCUAGUUCUUGAAUCUCCCUUUAAUUUCUCGCUAGGCAAAGCACUUGAAUUGGGCUUUUUUUUUUUUCCUUUUCAAUUACGUUUUCCAACAUUCACUUAUAUAAUAAUCAACUAGUUGCUACUCUUUUUAGUGAUAAAAUUUGAAAUAUGGUAUUUUAUAUAUUAAAUUUUCAAAAUUAUGUAUUCACUUAAAUGUAGUUUUACUUAUAAAUAUUAAAAUAUUAUGUUAUUUAAUAUAUUAUUUAUUUGACAUUCAAAUUUAAUAAGGAUAUAAAUGUAAAAGUACAUAUUUUUAAUUUUUUAAGUUGAAAAAAUAACUUAAUAUUUAUUUUCAGAUAUUCAAAUAAAAAAUAUAUUAUUUAAAUUCAAAAAUUUAAAUCUAUUCAAAAUUUAAAGUAAUUCAGGUCUAUGCAUAUUUCAAUCAUAAAAACAAAUGCCACAUGAGUCAUUCAAUUUCUAAUUAAGAGGAUAAAAAAUAGAUUUGGACUAUCCUAAGACAAAAACAAAAAAAAAAACAAAAAUAAGAUUUCCUAAUAAGUGUACUAACGUGGUCACGCGCCUUGAGAAACGCUUGGACCUAACACACUAUUUUAAUCCGAUAUGCAAAAAAAGAAAAAAAAAAAAAAGGAAAAAUUAUGAGAUGUAUAAGUUUCUAGAGACGUGUUAAAUUUUGAUGAAACAAUGAAGAAAGUCGGUGGCCGAAGUUGGUAUGGGGCAAUGCGAAUGGUGGUUGGCCCACGUUGCCCUGUAAUUGGAGUUGUUAUAAUUUUUCUUAUAAUUAAUAGGACUUGACACAGACUGCAGCAUCAGCCGUUGGAUGUGGAGGGAGAAACUAAACAAUAGAAAACCGUAUGGUGGGAUGACGGUAGAUGUUUGUUACAGAAACUGUACCAUAGACAGGUCCUAAUUAAUAAGCUCUACGUUUUGAAACAAUAAAUAAACUCCAGAUGACCAAAAUAUCAUUUCAUACUGCUACCUAGACAUCUUGGCGAGGGUGGGUAAUGUGGGGCCCGGAGCUUGUUUGAUCGUCAAUUAUUCUCUGGUUUGGUGAAACGAAUGGACGGACGAUGGUGAUGGCUUUUAGGAGAUUAGUAUUAUUAUUAUUAUUAUUAUUAUUACAUUGAGAUCGUAAAACAAAAAAUUCAAUUAAUAAUAUAAAAUAUUUAUUUAAUUUAUUAAUUAUUAUAUAUACACAAUAAAAAAAUUUAUAUACAUAUUUAUAAAUGUGUAAAUAAAUUUCAUUCAAUAUUAUAUCCAAUUAAUCAUUUAUAUUUUUACAGCGGUUUAAUAAUAAUAUUUACUAAAUACAUAUGAUUAUUUUUAAAAUUCACAGUAUUUUUAAAAAUAAAUUUUAUAAAAUUUUUAACUAAUUUUCUUUACAACUAACUAUUGAACGGUUUAACUAAUAGUAAUUAUUUUUAAAAUUAUAGUAUUAUCAAAUUAGUCCUAUGUCAAAUUUGUUAUUGCUGUUUUUUUUUUAAUUAAAAAAUUACAUAGUGCAUACGUGCAUAAUAUGCCCAACUCAAAAAUUCACACAAAAUAUACUAUUUAACUUUAAGGCUUUAAUUGAAAAAAAAAAUUAAGAUUAAGAUGAAUAAAUACUAGAACAUAACAAAUAGAUAAACUCUCCCAUUCUUUAAAAAGAUUAAUUUUAUUUUAAACUUACACUUCGAAUUCAAAGUAGACAUUGAUUGAUAAAAUUAUACAAACGGAUCAAUAUUCCUACAUUUUCUUUUUAAUUUCAAAACCAACAGAUAUUGUUUGUUCAUUAUAUGACCUCCAAACAAAUAAUUUCAUUAAUAAAAUAAUAAUGAAAAGUGUCGUGAUGGGUAUAGAGUAAUUAGGUGGCUAAGUUUCUACUUUUCAUUCUAACUCUUGAGGUUGGUAGGCGCGUGGGUGGUCCACAAAACCCGUGGACGGUAGCAUUCAAACAAAGACUGGAGGCACCAGAAAAAUGUCCAAAAAGUGUGAAACCGUGACGUGUUCAACAUGUUAAUAAAUUUAGGCAAAUGUUAAAGUUACGGAGCUGGCUACGUUACAGAAACUGUACGUAACAGCCAUGCAUUUUUUAUUCGUUGGAUCUAGAGACUGAAAUUGGAUGGUUGGGAUUAAAGGCCAGAAUAGAAAUUAAUCACGGGCAACCGUUUUUAACAUUUAGAAGGGUUUAUUUUCAUGCACACCCAAAUAUUUUGACAAAUAUCAAUAUGCACCCAGUAACUUUUUAUGUAAAACCACAUAACCGACCCGUUAACUUUUCUACUAUUGAAUUAAAAAACUAUCAUGCCUCAAUUGAAUUAAAUUGAUCAGGUAAAAUAUCUUUUAUAACUUGUCAAUUUUUACAGUGAAAUAUACGAGUAUUUAGUAAAAUCAAAUUUAUUUUUUAUUCAGUAAUCAAAUUUUUUUAUUUAGUGAAAUCAAAAUUAUUUUUCUUUAGUUGUAAGAUUUUUUUAACAAAAAAAUUCUAAAAUCAGAUUUAACUCAUUUACUAUUUUAAAAAAUGAACUUUUUACUAACCAAACUAGAGUUUAUCUUUAGUCAACAUAUUUUUUUCUCUAAAAUAACCUUUGAUAGAAUUACUUAUAUAAACAUGUCAGUAUCAAAAUUACUUCAUAUUUUACCAUCCAUCAAUUUAAACUAGUGUGAAAUUUUUUUAGUUUGAUAUUGAAAAUAUGAUAGUUGAUGAGAGAAAUCUAAUUCAAAUUUACAGAUAGAAUAGUUUCUUAUAAUUGCGUACAUGGUAUAUCAAAAAUAUUUUUUUGUGAGUUUUUAAAAAAAUUGUGUCACAAGAUGAAAUUAUCUCUUGAUUUUUCAAUUCCUGGAAUUUAUGUAAAACAAUAAACACAAGUAAAUCUUUUGGUUUGUGACUUCUUGAAGGAAUGUUUGGGAACGCACAAGUUCCUCUCUCCUUCAAAAAGAAUGAUAAGUGCAAAUACCAACCUAGAAAAUUGAUUUAUAAUUCAAAGAAGAUUUGAUUGAAGAUGAUUAAUUGAAAUUUAUCUUUGCAUGAUGUCAAACAUUUUUCAAAAUGACUAAGUCAAGUCUCUUUGUUAAUUCAAAUCAAGAAAAAUUAGAAAAAUAUUAAUGCAUAGAAAUUCUACUAAGAGUUAUUUAUGAAAUUCUCAAACGAAUAGAAAUUAAAUUAACAUUUUUAAAUUUUAGUUAUGGGUUUAUUUUAAAAAUGGGUUUAGAAAGAAAUUUGAGGGGUUUAAAGAACCCCGCCCUUUCUUUAAUUAUUCGGUGAAUUUGAAAUAUAUUAAUAAGGUAUAAGAAUAUGUUAUUCUAAUCUUCUUAUGCAAAAUCUAUGCAAUUAAAAAAAAAUUCACCAAACGGUAUUUGUCUUUUUAUUGACAUUUAAUAAUAUUGAUGGCAAAUAUAUACAAUUAUCAAUCAAUUGUUAUCAACUAUUCAAGAUAACUGAAAAACUAAUUGCGUGAAGUUGGAGUAAUGAUUGUUUGAAUUGCCAAGAGUUUUUUUUUAAUAGAAACUAUUGCAAUUCAUAUCAUUAAAAAACUUAAAGACUACAAGUCGAAUAAAAAAUCUUUCCUUAUAAAAGAAUUUGACCAACUCAAAGUACAGUGUUAAAUCCUUGAGAUACAAUGAACCUAAAAAUCCUACUUUGACACACCACAAAUAAUGAAUCUAACUUAACAAUCAAUGGAGAUAAAUCAAUUUUACUAGCAAAAUAUAAGCCAAAACACAAGGCAACGUCUUCACCAAAAUCAAUAUCAUUCAAAUAAUUCCCCUUGUGAACGCCUGAAGCUAUCAUAAAAACAACAAAAAAUAAAAAAAUAAAAACAAGUAGACAAGCAAAAAAAUUCCCCAAUAACAAGUUACCCUACAAAACUUUUCCUUGUAGAACAUACACAGAAACCGCAGCUAUAGGGCUAUCGAAAGUAGGGAUGGCAAUGGGGAGGGGAGGGGAGGGGACCAAUCUCCCCAUACCCAUCCCCGAUAUUUUGCGUAUGUCCCCGUCCCCGUCAGAAUUGCUUGAGAGAAUCUCCAUCCCCUCCCCGAAUAAUAACAGGGGAUCCCCGAGGGUCCCCGGUCUUUGGAAAAGCUAGGAAAGAAAAGGGACGUGAAAAACAAAGGGGGUAGAUUUUUUGAAGGGGAAAGAAAAAGAAACCCUAGAUCUAAAUUUUUCUCUUCUCUCUAUGAAGAACUAAACCUAUUAUUCUGGUUGAAGAUUAAUAAAGCUUUGGUUCAUCAUUACUGUGAGAUCUUUCUUAUGCUUUAAUUGUUUUAUUGCUUUUUGGGUAUUUGUUUAUUCUCUAAAUUAUUGUCAUGAUUAUAUUUGUUAAUUAGAUAAUUGGCCACUAUUUAAUUAUCAACUUAAUCUAUUGUCAAUUAAAAGAUUCAUCGUAUGAAGAUUUUAAUAUUUGUGACAAAUAGCAUAGCAGUGCGUUGUGUUAUGAGAAUAAACAAUCUAAUUUAAAUGAACCAUCGUAUGCGUUUGUUGAUUAGGAUUUGGGUCUCUCUGAUUUUUCAGGUUGUCAAUUAAUUAAAUCCUAUGAUUGUAUCUAGGGUUAUCUAUUAAUUAGGGAAAUAACCAAUGGUCGUACCUUAGUUAUCGACUAGUUAAAGAGAGAUUGGCUAUUAAAGGGUCUCAGUAGCUAGGGAUGGCAAAAAUCCCCACGGGGACGGGCACCCUCGGGGAUUUUCCCCAUUCGGGGAGGGUACGGGGAUAAUUUUAUACCCAAUUUUUUUUUCGGGGAGGGGACGGGGAAAAUUUUUUACCCAAUUUUUUAUUCGGGGAGGGGACGGGGAUGAGGUGGAAUCCCCAUCCCCUACCCAUUUCCCCAUUUUAAUUUUUAUUUUUUAUUUUUAAAAUUACUAAUAAAUAUAUAACAAAAUUAUAAAUAUUGGCAAGAUAUGAGUGGAAUUUUGGGUGUGACAUGUAUAUUUGAUCCAAGGUAUAAAAAGAAGUUCAUUGAAUAAUACUUUUCUUUUUAUUUUUAAAAUUACUAAUAAAUAAAUAACAAAAUUAUAAAUAUUGUUAAAAAUAAUAAAUAUCAAAAUAGUUGUAUGUUGGGAAAGUGGUCACCCCUUACCAGGAAUUAGUGGAAGAGUAUCAAUUGAAGUUUUCACCAAUUGUUUAUUGCUUUGAUUAUACUGGUUGUAGUUCUUCUAUUAGAUCUACAGGGGAUUCUUAUAAGAAAGCAACCAAAUGGAUGACAUGUUUUGAUGAUUAUGUAAACAAUGGAGAUUGUGCAGUUGUUGCAGAUGAAUUAGAUUCAUAUUUGGAUGAAAAAGUUAUACCCCGGAUGGAAGAUUUUAAUAUUUUGAGUUGGUGGAAGACAAAUGCUAAUAGGUAUCCUACAUUAGCUCGAAUUGCUACAGGACGAGCAGGAGGUAAAUAGUUUUAUUAAAAAUAUUAAUUAAGUAUCUACAUUUAUUUCAUUUAUUUUAUUGCCGAUGUAAAAAAUAUUUUUUUUUUCUUUUUAUUGUAGGAUUAUGAAGAUUGAGACAUUGAUAAAGAUAAUUAUUUUAAUAAUUUAUAUUUUGAAUGUGACUUUGUAAUGGAUCAAUAUUAAUGUAAGAUAUAUUUUAAACUUUAUUUUUAUCUGAAUUUUUUAUUUUAAUAUGAUUAAUUUAAAAUCAAAAAUAAAAAAAUGUAUUAGACUAUUAAUUAUUCGGAGACCGGGGACCCUCGGGGAUCCCCUGUUAUUAUUCGGGGAGGGGAUGGGGAUUCUCUCAAGCAAUUCUAACGGGGACGGGGAGGGGACGGGGACAUACGCAAAAUAUCGGGGAUGGGUAUGGGGAGAUUAGUCCCCUCCCCUCUCCUCCCCAUUGCCAUCCCUAGAUUUUUGCCAUCCCUAUCGAAACCUCUACCCACCACUAUUAGAGUUAAAAAAAUCUCUGAUAUGAGUGUAUUCUUCUAAUUUGAACUCUAACGUGAUUUUUUGAGAGAUUCAUUGGAAAAAAACCUUAAGGAGUUAAAGAAGAAAUUUAAAAAAAAAAUCAUAAAAAGAGGAAUGAAAAGAAAAAGAUGCUUUACCAAGAGUUGAUUGACAGUAAUUGGUAAAUUUGAGCAUGCAAUAAAAUUUACCCAUAUAUUCAUAUGACAUAAAAUAUAAUUUUAUUCAUUAAUUACACUACUAAUUUGUCUAAAUUUUAGUUUUUAAAAAAAUAAAUUUCUAUAUAUUUACAUAAAUCUUAGUUUUUAUAAAAAUAAAUUGAAAAAUAAAUUUAUGUUUUUAUAAAAAUAAAUUUAUGUUUAUUUUUUUACAUUGACCUGAAGAAAAGACUAGUACUACUAAGCUGCUGUACGGCCAAGGCGGAUGUACGGUACAGCAGCAAUUUGACUGUUUGGGGGUGGGGUUGAUGGCUUACAUCAAAGUUAGUGUGUGCUAAGGAUUAACAAUAAUAAUGGGGUAAAUAUGAAAUUAAUCCUUGCCCAAGCAUUAGAAGUUCGUCGGUUUUCUUUUAACCGGAUAAUUACCGGUGAAUAUGUCACGCGUUCCUACACGUGGCAGCAUCUAAUUUAUUCGCUUGUCAUUUCAGUUUCUGUUAGUUACAGUUUCUGUAACGUAGCUAGCUCCGUCAGGUACAGGCAUGUUGUAACUUACGUUUCUCGUAAAAAUCAUAUAAGUUCUAUUUCUACCGCUAGGGUGAGCAUGGGUUGAUUUGGAUUAAAUUUUAAGUUAAUUUAAAUUAAAUUAUAAAAAUUUGGGUGUAAUCUAAAUUAAUUUAAAUAUUUUUAACAUAACUCAUGGGUUGGUUAAAUCAAACUAUAAAAAUUUGGUCCAACUCAAAUUAACUCAAAUAUUUUCAACACAACCCAAAGCAACUCAGUUGGAUUUUAUUAAAAUUAUAAUAAUUAUUAAUUGUUUUUAAACCAACCAUUUUGAGUUUGGUUUGGAUUUUAUUAUCAAAAUAUAUUUUUUAUUUUGAGAAAUUUAAUUUUAUCAAAAUUAUAAUAAUUAUUAAUUGUUAUUACUUAUUAAAUUGAUAAUAACAUAUAAAAAUUAUAAUUCAUAAAAAUUAUAAAUAACAAAUUUUACAAUAACUUAAUCCUUAAAUUAAAGAAUACUAGAAAAUUAAAAUAAAGUUUAAUCACAAAAAUCAUUAUUUAUCAAUAAAUAAGAAAAUUCUAAUAAAAAACUUCUACAAGCACGAUAUCGACAAGUAAAUUCAAAGAAAGAAAGAAAGAAAGAAAAGACUAGUACUACUAAGUAUUAACCCUAUUACAACACAAACUCUAACAAUGUCCAUACAAAUAAAAAAAAAUAAGACAUUCUAACUCAAGUGUCAAAGCAAUCCAUCAUAAUCAUUUCCAUCCGUAGUACUUUAAUCGAGAGAUUCCACGAUUAACUGACAAAAUGUAUGACAAUGAUAAUUUACAUUGAUUAUGACAUAAUAGAGAUGGAUUUGUCAAAGCCAAAUCAUUUGCUGGAAAGGAAUUUAGUUGAAGUAGGAACCAAAAUUCAACUUAGAUGGAUCUAUAAAAUUGGUCAUUCAAUACAUAAGUACUUUAUCAACAGAUUCAACACAUUAUAAAUUUAUGGAUUCAACUAAGUUACAACCAGCUGCAACUUAUUCCUCUCACAUAAACAAUAAUACAGCGGUAGGCUAUAUUAUUUACAAAAAGUACUUAUGUAUUGAAUGACCAAUUUUAUUACCUGCAAAAUUAAUUAAUCUUUCACUCUAUCAUCUAACUAAUGGAAGGCAAUCUUAUUUUAGGUUGUAAUGAUUAGAAACUAGCAGGAAGUGGGGGCGAUGCUCCAUAUUAAUUUGGAUAAAUCCCUUUCUAGUGAAGAAGUUAAAAUUAUAAAAUAGAGAUCAAGAUAGAAAUUUAAAGGCCCCGAUUGUUUUUUACAGACUUAAAAAUGAUAUUGAAAAAUUAAAAGCUAAUUUUAGUAUUUAAAAAUUACUUUAAGAAAAAUCACCCUAUCUUCCUGUAAAUUUUGAAAAGCAUGAAAAGAGCAGUUUUUCAAAAAUUGAUUUCGAAAAUUAGUUUCAUACUUAAUACAAUUCCAUAUAUCCUAACAUUUAUUAUAAAAAUUCAAAUUAUCCUUAUUAAAUUAGGAAAUAAAGUCAGUACAUUUAAAUAAGAGUGAUGAUAUAGACACAAACUCUUGUACCAACUGACGUAGCAUUAAUUUAUUAGUUGAAUGAAAAUAUAAAAUAAUAUAAAUAAAUCAUGUGGGCCAAGAAAUAUUUAAUUUAACCAAUUUUAUCAUGUCACAUUAUAAGCAACUUAUAAACUCAUUGGAUUCGACUCUUUACUAAAAUAAAAAUAAAUUAAUAUAUAUAUAUAUAUAUAUAUAUAUUUACAUACAUAAAAUGUGAUUAUAUACACAUAUUUAUAAUUGAAUAUGUACAUAAAUUCUGUAGAUUUAUGUCUAUCUAUACAUUUGCAUUCUUACCACAUUUUAAAAGUGUGAUUUACCAAAUACAUGGGACUUAUUUGAAAUUUAUAGCACUUUUAUAAAUAAAAUUUAUCAAACGUUAAACAGAUUCUCUAUUUUCGCGUAUAUAUCCUCAUGUAAAUUAUAAAAAUUCAAAAUUAUCUUUAUUCAAUUAGGAAAUUAAAUCAUUAUUUUUAAAGAGAUUCUUAUUAUUACUAAUUAGAUUCAAAUAACCAAAAAAAUACAAUCAAUAAAAUAAAAAUAUUUAUUUUAGUUAUCAUUUAUUAUAUACACAUAUUUAUAAAUGCAUGUGUAAAUAAAAUUUUAUAGAUUUAUGUCUAUUUAAGUUAUUUGCAUUCUUACAACAUUUAAAAAAUGAGAUUUACUAAACACAUGUGAUUGUUUUUAAAAAAGUUACAACACUUUUAAAAAUAAAAUUUAACAAAUGUUUAAUUGACUCUCUCCAAAGGUAAUUGUUUUUACAGUAUAGCUAAAGUAAUUUAUAAAUUUAUGAUAAGUAUUUGUGAAUAUUGGUCUAUGUAAAGAAGUAAAAACAACAUAUAUAUUAAGCAGCAUGAUAUUAAAACUCUUAGUAAAAUACAUAUACUAAUAAAAGAAAGACAACAAUGCAAUAAAUAAGCUUAUAAUAUAAAUUAUUAAAAUUGUAUAUUAAAAAAUUAUGCAUGAAAUUCUUUUUCUAUUUUGGUGAUAGAGAAUGCGAUAUAAUUGAAUUAUUUGAUUUAAUAAAAAAAAAAUAUGACUGUGAAGGAAAUUAACAAUUGAAUUGUGGAAUGUUAUUAAUUGUUAUUGUAUCAUUUUGCAACGUUCUAAUAAUAUGGACAAUGUUACAGUAUAUUGAUGGGCGGUAAUAUUUUCACCUCUUAAAUUGUGUAAAGUCAGCUCCAUUUAAAAAAAUUAUAUAUAAAAAGCCCAUUAGUUUUAAUAGUUUCAAAUUAAGAUUAAAUGCAAAUAAUUAACCAAUUAAAUCCUUAUUAAUAAGAUCAUUGAGCUUUAAUUAAACUAAUAAAAUGCAUUUGAUAAAUGAAAUUUACGAUAUUUAAUUACAUGAAAUUUAUUGACUACAUGAAUAAUAUAAUUGUUCAGCUGUUUAAACUUUUUCCCUAUUUAAAUUUUAAAAAACAAUGUGAAAUUUUGUAAAUAGUUCUUUGAAAUGGGGUGGAUUUACACCAUUUGUGCAGUGCAAAUAUCCUAAUUCUAACAUUUUUUUUAAAAAAAAAGACCAAAUCAUAACAUUUUUUGUAUACUAAGUUAAAGUAGUACUAACAUUAUAGCCCCCUAAUGAUUUCAAUUCAUUCAAUGAAUAUAUAAUUUAAGCAUGUUAUAAACUAAGUCUCUAAAUCGAAUUAAAAAAAGAAAAAAGAGCUUAAUUGCUGACAUAGUUGAAAAUAAAAUAAAAAAUUUUAUUAUUAGAUGAAAAAUUAUGAAACUUAAGGGGUAUAAGCGAGUCGGCAGCUGCUCACCAGGGCAUAUGUAAUAUUUGUUAAUACAUUUCAAAAUUUUAGGUUUUUUAAUAAUAUUUUCAAUACAUUUUCUAGAAGGUUUAGAAAAAAAAAAUGACUCAAUACUUUAAUCGAGCUAUGAAUAAACUCAUGUGUUAAAAAAUUUCAUAUUUACACCCAAUAAGAUUAAUUAAUGGGUGAUACAAAUUUAAGAUAGUUAAUAAUAAUAUAUAUCAUCUUAAGUUAACUUCAACUCAUUAACCUUGUAUAAGGUUUGAUGGGUCGUGCCGCAAAUUAUCACCUCUAAUCCUUUUUGCAACAGGCAUGAUGAAUGCUAACAAAAUGAAACUUCUAUAUAUUUAGUUGUUAUUCUUUUUAAUGAAAUAAUAAGGAGCUUUGCUGCAAAUUUCCAUCCAGCAUGGCAUGGACGCACGUGAAAUUUGCUAGUAUGGUCCUGGACAUGCGUGGCUGAGAUGCUUCUAAAGGCAAAGAAUUCCAAGUUCAUACCAAAUAUAACUUUCUGAUAUUUUUGUGGUAUCAAGUUUGUUUUUCACAAACUAAGGUGUCGGCGUAAAGUUGUUGUCCAUGCAAUGAAGUUUUAUACAUAAAUAUAUUAACCUAAAUUGUUACUAAAGUUCCAUAAUUAGCAGUUCCUGAGAGUUUUUACUAUAUAUUUUUUUGUUUUAAUUCAACAUAUGUUUAUUUAAUACGAUUUUAUUAAAUAAAUGUGCAUAUUUACCAUAUUUGUCUACGAUCAAUUAGUUGGAAAAAAAAAAGAAAAUUAAUAAAUUUAUUUAUUUGAUUGUUAAUGGUUUAGGCAUUUGAAUUCCCACAAAGUCAGGGUGUCAGCUCUGGACUUCUGGUGAUGUAUUUUUCUAAUAAAGAAAUAAAAUAUUGUUGUCAUUUUUUUAAUAUUCUAAUUUACCAAGCCUACCAACCAAUUAAUUUUUCUAAUUAGAUCAUUAAUUCAUUACACGUGCAUUCGCUGGCCCAGUGCUCCAAUCCCAUGCAUGCUGCACAACUCAAUGUGUUUUAAUAAGAAAAGGUUUGGUUAGCCUGUGCUGAUGCCAGAAGCCCCUUAAGGAGUUCAGGUAAACGUAAAUAUGUCCAGAUUUAGAUUUGAAUAUGUAAACGUAAAUAGGUCCAGAUUCAGAUUCGUUGCGCUAGAGAGGGGCACGCACGAUCGGGCUGCUGUCAGGUGGUACGUUGGCGUGGCAAUUCUCAACACGCGCUUCUCCUGGUGCAUACUUACGGCAAGUUGACACGUGACCCGUGUGGAUUGAGUGGACAGAGUCACGGGCACUGAUUUUUGUCAUCCAUAACGACUAACGUCGGAGACUUCGAGAAGAAAGAAAUUGUUGUCGUUUCUAAGGGGAAAAAAAUAUUUAAUUUGUUGAAGACAAAUUAACGUCGGAGAUUUUUUUUAUUUUUUAUUUUUAAUUUUGCAAUCUAAACCAGUCUAAUCAAAAUGUCAAUUUGACAAAAGUUGGACUGAUUUAGAUUAGUUCUAUUAGUUUGAUUGGAUUAAAUUGAAUUAGAUCUUGAACAUCCUAACACUUUUCAUGAAUGUUUUCCUUUUUUUUUGAAAAAAAUUAAUAAGGAGAAUUCCCAUGAAUGUUAAUUUUAUUGAUAAACUUGGCAAUUUUAAGAAAUGUUUUGACGCACGAAUAAUGCAAUUCAUCAACCCACAUAGAUAUGGAUAUAGGAAGCAGAGACCAGAUCGAUCUUGACAUAACGAAAACUUGUAUGUGUAUAUGUAUGUUACAGACCAGAUCGAUCUGUAGCAUAGACUUCUCCUAUAUGUAGGUUAUAUUCAAAUUACAAAAUGAACACAUGUUAAGGAUCUACAACUUCUUCUUUAAUCUAAUAAGCUCCCUCAACUUUAUUCCAAAACAAAAAAGAAUCAAAUUUUUGUUGGAAAUAUUUAUGAAUGAAGAAGCAAAAAGCGCUUGUAUCAAGGAUCUAAUUAAAGAACUGCCAGAGGCAUAGAUCUAUCAAAGCUCCCUCGCAUGACUCUUGGUCUCGGUGGCUUCUUCUUCUUCAUUCCGAAUUUUCCCUCCAUCUGAUCUCUUCCAACCUUUCCAUUUCCAAAUUGAAUUGAAACUUGCCUCAUAUUCGUUUGUUGAAUCCCAUCUUUUGUUGCACCACCAUGCAUCAAAAUCCUUGAAAUCCCAGCAUAAUGCAAGGACUCAGCUAUUUGCAAUGGGGUCACGUUCUUACUUGUCCUUGCCUCAACAUCAGCUCCCUUCUUCACAAGCAAUUCAGUCACAUCUGUGUGGCCAGAUUCCACCGCACAAUGCAAAGCUGUGUACCCAUCUUCAUCUUUAGCAUCAACAUCAAUCCCUUUAUCAAUCAGAAUCCUCACAACCUCAAUCUUUCCCUUAAACGAAGCCCUAUGCAAAGCAGUCCAUCCAUGUAGGUCUUUCCCAUUGAUCGCGGCGCCUGCUUCGAUCAACCUCUGCAUUGUCCUCACUUCCCCUUUCCUAGCGGCAAUACACAGGCUGUCACCAAGCUUCAACGCGUCAAAGAGACGGGAGUGACCGCACUCAGCAGCAACAUCAUAAGCGGUCUUUCCGCUCUUGUUUCUAAUAUAUUUAUUAGCACCCUUCUGCAAUAACAGCUUCACCAUUUGCUCAUAUCCCAAGCUUGCGGCGAUAUGCAAAGGCGUGUCACCGUCUCUAGCGUUGCGUAUAUCAGGCCUUGCUCCGUUUGCUAACAGAAGUCUCGCGCAAUCUCUUCUUCUGUCUUCAACCGCGAGAUGCAGAGCUGUGUUACCAUCUUUUGUUAAAGCAUUGACAUUAGCACCUUUGAUUAAGAGAAGCUUUAGUACUUCCAAAUGGCCGCCUCGUAAGGCCAAGUGUAUGGGCCCCCAUGUUGAUGUUCCUGAUCUUUCUGUGCUGGCUUUCCUCGCCAACAAGAGCUCAACAAUAAGUGCUUCCCCUGCAGCCGCCGCGGCUUCAAGUGGAGUACUGCAGCCACACCUGCCUUGAGACUCAACAUCCGGCCCAAACUCAAGCAAAAGUUGAACAAUAUCAGGCCUCCUUUGAGCUAUAGCAAUAUGAAGCAACGUUUGUCCCUGCGCAUCGGCAGAAUCAGCCGGGUUCCAAGCCGGGUCACUCCGCUCAAGAACCUCUCUUAAAUCAUCCAUUUCACCAUCCUUAACAAGCAGAACCAAAACAGGAGACCCAACGAACAUGAUCUUGAUUCCGCUGUCGAUGAACACUUGCUUCUUCCUCGUUGUGAACCAGUCACUGGGGACGGAAUCAAGCGUCGACGUUGCAUCUUUAAUUCCAGCUCCAGGAACAACAACGCUGUGCAAGAGGAAGGAAUCAUCACAGUGAGGGAAAGAAUCAGGAAGAACCGAUCCUGGAGGGAGAUGAUACGCAAUCUCUACGCUUAGUGUUGCGAGUGGUGAUAUGAUUCCUGAUUGCGGCUUCACAGUAUAACGAGCCUUGUUUGUAGGCUGAAUCCUGAAAGCAACAGGCAUCGUGUGCAUGACAUUGCGGAGAGUCAGCUCCCCGGAACAUUUCUGCCCUGGUUCAAUUCUGAUAGCUACAAGGUUCGACGGCUCCAAGCUUACAAGCCUAUCCAUUGAUUAAUUUUCUCUCCGUUUCCCAAGGACUGCUGAAAGGGGUUCUUUGAACUUUUUGAUUCAGGCUUAUUUUCUUCACUUUUGGUGGCAUGGGGAGGAAUUAGAGGAGUAACUGUAAGAGCUGCAAGUGUUGGUGUAAUCAACUGUAAUAUAAGGAGAAGAGAGGGCCGGCUCUAAUGGGAGACUGCCACGUGGUGGUGUUAAAAACAAUGAGACUUGUUCUGUUCGGCGUCCGGAGUGUAUAUACAGUUGUGUUAGUGGUGAAAGUUAAAGAAAUCCUGAAGUUAUUUUCGGAGUGGCUUCUGCAAAGUCACUUUCAGGAUUGUAUUGUAUCAUUAAAAAACAAAGCCAGUUUUUGUUGUUCUAGUAAAAGGCGAAUCAUUGGACAAACUCGUAAGAAUAUGUUGCCAAAUGUAUAAAAUAUGAAAUUCAAACAAUGAUUACAAUGUGAAAUUGGACAAUGGACAUGGCCUGUGUGAAUUGUUUUGUGGGCUUACUAAUUAAAUUAAUUCACUAAAAAUAAUGUCACUUUUGUGUCUGUGAAGAAGCCGAAAUGGCACAGUCAUUUACGUGGCCAACUACGGUGACUACUUCGUCAGUAGCUGCUCGAGCACUUGGUCAGCACAAGUUGCUUUCUUUCUUGGCGGGAUUAGUUUUUCUUCAUUGCUUUAAGUGGUGCAUUUCUGCAGUUUCAUUUUGCUUUGCUUAUGCCAUUGGAUUUGUGCCCCAUAAAUAAAUAUAUAAUUAAGCGGAAAAGUAUCAAAUUUUGAAAAAGCUUAGGUUUUGUGUGUGUGUGUGUGUGUGUGUGUGUGUGUGUUUUAAGCCGAAUUACUCGGCUAAAAAUUAAUCCGAUUAUUAUUGUUUUGGUGCUUAAGAUGUGACUCUAACCUAAAGCUCAUUUGAACUCUCUUGAUGCUCAUAUGGUAUUUUUUGUGUUGUGUCGUGCUGGCCCUUACACAUCUCGGCUCAUAUUUUUCAUGUUACUAAGUUCUAAUAUGUACAAAAGAAAUAGAGCAAUGUCCGGUGGUAGAUCCAAACACUCAAUUUGGGGUGCUUAUUUUUCAGUCUCAAAUUCGAUUAUUUUCUUUUAAAAUAUUAAAAUAAUAGUAAUAAAAUACUUAUUUUAAAUACUGAGCUCAUUACAACCACAUAUGUAAAAGUAUCAUUUAUAUUUUUUUUCUAAAUAAUCUUCACAAAAUAUUUUAAAAAAUAAAAUUAUGUGACUAUGGGGAUUUGAACCAAGUCUCUCAAACUACUAAAUAACACUUUUACCACUAAAUUACAAAUCUUUUAACAUAUUAAAAGUGCAUCCAAAUUAUUAUUAUUAUUUAAUUAUUUCAUAAGAGAUUUGGGGCACAUUUAAAAGAAAAAAAAUUAAUGGUGCAUAAAGGACUAAAGCCUCUCUUGAGUCCUUGACCUUAACUAGGUCCACCCAUGGUAAUGUCAGUGAUACCCAACUUGAAAAAUAUACAAGAAACUUGGAAAUUUAAAUUAAUGAAUAAAUAAAUAAAUAAAAGGAAACUUAGUGAUUGUAGCUGUUGUAUUGUAUUGUGGAUCAAAGAAUUACAAGUUCUUGGUUUCUCGGUAUUGGCUAAUUUUGAAGUUAAAUGAAGUUCGAAAAUAUUUACAAGCAAUAAAAUUAUCAACUGAAUGAGACAAGGAAAGAGUAUAAAGACCUUAGCAAAUUAGCAAUCCUUCUUUAAUUUAGUAACAGUGACGCUUAUAAAGUUAGAAGACGUAUCAAAUCUAAUUUAGAUUUUGCCCCAUAAAACUAACUUAACUUAUAGUGCGUCUUUGUUUAAUUAGUAAAUAUUCCACAAAAACUGAUCAGCACUUUAUAGGAAAUUCCAAACACGUUUAUAUUCACAAGGAAUAUGUCAAGGAGAAAUGAGAAUAAAAAAAUGUAAAAACUAAUAAAGCUUCAUUAAUUAGAAUUUAUAACCAUAUGUGCUCCUAUACUACUUUUAUUAUUAAGAAUUUGAAGUAGAAGGUAGUUGAUUAUCAUGAAAUUACAAAAUUGUAAACGGAUUUGUUCUUUUGGAAAAAGAAAAAAAAAAAAAAAGGAAGGAUAGUUGAUUACUUGAUUAGUGAGAAAUCAUACGUAUAAAGGACAAAUUGAAAAAUGGGACCUGAAUUGCAACAAAGCUUCAUUGGAAUUAACUGCCGAUAAAAUUAAAUUAGUAUCACCCUACCCUUUCAUCUUAAUAUAUUCGAAAUUUCACCGAUCAAAGUUUCUAGCUUCGAUUUUUACGAUCUCUCAUCCUAAUAACACCAAAAGCAUAUUCAUUCGUUUGUAAGAUUAUGUAACAAAAUAUAGUAAAUAGCCUAUAAUUUUUUUGUUUUACUACUAACCUGUUAUCAUUCUUUUCUAAUAAUACAUGUUAAAAUAUUCACAGAAAAAAUUUAUCCCUAUUACACCCAACCACCUUUUUUUGUGUUUUUUUUGUUCAAAUUUUAGCAUUAAAGGGACAAUAAUGUCCUAUGAAAUAUGCAGAAAGACAGUUAAUAAUAUUCAAAAAUGUAAGUGGAGGUAUCUUACGCCACACACACAAAUUACACGACUCUCAUUAAUGUGUUGUUGUUGUUAUGUGUGGCGUAAGUUACAGUUGAAUGUCAUAUUCAAAAAAGUAAGUGGAGGUAUCAAUCUCCCUAAAUAAAUAAUUUAUGGAAGGUUGUUAGCUGUUGUACUUUUAGUUAAUUUUAAAAUCACAAUAAUAUGGUUAAUGUUAAGUUACAUGCAUGUAACUUAGGAGGAUCCCAAUAAUAUACCAUAUUUUAUUAAUAUGUACAGUAUUUAUAAUAUUUAAAAAUUAAGGAAUUAAUGUACGCAUGUAAAAGCUGCAUUGGAGCCAGUUGGAAAUCUUACUGUCUUGAUAUAUGCAACGAUUGUAGCAGCUAAAAAGGCAUGAUAUUUACUUAAUAUUAUUUCAAACAAUAAUUAUUUAUUUAAAGCAAAUAAUAAUAAUGAGGGCAGAAGGACUAUUCUAGGAUCAAUAUGGUGACAGUAUAAAUAAAUAAUAUUAAUUAUUAAUGCAUUGAUGAGUAUUGUUAAAAUGACAUAAUAGGUUUGUUUCAUUGAAUUGAACCUUUUCUCUUAAAAUAGCUAUAAUUUGUUCUCUCUCUCUCUGUGUUUUUGUUUUUGUUUUUCACUUUAGUUUUACUUCUCUUAAAAAACCAAAAAAAAAAAAACAAAAUUAAUGGAAACUGAUGAUGGGAAGACGGACAAUUUUCUAUAUUGUUAAAUAGAAAUGGGCACAAAUGUGAGUUUUUUGGGGCAAAAAAAUAUAGUCAAUGUACGUAGCGUUUGUCUAUUUGAAAACCCGUCAAUAUAAAAACAGGACGUAAAGCUUUCAGACAAAGUACUCUUAUGGCCGUACUUUCCAUAAACCAAAUCAAAAGAAGGAAAAUAUUUGUGUCUGGCUUCGAUGCGACUGUUAACAUUCACAAAUAAACACCUUUGCAUGGUCAGAAAAAUUAACAAGAAAUUAGAAGGCGAUGUUGCGUUCUACUUAGUUCUCUAGGAUUUGUGUCAUUUGUUUAUGCUACGGUUCGUUCCCAUUUGCAUUGCGUGGAAUAAUUGGCCGAAUAUUAUUAAUCUCAAUCUUAAUCUCUCAACUCUUGUCCCUUUAAUUUUUGUUUGUAUCUUUUUCUUUUUUUUUUUAAAUAUCACAUACAAUGCUUUUAAUAAAUAACUUCAUAGAAAUAUUUAAUAAAAUCCAACAUAUAUAAGUUCAAGAAACUCAAAAAAUAAAAGAAAAUAAACUCACGUUGUCACUGGAGAGACUCAAACAUGCUACCUUAAAAUUAAGUAGAGGGUGCAACUACUUGCACUUUAAAAAAAGAAAAGAAAAAAAAAGGGGCUUUGAACGCUCGUGAUAAUUUGCAAGUUAUGGAGGAUAAUCAUUGUACAAUGGGGAGAACUCUUAUGGAACAAUAUUCAAACUGAUAUUGAAAGCAUAUAAGAAUUUGGCUUGGGUGUUUUGGUGCCAUGAAUGAGUGCAGAAACAAAGAGGAAGCUUUGUCCCUUUAAUUUGAUCUGCUGUAUUAUAAUUAUUGAGAUUAAUCAAAUAAAUAACCGAAACAUGGUUACAGUUUUAUAGUGUAUUGCAAGUCUUUGGAGAUACUAUGUACCUCAAAAAAAAAUAUCGUAUAAAAGAGUGUUUUGUUUCACAGGGGUUCAAUGAGAUUUGAGAUGGCUGUAAUGAAAGUGAUGUAAAUUUUUUGGACUCUAAUGAGGUGUUUUUAGAUGGAGGGGGAUUUACAAGUAUUUUAUAGGGGUGAUAAAUGACUGUAUACCCACCAAAAAGGCCCAUUGUUCGAGUCCAUGAGCAUUACAGUUUUUUUUUUUUUUUUUUUUGAAAUUCAGAACAUGCAGUUUGUUUGAUUCAACUUCCGAAUUACAAAAUUAGAAUAAGAAAAAAAAAUGUGGAUGUUUUUUCUUUAAUUUACAUAAUAAUACAUGGUGUGGACGAUGUCUAUUGAGGGAUAAAAGAGGAAUGGGGGCACUGUGAAGUUUGUGUUUUUGUUUUUUUUAAAUUAUCAUAUUCAUACUGUCUAUAAAAAUAUGCAAGUUAAAAAAUUACUCAUGAUAUUGUUGUUUUUGUUUCAUAUAAUACUACUUAUGCACAUCGCCUCAUGCAAACAUUUCUUAGUUAUGCUUAAAAAAAUGAGAUUCUCACCAUGGGUCACUGUAAAAAUCCACAGAAGCCGUGGAUCACAGUAGGAAGCCCACUUGAACAGAAGAAGCUACCGAAAGCUUCGACAUUGUAUUUAUGAAAUGCUUAGUAAAUUUUGUUUUAUUUUGAAUUUAUAUUAUAAAUGGUGUGUUGCUAAAUUAAAAAAUAAAAAAGAAAUGCAAUGUGUCAAAAUACAAGAAUCUUACGGACAUUUUUGUCACAAUAUAUGUAAAUAAUUCAUAUCUUAUUCAUAUCCUAUGUAAGCUUCACUUGUUUAACACAAUGGUGGUUGAAUCUUCAAAAAUUCAUAAUCUUAAACAACCAAAUUUGGAAUUAAUUAAGCAAAUUGCCUCUAUAAAUUGAUUACAACAACCAACGACGUGUGAAGCCACAUGUCAAUUUCCCUAGACAGCCCAAAUAUUGAGGCGCUGUGAGGGAGCAAGGUGCAAUCGGAUGGGGGAAAGAGAGAGAGCCAAUGGUGAGAAUGGAUCGUGGUGAGGGAGAACCAACUGGUGGUGAGAUUUGUGGCUUCAAUGAGGUGAGUUUCGUGGCGCUGUGAGUGAAGUGAGAUUUGGCAUGAGUGUGAGGGAGAAUGCGUGUGUUGUGUGAGUGAGGUAAGCUGUGUCUGUUGUGUGCAUGGAGACUCUCACCACAAUUAGAAUUUAUAGUUAGCACAGAACGAAACACAAUAUUCUACGCUAACUGUGGAGUUAACCAUGGUGAGAAUAUCAUUAUUGUUUAUUAUAACACUUUUUUUUUUAAUUUGUUUUGACAAUAAAAUAAAGAACCUUGUAAGAAAACCUCAAUAACUCAAUUAAAAAACCAACUCAACCGAUGAUAGGUAAAUUGAGAAAUUUUCAACUAAAAAUUAUUAAGAUUGGUUUUAACUUCAAAUCAUAGUCACAUAGUUUUGUCCUUAUAAAGAUCAAAAUAAUGAAUUCUAACUCCGAAGUUUUUAGAUUUAUGUGACGAACUGACGAUAGUAUAUUGAAAUCGAUUGAAAUGAAAAAUUUAAUUAAAUGCAAUUCAAGAUGUAGUAUCAAAUUCAAACGAUUCGGAUUGUUUUAAAAAUUUCAAUGCUUUAAUCUAAAUCGAUUAAUCAAUUACACUCUUGCAAUUAUAUACCGUUAAAACUAAAAUAUGUAAAAUUUAGGGUGCAUUUAUUACCAUUUUCAAUUUGUUGUUUUUCGUUUUAUGAAAAGGAAAAUACAGAAAACUUGUUUGGUGAGCUCAUAUUGGUGGAAAACUGUACAGUGAUUAAAAACAAAAAAAAAUUCAUUUUUCAAUGUUUACAAAGGAAACAAGAAAACGCUAUUACACUGGGUUCUCUAUUUUAUUUCACUUUUACUCUCUGCCAAGGCCCUACCAUCUUAACUUUUAUAACAUGGUGUAAUAAAUUACGUGGGCCCAUUUAAUAAAGAAAUAAUCUAAUAAAUAAAUUAUUAUAACAAAUAUUUAAAAAUAAUAGCAUUCCAUACCUUACAGCUUAAUUACUUAAUAUAUUACCCAAAUUAUUUUAAAUAAAAAGUGAUAUCAUAUAAUUAUUAUACUAAAUUAUUACAUUGUUCGACCAAUAUGCAGUUAUUUAAAAAUUACUACAAACUUUCUUACAUAUAUUAAUGAAAAUAUAUCAAUAAUAAAGUUACAUCUUGACAGUUAAUAUAAAUAAAUAUAUGAUAAUUAUGAAAUAAUUAAAGAUUUUCUCAAUUAAUAUUAUCUUAUAACUACAAUUUAUUUACAUAAUUAAAAGUUUUUAAGAAAUUAUUAAAAUAUCUUCAAACCUAUAUGCAUUUAUAAUAAUAUAUAAUACAUCAUAAUAUAAUAACUAAAUAGAUAAAUUAUUUAUUAAUAUAAAAUAUAUGUUUAUAUUCAUUAUAUAAUAUUAUUCUUUCAUAGUAGUUUCAUUAAAUAAUUCUCUACUCUCUCUCUUUUUAUCUUUAUUUUUUCGGACAGACAAGUAACCAAACACCGCUUCACCUUUUUUUUAUUUUCAAAUACUAUUCUUAAAAUAAACUACCAAACAUAUUUUUAUUUUUAACAAAAACUAAUCAUUUUUAUUUUAUAAAACAAAUUGAAAAGUACUAUUUAAAAUAUAAUACCAAACUUACCCUUAAUAAUUUUAUAUUUGUCAAAAAGAUGAGAAGCUAAGUGGCACUAUCGUUUACCUAUUCAAACUAAACGUGGAGUCACAAUAUUGAAGACACUUUGGUGGCCACAACACUCUUUUCUUUAGUACGGAACAAUCUGGCUUACAUGACACUACAUAAAAAUAAAUAAUAAAAAAUCACCGAUUCCAACUGCCCCGGACAAAAAACAGGCCACACGUAAAAAGGCUUCUAUUUUUAUUUUUAUUUCUCCCCAUUUUAAAGAUGACGUCAUGGUGAUUAUGAAACCAGAAAAUAACAAAUUUUAGUUGUCUGAUUUUGUAGUUAUCCAGCGAAAACUAAAAAAACAGUGAACGCAGCAGCAGAUCUCCGUGUUUGUCGUCGUUCGAUGAGAGAUUCCGAUUCGUGAGCAUCGCAAGUGUUGAAAUGGAAUCAGACGAAAUGAGGAGUUAGCCUCUUAUUAUAUAAUAAUAAUAAUGAUAAUAAUAAUAAUAACUAAUCUCUUUUAUCAUAUAAUUGAUAAUGGAAAUUCACAUUGACAAAAGGCAAAUUACACACUGACUGGGCAGAAUAAAAAACAGUCUCUCUCAAAAGCAAUAAUUUAAACACUAACACCACCUUAAGGAGACACCCCAAAAAUAAAGCAGCAAGCUCUUACUGUGACCACACACACACACACACACCAAACUUUUAUUAUAGAAUAAAUCUAAGAUGAUGGAUGAUGGAUGCGUCACAUAAAAGUUAAUUAAUUUAAUCGCUGUCACUGCUGCUGCUGCUCUCGUGUCCGUCCUCGUGCUUCUUCUUCUUCUCCUUCUUUUUCUUCUUCUCUUCACCGUGGGCGGCGCCCUCGCCGCCGCCGACACCGGGGAUCUUCUGCUUGAUCUUGUCCACCAAGCCCUCCUUGUGUUCGCCCUCCUUGUGUUCCCCGCCGUGAUGCUGCUGCUGAUGGUGAACAUCAGUAGUGCCGACACCGGGGAUCUGCUGCUUGAUCUUGUCCACCAAGCCCUCCUUGUGUUCGCCGCCGUGAUACUGCUGCUGAUGGUGGACAUCAGUAGUGUGGUGGUCCCCACUAUGGUGCUCUCCCUUGUGCUUGUCCUCCUCCUUUUGCCCUCCUCCCAUGUGAAGGGCUUCUCCGAUCUUGUGAAUAACUCCUGACAUUUUCCCUUAAAAUGACUCUGUUCCUCUUCUUUUCUUUUCAAUGAAAAAUAGUUGUUUGCGAUCUUCUUCUGGUUGUUGUUGUUCUUGUUGGGUGAUCUUGGCUUGGUAUUUAUAGGCUCCAAAAGGAGGGACUAGAAUUAGGAUUAGAUUAUAGAUUAUUUUAAUACAUUUUAUGGCAAAUUCUGAUUUGGAAAGAUAAGAUUAUCCUUUUGGUUUUCCUUAUUUACCCUUUUGCACCCAUUACGUGUACGCGUCUUCGUGGGCUUUUUGGGUAUUUCAAUUAUAUCGCCAAUGCUAAAUCGACACGUUGCAUAUCAGCCGCGGUACUGCCGUAUGUAGUUGUCCAGAAAUCGAGUCGAUUCUCGAUCGUACAAUAAUUAAAUAAUAUUUCAUACGAAAUGAGUUUAGAUAUAUUUUGAAAAUUUAUUUUUAAUUUAAUUAUACGUGUUAUAUAUUUGUUAAUCGAAUAGAGGUCCCACGUAACAGAGUGUUUCUCUAAUCUUUCAUUGCUUUUAAUUAAUUUUACCCAAAUAAAAAAAAAAAGGAAAAUUUAGAGAGAGAGAGAGAGAUAGCGAAUUAGAAGUUGAUUGUAAUAUCGACACCUGUCAGACAAUCAAAUAUCGUUAGUUAAAAAUCAGUUGUCCAUAGUCAUGGUCAUAGAUGGCGAAAUUGAUACUUAUUUUAAAAAACAAAACAAAACAAAACGAAACGAAACUAAACUAACAGAUGUUGAAAUGCAGUUCCGUGUUAACAGUCUGUGAUGAAUCUUUAUCUUUGAGUAUACCAUUCAAGAAAUUAUCAUUCAAAAAUUUAUUUAAAGCAGCAGCAAAUCACCUUCUAAUUCCUGAAUCAAAUUAAUUCGAUUUUUUUCGAGUCGAUCAAUUCAUUAGAGAAUUAACGGGCUAAGUUAAAGUUUUGUUAGUUAUUUUUUUUUAUAUUCCUUUAGAUGAUAUGAUUGUCAUUGUCUUUCUUUCUCUGGGCAACAAUAAAUACAAGAUGUGCAAAAGCGUAGUGGAACAUAAUUCGAUUAUGGGUAAAGGGAUCAGUCCGCAUAAUGAGGAUAAAGUUUUUCUCUUUAAAAAAAUUUAACCCAAAGAAAAGGUCGUAGUUUGUAAUAGCCGACACGCAGAUAGAUCACAAAGCAUGGCGGUCCUGAUGGCAAUAACUAACUGAUAUCUUCUGCGAUGAGAGGAGAUCACGUGGUUCUGACACGUAUCGCCCCAUCAACUGAUGUUGUGGCUGCAAUCGCGGCCCAGUCUUUAGAGAGAAGAAAGAUCUGUUAUAACGGGACCUACUUUAGCAUCUAUUUACGACAAAGCCCCUAUUUACUCUACUUAGUAGUAAUAAUAGCAAGUGUCGGGCUUGGAUUCCGUGUUGCUUUAAAUAAAUAUCCGCGUAAAAAGAAAAUGCUUCUUUAAUCCCUUCCUUGUAAUUUUUCGACACGUGGAUGGUUGAAAUUAGCGUGCCGACAUCUUAGGAAUUUUAUCUUGGAGACGGGAACACUGCAGUAGGCAAUGCCAUUUUCUUCGGAUGGUGUGUGGUGACAACGCCUUGGAUUUUGACGUGCAAAGAAUUUAAAUUGAAAAAGAAAAAAAGAAAUUACCAGAAUAAGCAUAGAAGAGAUAUUUUUCUUUUUGUCCUUUUUGGAAUGGAAAAAGAGAUCAAGAGAUUGUUCCAGUAAGUAUUACACAUGUCACAGGCUUAUUCAUGCCCCAUUAUGGCAACUUUUAUGCCUCGCGGUGCCCUCGGUUCCAGCAUAAUAGCUAAGACUUCAAUUUUUCUAACAUAUUUUUGUUACAAAUAUGAACGGAGUAAAUGUAUAACUUUAAUCCUUUGAAUAAAGAAAUGGCGGUUCUCCUGCUCGUUAAUCUCACUUGAAUCCCACCCAGGCAAAAUUUCUUUAUUUUAUUUAACAACAAUUUAAAGAAAGAAACUUUUGCCAGGUUGAAUUUCAAGUGAGAUUCAUUCGUGGGAGAAGUGCCAUUUCUUUAUUCAAAAGAUUAUGGUAAUUACAACUUUCAAUUUCGACAUAAAUUAAAAUUAUAGGCUAUACAAUAAAAUUGCCCUAAAUUAGUCCUAAUCAAUUCAGAUUAUAAAUUUAGGUAUAUUUAUUAUUUUAAUAUAUUAAUGUUCUAUAUAUAUAUAUAUAUAUAUAUAUAUAUGUGUGUGUGUGUGUGUAUNNNNNNNNNNNNNNNNNNNNNNNNNNNNNNNNNNNNNNNNNNNNNNNNNNNNNNNNNNNNNNNNNNNNNNNNNNNNNNNNNNNNNNNNNNNNNNNNNNNNNNNNNNNNACAGCAGAAAAUAUUUGCUAUGGAUAAGGAGACAUGGUCCCACGUCCCACCGUCCCAAUGCAUAUUUUGUAUGUUUCCAUCUUUUCUGAAAUUUUAAUAAAUAAAGUUUUUUGACCACUUGGCCAAAGAACCUUACCCUUACACAACUUUGUGGUUGGAGUCCUGUGAUACAUGUAAGAACUUAUUUUUUUUCUUAAUUAUAAUAUUUUAGAAUAUAAUUAAGUGAAGUAGGUUUUUUUUUUAAAUAUGAGUAAAAUAGAUAUUUUUUAAAUAUUAAAGAGAGUAAAAUUUGAAUAAUAAUAUAUUAAAAUUAAUACAAACUAAUUUUAAUAAUUAUUUAAUUAUAAAUAUCAAUUAUAACAUCAUAUAAUAUCAAUUAUAAUAUCGUACAUCUCAAUUAAUUCAAUAAUAAUAAUAAUAAAUGUUUUUUGGGAUAAGUAAACAGUCGCAUGGCGACAAUAGUGGAUCUGGAUUAGAGUGAAGUGGUCCCAAGAGGCUGAGGCUGUGGCUGUGGAGUUCUAAAAGUCAAAAGCUCCACGCACUUUGUUUCAGUACCAUACACACUGAAAAAAUUUGCAUUUGCAAUGACGAAAACUUUUCACGAAAUCAAAACACCUCUAAACUAUUUUGUUAUCGAUAUUUAAUGGAGGGGUUUCCUACCUUUUUAACACUCGAUUCACGCCUUGACGCAUCUCACAGAAAACCUCAUGAUCCCAUUAAUCUUGCGUAACAUAUCUCAAAGCCAAUGCAAGUGAUCUUGUUGCCUACUUCCCUUUGACGAUUCAAAAUUGUUGAAAAUAAUUCUUUUUUUUUUUAACCUCAAGGAAGUGACAAAAUAUAAAAGAAUAUUUUCUACACAUUAAACAUCUAGAUUUUUUUUUCUUUUCUUUUUAGAGUACUUGCACAAACCGUUUCCAAGAGAGACCUUUUUUUUUUUUUUUUUUUUCCGGGCUUGGUUACUAAUUUGGUGUGAAUACUCUAUGGUGAAAAAGGAAUCACAAAGCUGUAAUCAAUUUUUUUGCAUCAUUUAGUUGUAACUUGAACAUUGGGAGGUUUAUAAAGAAUUAAAUUAAUUAUAAUGCCUCUACUAGGAAAAGUUCAGAGUAGCCCUUCACAACUUUUUAAAGGCUUAAUAAUUUUCGCUUUCUUCCUCUCAUAACAUAACAAAAAAUUAAGAGCUUUACUCGUACACGUCCUAUGGCUAUAUAGUAUUGGGUUCUCUACUUCAAUCGGCUAUCUCAAACCGAAGGUUAUUUGGACACACCAGCAGUCACGUUUGGAAACUCUCAAAUGCUUGGAUUGUAAUUCUUGUGGAUGAGAUCAUCUAAAUCUUGGGCCCAAGCCGGACAAUGGGUGGACAAAGAACCCUAAAAUACAGUAAAGCUUCUAACACCCCACUAAAACUCUUAAGAAAUCCUACCUUUUAUUUUUAUAUCUCUUUCUUUUAGAAAUUAUAGAGAAGACAUAGCAUUUUAAUUAUUUUCCCUGCCAUUGAAAAUAAAUUCUGUAAACAUAUUUUUUCAUAAUAAAAUUAUUGUUAUUAGAUAAUUUAUUUCUUCAUUGUUUCAAAAUUAUUAUAAUUUUAUCAACAAAAUUAGUUAUGUCAUAUAUUAGGAUUAAAAUUAAUUAGGAUCCAUAACUUGUAAAGACAUUUUAGUUUAAUUGAAUUCAUAUUUGUCAUUUUAUGUAAUUUUCAAUAAAAAUACGACUAUGAGUGCAAAAGUGGGAUGACAUAAUAUUAAAAGAGUGUGAAAUAAUCGGUAAUUGAAAUGGAUUGAAAUCAUAAUAGAGUAUGAAAAUCAGAAUAAAUUGUUUACUUUAGUUGUAGAAAUCAAAAUUAAAAUAAACCAUAUUAUCAUUGAUGUAUAUAUGUUUUCUUGUAAUCGAAAUGAAUUCUUAUAAGUUACUAUAAGACCCUUAUGGUGUGUUUACUAAUCAGAAAUCAGAAUGGAGUGGAAUUUGAAUAUAGAAUGGUAGGGGUAUUCGCGGAUCGGAUUUUACGGAUUGGACAUUAAUUCAUAUCCGAUCCAUAAUUUUACGGAUUAUAAAUUCUCAACACAAUCCAAAUCCAAUCUAUAUGUUUGCAGAUCGGAUGCGGAUUUGACUCAAUUCAUAUCCAAUCCACUAUUUGACGGAUUGAUUUUGGAAUUAAAAAUUUUUAAUUUUGUCCAAUCUAUGAGGUAAUUAAAUUUAAAAAUCUAAUAUAAAAAUAAUUUAUUAAAUAAAAAAUUAACGUAAAAAUAAUUUUACUACCAAUUAAAUUCAAAAUUGAACAAGAUUUAAAUAAAUUAAUUAUUUAAAUAAAACUAGAAUAAUUUAUUUAAAAUUUUUAAAUAUAACAUAUCGAAAAAAAAUUCAUUUGUUUAGAUUAAUAUAUGAAAAUUAACUAAAAUUAUGAAUUUAAAUGUUGAAAUUUGAGAGCUUGGAUGUAACAGGAAGAAAUUAAGAAACUUGAAGAACUUGAAAAGAAAGUAACAAAUUAAGCUUAACUACCUCUAAUGGUGAAGUGAAACAGUGAUGGUUUGUGCGUGCAAUGGGGUACAAAUUUGGCAUUAUAUGCCAAAAUAUUUUGUUUGGCUUUAGAAUUUUUAAUGUUUAGGAAGCUAUAUUUGUUUAUUUAAUUACUCAAAUAUUUAAUUAUUUUUUAUUUUAUGUUAUUAUUGAAUAAGAUAUAAUAUUGUGUUAAUUUAGCUAUACUUUAAUUAAUUAAUUAAUUUAUUAGUAAGUAGCAUUGCUACAUUUAUAAGUUUUAUUUUUUAUUAAAUAAAUACUUUUUUUUUUCAGAUUCACGAAUUUUUACGGAUUUACAGAAAUAAAUCCAUAUCUAAUCCAUCGACUGUGGUUUUUUAAAUUUUCAUUCCAAUCCGAUCUACCAAUCCACAAAUUAUAUUUUUACGGAUCGGACGAAUUGAGCGGAUCAAAUUGGGUUCUGAACACCCCUAGAGAAUGAGAAUCAAAAUAAAUUAUUUACUUUAGUUGUGUGAAUCGGAAUUGGAAUAAAUUGUACUGUCAUUGAUGUGUUUACUUUAUCUUGGAAUCAGAAUGAAUAAUUUCAAAUUACUAAACUGACCUUAAUUUUUUAUUGUAAUAAUAAUAGUAGUAGUAGUAGUAAUAGUAGUAAUUUUCUAUUAUUAUUAUUAUUUUCUCUCUCUUUUGUUUUUAUUUUUUUAUUUUUCUCUUCUUCUUCUCUUCCUCUUUUUUUAUUUUUCUCUAAUUCAUCGAUACUUCUUCUUCUUCUUUUUUCUUUCGUUUUUAUUUUUAAUUUUUCCCUUCUUUAUCGUUCCUUCUUCUCCGUCCAUUCUCUAUCUUCAAACUCUUUUUACUUUUUCUCUUAUUCUUCAUUACUUCUUCUCCCUUUUUUUUUUUUUUCUCUUCUUUAUUAAUUCUUCUUCUUCUGCGUCUAUUCUUCAUCUUCAAAUUAUCAAGUGAAAAAUACCCACGGUGCCUUACAAGAAGAAUUGGUUUUGUUUGCUUCAAUUAUUUUUUGUAUUUUGUACUUUUGAUUGUUUCAAAAGAGGAUAAACUUGUAAUAAUGCAAUUUAAGUAGGGAUGUUUUAGACAAUUUUGGGUAUGAGAGUCUAAUUCCCAACCCCCCACUCCCUCGUAGCAGACUCCCAUUCUUCAUUCCUAACUUGGUGUUGGACCUACUAAAAUAAAUCCCAUUCCCCUUCUUAUUUCAAGAAGCAAACACGAUUUUGAUUUCAAUUCCCCAAUCCGAAAGUAAACGCACAAAAAUUGUACCCAUAUGAGAUUGCUUAUCCUCGAGUUUUUAGAUUGAAAAAAAAAAAGGAAAAAAGAAUGGCCCCAUUAGGAAGGGAUUUUAAGUGUUAGAUAAAGCCGGUGUUAACCAUUAGAAGGUCUCCGACCUUCAACUGUAAUAUAUUAAACCCAGAUAAAUUUACAUAUAAAUCACACAAACCAACAUGCCAAUCAAAUAAAUUACAUCAACUAACAACAAUUGACACAUUAAUUUUCAUAAUACAGAGGAUGCAGAAAAUUAAAAUGUUUUAUCUUUUCUCCUUAUUUGUGAAUUGGAAAAUGAAAAUGUUAAACAUACAGAAGAGUGAAACAGGAUGGAUAUAUAUACACACACACACACACACAGCUUUGGAGUUCAAUGUCAUCGUAUUGCUCCAAGAAGAUUGGCGCCAUCAAGCUUUGCACCUUCCAGAUGCUGUUUAAUCAUCACCAUAACACCUUCAGUAGACAUUAAUACAUAAUAGAAACACAAAAUUCACAUGAUCUGAAUGUCUGGUCUAUUUUACUUACCGUAUCUCGAAGAUUUACGUGCCGUAAAUAAGCUCUUUGAAGGUUGGCACCCUUUAAAUUGGCAUUACGUAGCUUUGCACCCUGCCGCAUAAAUGUUCGAAGUUUCAACAAAUUAAAGUCUCCUGAGAAAUACAUGUCACGAAAAAGUAGGGCUGAAACUUGCAUCUAAUGUACAAGAUUCAAUCAGGGGUGCUUGUCCCACAGUGAAAGUGUAUGGGGGAAAGUGCACUUUCACAAACCAAAGGGGCAAGAUGUGAUUAUCACACGAUUACAAAAGGACUGUAGUCAAGAGAGAGAACUGAACAUGCAGCUUGUAUUGAGGCCAUGAAAAUUGAUGAAAAGCAGUAACAAGCAACCAUUUUGAAAACACUUCAUAUGGUCGAAUCAAUAAAUCAAAGCUAAAAUGAUGUUGACGAUCGAUAGCUUUUAGGUGAUAAGAGUCUUGGCACUACAGUUAAAAUUAUUAUCUAGGAGUGCACACAUUAAUAAAAAAAAACACAACCAAUAAGCAUGCACUCUUAAUCAGCAUAUAAAUUAACAAGUUAGUUGCACCUUAUGUUGUUCCACAAACAGAUUGCUCGAACAAUUCACAAUCUUACCUUCAAAUUAGCUCCUUCCAAAUUAGCUCCCUCUAGGUUGGCAUUAGUAAGAUCAGCAGUCUGAAAAGUCAAGAGGACAAACAGAUUGCAAUUUGAUUAAAAUCUCAAAGUAGCAACAUUCUGCAUGAAAGAAGAGCAGCACAAUUGGCAACAUACAUUUUAGAUUAAGAGGAUGGGAUAAAAGCAAAAUUACAAGGACAUGAAGCAAAUGAGCCAUGUUUAGUAUGGCAAUUUUGACCCAAUAAUUGUGGCAGGUCUUGGAGAUAACAUAGGCAUACACAUAAGGCAGAAGCAAAUACUGUCGCAAACUCCUAGCUAACUACAAAUGUUCCAUAUAGAAAAAAACACCUGCAAAAGUAAGGGAAAAAGCAACAGAUAAAGAACUCAAGAUGCUAGACCUGUAAGUGUGCAGAUCGCAGGUCUGCUCCACAGAAGCUGCAGUCUAUCAAGCAAGCAUCUGCAAUGAUUUAAGAUAAAUUUGAAUCCAAAUGACAUUUUACCGCAAGUAGUUCCAGCCAUUUUGGGAACAAACAAGAAAUGCUAUUUUGUAUUCAUUGUAAUUCCUUAAGCUAAAUAACAAUCAUGUGCUAUCUUAACCAAGGUACAGUUGCAAAUUCUGAAAUUGUGAUGCCAUAGGUUGUUCUUAAUCUUUUUGAACUGAAUAUUGAAAAAAUAUUCCUUCAAUCAUAAAUGUUAAAUAAUUAAAAGAACUGUGAGGGGGGNNNNNNNNNNNNNNNNNNNNNNNNNNNNNNNNNNNNNNNNNNNNNNNNNNNNNNNNNNNNNNNNNNNNNNNNNNNNNNNNNNNNNNNNNNNNNNNNNNNNNNNNNNNNNNNNNNGGGGGGGGGGGGGGGGGAAUGAAUAAGCGGAUGCAUACAGAAAAUUAUGGAAAAUCUGUUAUGGAAAUAAUAUGAAAAUGGGUAUGCAUAACUACAUACUGAAUCUUGACUAAUUUCAAUUUAAUUCAGAUAAGAAAUUCCAGUAUGGGAAUUGCCUUGUAAAUUUGCACUCUGAAGAUUUGCACCAGCUAGUAAAGCUCCACGAAGGUUUGCCCCAGCAAAUUCACAUCUUCCCUAGGCAAGAUAAAACCCUUAAAAGGCAAUUUUGAAAAAUACAUAUAAUUGGGAGAAUAUCCAGUAUUGCUUUGACUCUCUUACUCACGCAAAGUUGCAUUGUGAAAAAUGGAACCCUCAGCAUCCACAUCCUGUAUCAAGAACAGACAGAUUCAGUAUGAUUAAUAUAACUGGUUGCUGGAAGACAGGACAAAAUCGCAUCUUGUCACUGUCAACUUGCAUGUUAAGAAUUAAACACGAAAACUGCAUGCUGUCCAAUUAUAAGAAACCUAUAAAAUUCAAAUCAACAUCAAUACUGGCUUAAGGAAGAUAUAAAAAUAAAAAUUAUACCAACCCGAAAUUUCGCAGAUUGAAGAUUUGCACGUGAGAAGAAAACAUUUCUAAGACACGCAUAGCUGAAGUCCACAAGUGAAAGAUCCUGGCCAUUUUAAUAAGAUAGCAUCAGAGGAAACAAUAUCUAAUGAAUAUAUAAUGUUCUUUCUUGCUUAUCUGAGAAUACUAAUGAGAUUAUCAAAAAAACUCUAAGCUACUGCUAAGAAGUCUUGUGUUACAUGAGUAUGAAUUGAGGAGGUAAAGAAGACCCUUCUCCAAUAAGUUACCAUAGAAGCCACAUAAAACCCUAAAGCAGUUACAAACUUACAAUGACCAGAAUAAACCACCCCAACUAUCUAUUGGCAAGUAAAAUCACUUCUCUGGAUUUCUGAAAACUAGCAAAACAAAUGCAUAAAUUGGCAAAUUCGAUGAUUUCCUCUGAAAACCAAAUUAUAGCAGACAUAAAACUUGGAAGUAUUCAUAGAAUAAAAAUCUUUCAAGCACCUCAAUUCAGUAAUUAUUACCAGCUUAGAAAGAUCAAGGCCAGAAAGAUUAAGUCCUCGAAAUCUGACUUUUUCAGACUGUAUACACUUGAUGAUAUCAAUGCGUGUUAGCUCAGUAUCUAACUCAUUAUCUUCCUUUCUCUUAUUUAUGACAGCAUGGAUUCUCUCAAUUAGUCCCUGAAAUGAAACACAUUAGAUGCAAACUAUUAUUUGAAAAAAGAAAUACAUUUUAUCCACUAACACACAUGGAUUUCAACAGCAAUCAUACAAUAAUUGAGGAAGGACGGUCAUAUCAGACUCAUCUGCCAAGAUUCAAUAAGCACAUCAAACUUGUUUACAUGUAAUUUCCACAUUCCACGUGAAUUUAUAAGGUCUGCCUAAGCAAACCAAAGAAGGCUACACUCAGUACUGUGUGUAUACUGCCUUACCUUUGCUGUUCCCCAGAUACCGUCCUGCAAUCCAGAUACUUAGCUGUGAAGUUUCAAGCCAGCGAAACCAUUUUAAAAGUACACAUGGACACAGAUACCAUUAUCUGAAUCAUCUUCGAUAACAAAUUAAAAUGCCCUAGCGUUCAAAAAACUUAGGAUCUCUUUAAGUGAAGUUCCUUUAAAAAAGUAGAAAAAAACUGAACAACAAUGUCAUGCUAAUAAAAGGUAAAAAAAAUAAAAUAAAAUAAAGCAUAAGGACAGAAGUUCACCAGGAGCAUGCCAGUAUAAACCAAAACGACCACAAAUCUCAACCAUAAAAUUUAAAGUAGUAAAGUAAAUAAUCAAGGGCAUGCAGUUGGCACAGGUGCUUCCAAAUAAAAUGAUGAUUCUUUUCAAACAGAAAAAAGAAAUGGAUGUUAAUAAACUAGAAGAAACCAUGUCUUACAAGUAAUUGAUAAUAUUCUGCUUCCCGUAGAAGCUCUAAAAACUCUGACUCUGUUAAUGUGGGGACAGCCCCAUCCCUUAACCAAUUCAGAAUAUGCCGAAAAUGUUUUCCGUCCCUAUCAACAAAGAUAUAGCCCUGCAAUAAUUCAAUAUGCUCAAAGAUAAGAAUCUGAAUAAUAUACCCAAGAGAAGUGCUUUUCCCUGGAAUAAUAAAAAGAAAAUAAGUCAAAACGUUUUUCUUAAUGGAAGAACACAAAGGAACAGCUCUAUGACUAACAUGAAAACCAUAAAUCAGAAUAAGAACCCAAAACUGGUCAUUUGGAGUUUCACCAGAUCAAAAAGAUCACAUGGAAAUAAAAUUGUGAAAAUGGGAUUAUUUAUGCCGAGGUCAUGGCUAAACUGCAAUCAUUACUCCAUUUUUGGUAGAAGGAGAAGAAGAAAGAAGAGUAGGUGAGUCAUCAUUCUUUCAGGUGAGUCAUCAUUCUUUCUCUGUGAUUAAUUGAUAUGAUGGAAGUGUUGUAGAUAUUAAUUUGAUAGUGAUUCCUCCCUUCAAAAGAAUUCAUUCCUUUUUUUAUUAUUUCACAAAGUUUAACUAAGACUGAGUUUUCUCAAUUUGAAGGCAUCGUGCACUCUACCCCUUUCUUUUCCUCACAUUGCUUCUUCCCAAUCCCAAAGGGAAGAAAUCAAGAAACAAUUACAAUUUUUAACUAUUCACCAGCAAAAACAAGGCAAAGAAAGAUGCUGAGUGUAAGCAAAAAUAAGAGAGUUAUACACCUCAGAGUCUUGGCACACAGUAUGGCGACCGCUGAACAUAGCUGCAAGCAUAGAUUCAGGCUCACGACGAGUCAGAGUAUCAAUUGUUGUAUAAAAUUUCUUUCCCCCUGGAUAUUAAUACAUAAAAUAUAAAUUUGUUCACUUAAAAGCAUGAAUUGUGCAAAUUUGUCAAUAAUGUCAUUCUUUCACAAACGUUCACCGAAAUGUAUAACAAUAAGUGCAUCAUAACAUAACUAAACGGCUUAAGAACUGCGCAGAUAUUACAUACAGUAGAGAAACAAGAAAUAGAAAAUGAGAUUUGCCCUUUUUAAACAGAAAGCAAUCAAAGAGUAAACUAAAGAGCUAAUAAUUCACAAAAUUCAGUUGAUUAAACUCAUUUACAAGUAAUUAGCAACAAAAUCCAAGCUAAAUAAAAAUAAUGAAAAUUAGGUUCUUAUAACAUCCGUCAAUUCUAUGAAAGUUUACCACGAUCAGCAACAAAUAGAUAAAUCGCAAUAAAGAAAAACCGACGACAUGUCGGUUGUGUAGUGCAUAAGUAAAGGAAUUUGCAGAUGAUGUAAAGAGAAUGAGGGAUAGUAACUGACCGAUGUUGAGACGAACCAUUGAAGACGAAUCGGAGUCCUUCGCCAUUGUCGAGUGUAAUGACUUGUCGUCUUACUUGCGCUCAUAGGUAUUUAUAUCAUAGCUGACACUGUUCGAAGGACAGCAAGGAUUUGGUGGGCACAAAUGCAUUUUGGAAAUUGGGCUUCGGCCCAAGAAAUCGAAAAUCAGAGGCUUUUUUUUAAAAAAAAUUUAAAAGGAUUAGAAUGUCUAUAAAUUAAUAGGGCUGAGACCAUCUUAAAUCUAUUAAGUAAAAGAGAUAUUAAAUAUUUUAUUAAUUAAUAAUUUAUUAAUUUACAGAAUUAUUUAUAAUUCAAUUAACAUACAUUUAAUAACUAAACAUUCAAUGUACAUAAUUUCUGAUUACAAUUCAAAGCACUAACAAUACUUCAUAAUUUCUUAUUACAAUUCAAGAAUUCAACCUCAUAGCUUUUAGAUGCAAUAAGAAAAAUAAGAAAUAAGAUUCAGUUAUAUUUAAAUUUUAAGAAAAAAACAAUAAAAUCAUAUUUUAUGUAAUUAAAAUAUCAUAGUCAACUACAUUUGUAAUUUCAACAAAUUAUUACUCUAUGAUUUAAAUGAGACCACAAAGUUAUAUAAGAUUUUAUCGAAAUUAUUAAUUUAAUCCAUUAGUCCAUGUCAAGACCUUGAAAAUUUAAUAAUUAUAUAAUAGAGAUUAUUAAUUUAUCGAGUAUUAAUUUAUAGAAGUUCUGAUUGUAUAUUAUUUUAUAUUAAUAAAGAAUAAAGUAGCAUUCUUUUUUAAUUCCGAAGUAAUAAAAUUAUGGCUAAAUUAAGAGAGUAGAUAUAUUUUAUAACUUGGUUUAAUAACAUCACGCGCCUCCCUUGUAGUUUUGCAGCUUUGAAGCUUUAUAAUGAAUCCUAUUAGCUUUGGCUGGAAAGUUAUAUUGUUAAAGAGAGUUUAUAUAUUAAACAAGGUGAUCUAAUAUUUCCAAAACUAAAUUUGGGAUCAAAAAUAGAAAACAUUUGCAUGUUUUUACCUUUUGGAAGAAUUACUUGAUAAGUGCUUCACAGAAAAAUGCUUGCUAUUAUAGAGCACCCUAAAAAAAAUCCUUAAUAAUUGAGGGAUCAUAAUAAAGUUCAAUUCUAAAUCUGUCAGAUAGAUCGAAAGUAACAAACCAUAUAUAUUUAAAUCUAUUUAGUAAUCCAGGGUUACAAGCCAAGCGUGCAAUAGCCAAUUCUGAAAAUCAAAGCUCAGCCUAUGCUCUCUGAGCACAAAUAAGAUCUGAUAUAUACAUAUCGAAUCCUCCAUUAUGUGGAGUGAAAUUUCCAUCGUGUACGGUGUACCUAACAAUGAGAAAGCAUGGCAGCAUAAAUUCAUCUUCCAUGUUAUUCUACUUAUUAGUACUGGUUCCCUCAUAACUUCUCCAAAUCGGGGAGGUCUGCAAUGUGUAAAGCACGUAAUCAGAUAAAAGAAAGAGAGCCAAAAAAAAAAAAAAAGGUAACAGCCAAAAGAUUAAAUUUCUUUGAGAAAUAGAAAAUGGGAGCUUUUGGCAUAGGCACAGAAUAGAAAGUAACAGAGUCAUUUACAGUUGUUCAGAAUAUGCAAGCUGAAAACAACUUUGAAUGCAAUGGACAAUUCCUCCAACAAACAAUCGAAUUGGAUUGUGGAAGAGACAAAAGCUUAAUGAGGUUAUGGUUUUGGCUAGGUGAACUCAAAAUUCUUUUAUAGACCAAGUAGGUAAAAACAAAUCCCAUAUAGAUGGAUGAACCUCAUACCAUGAACAGUUAAUCGCGAACACUUGCAGGCUUAUGCACACGACUAUGAAGAUACUAAGGGUUUCACCGAUGGUAAGUGAAAAAUAUAUGAUGUAUAAUUUAAAUGGAAGCACAUAGUUUCGGAUUGAAUUCAAGGUUAAAGUUCCACAGACAGACAGAAGAGAUGAAGCUUAAAAACUUACAGAGCAUUCCUUCAUCAUCACUGCUUUCAUCAUUUUGGCCAACAUGCUGAAAAAAGAAUAUGAUUCAAGUUAAAUGAUUGAGCAACAAUAAAAAACGUGCAAAAUUAAUGCUCUCUCCACAAAAAUUUCAGUCUAUAUUGGUAAGAAGAAACAGGAAGAAAAAAUUACCUCAGCAUCAUCGUCAUUGGAAGCCAAAUCAGCUGUAAAGACCACAAAAUGUUUGGUUAGAACCAGUGGAAGUCUUACUCUAAAAUUUUUAAUUUUUGAAUUUCGAAAGAUCUCGUAAUGACAAAGAUUUUCAUAUCCAGUGACCAAGUUUUGAAAAUUAGAAUACGGAAUGACAUCAACUAAAUUCACUAAUAUAAGCUAGAGGAAUCCCUAGUAGAUAUAGCGCACAUGCACACAUGAUAUGCAUCCGAAUACACAAUAAUAAAUUAUCUCAAAGUCAAUAAGAAGCCAAAAUUAGAGAUAAACUUUUAGCCACUAUAAGGAAGACUGAUAUUUGCAGUGUGAUUACAAUAAACAAACAGAAACUUCACUACCCAUAAGUAAAACAAAAUAAAUAAAGGAUAAUAACUAACCAAGAAAUGGAAAAGCUCACAUUCUCUGAACACGCACCCCAAAAAGAAAGAAAGAAAUAAAUGUUCUCAUUGGAUCUGAAGCACAAGCAAUCCACUGACAUCCUUCUAUAAUUAGGUAAUUUAAAGGGGUUAAGCUCACAUCUUUUACGGAAGUAAGAAGAGAAUUAACAACCUUCCAGAGGAUUUAGGGAAAUACCACGAGGCAAGAAAAAAGAAAUAUCCUUCUUCAAUCUAGAUAUCCUGAUACUGCUCACCAUCUACAACAGUCUGUGGCUUAAAAAGCAGGUCACUGAUCUCUCCCUCCCUCUGGCACCAUUUUCUCUCAUGUCUCAUUUUUCCCUUCCUGCCAACUCCCACUACAGUAUUGAAACCUAUUCUAUCAACUCUUCCCCCUCCAAUAACAAGACCAAAACCAAUUUUACUCGCCGGUUAGCUAGGUAGUAAAUGGAAAUUUGUGAAUCUGUCAUUCAUCCGUAGAAACAAACCAGAACUGCAUAAAUUCUCUUCUCUCCCAACAGCUUCUUUUCUCCAGAAAUAGGCACAAGUAUUUGACAUGGAAACAGUUUAUCUAACAUGGCCACCUUUAAAGACAAAGACAUACUAAGGACGUGGUUUUAGAUACGGAUACAAGAAACAAUCACAAAAUGUAAAAUCUAUACAUAUGAUAUUAAUUUCCAAUGGAUACAGCAAUUCAUUCUUUGACAUAACUUCAUCAGAUUACUAGGUUUGAUUAGGUUAUACACACAUUUAUUCAUUUAUUGAAUCUACAUGCACUUAGAAUGAGAGGUACCUAUAAAAACAAGUUACCAGAAAACAAUACAGCUAGAAAACAUUAAUCUAAGUAGUUCUAUAGGUUUAACUAACUGCAGGAAAAAACCAUUGAUUUUGUCCGCCAGAUUAUCGAGAUCCUAAUUCUGGUAAAAAGAAAAUGAGAUAAUAGAAAAUCAAAAAUUAAAUAGACACAAAAUGAGAAAUCAAGAUCAUAUGGCAACUAAUAUAUAGCAUGGGCUGCAGCUAACAAGCAAUAUAAGCCAUGAUAUUAUGCCAGAUACAAAUUUUGAGAUCCAAGAGAGAUCAAGAAGCAUGAAUACCACUAAAAUAUCGAAAGAAGUGAGUGCAGAAGGAUAAGAAAUCAGGUUGAUAUUCUUCAUACUUUGGAUCAACACGUAGUGAUGCAAUAAACUUGUAAUUAGCUUCAAAUGUAUAGGCUACCAUGUCAACAUUUCCGAAAACACACAAGAUUGUGCUGGAUUCAUACAUAGUACAUAUAUAAAAAAACAAUCUGCUUCUAAACUUCAUGAGAACAUCGAAUAAUGAACUUACAAUUUGAUCCCUCAUCAUCUUCAUCGCACCAUUUGUUCCAAUCAACCUUAAUGUAAGGUGCUGGUUUCUCUUCUGACUUGAGUAGCCUUUUCCACCAACCUUUCUCUUCUUUUUGGACCGAGCAUAUUAUGUUCCUUAAGCCAACUUUAGUCUUACAUUUCUGCACCACCAGCAACAAAACUCAAAGCAUUACAAAAGAGGUAUAUUUAGCCGCUCUUGACUCGAGUGAGAGAACAGGAUAAAUAGCCUAGGUAUAUCCACAUCCAUGUUAUGAGAUUGAUUAUGCAACAGCUAACUUUAAUAUAAAGCUUUUGCUUCAACAAAGACUAAAAUGUUUGUAAUUGUUAUGCUUUUGGAGCUAAAAUGUUUGGCAAACACCCACUUUUACUCUGCACCUAAUAUCUACCACCCACCCACACACUAAGUCUCUCGUUUGGUACAGCUAUUUAUCAGUAGUGGCUUUAAGCCACAACAUUUAAAGCGAAUUUACCCUAAAAUUUUACAAUGAAAAACCUAUACUACCUUUAACAUUGUUGUCAAAAUUAUUAUUAUAAGUAAUAUUUACCAAACACUAUCAACUUCCAAUUCAUAUCAAAGAGCUUUCACUCCACAAUAGCCGUGUCUUCUUAAGCCAGAACAACACAAUACCAAAGGCCUUAAGCUAGUGAUUUGAUUUCACAACAACUGCAGAUCAAGCCUCAAUCCCAAACAUACAUAAAUCAAAUGCAGAAAGCAAAAAUUUAACAAUAUGUUUGGUAUACUAAAUGUCUUUCAUAGUUUCAUUUCACAGGGUAUUUAGACAUGCAAUGAUAAAUUGGAGCAAUUUCAAGAACCGAAUUGACCUCAGGUAAAAUUUUGCCAAAAAGUUCCAAGCUGAAGUCGUAAAGCUCGCCUUGGACUCCGACGGCCGAGAAGCCAAAAAUCCCCUGAGGCUCGCAUUUCACAGAAAUGUCUUUCGCAUCGGGUAAUGAAAUGGUAAGGUAUACUUUAUCGGAGCGCUGAGCCCAAAGAACCUCCGGAUGGCGACUGAACAUAAAAGAAAUAAUAAUAAUAAUAAUAUUAUUAUUUUUUAUUGUGACAAUUUUGAACUAAUAAUUAGAGACAUUUAACAACAAUAUUGAUUAAUAUUGGAGAAGAAAAAUAAGGUUACAAGAGAGAAUCAGAAAGAUUACCUCAUUCUGGUGGAUGAUUGAAAACGGUGGGUCGAUUGAUGAACAGAAGUGUAACUGUCUGGGAGUGAGAGUGACUCUGCUGUUUACUGGGUAGAGUGUGCUUACUCGAAGAAAUUGAAAGUGAUAAUCUCGGGCAAGCCAACACGUCGAUUUGGUCAACAGUGGUCCAACAAACCAGGAACUAGGUUUUUUUUUUUAAAUGAUUUUUUUUUUCAGUAUUAUAUUGCCCCGCCCGUGGGCUAUUACAUUUUGGCCCUUUUGGGGACCCCUCGUUCUCUUACAAGAAGGGAAUAUUCUUUUCCAUCCACCGGUUUGUAGGCAGAGUACAUAUACUCUUCGAAAUUAAGGACAAAUUUCUGAAUCGUGCCGCAUUAGAAUUAAAUUGAGUCUCAAAAGAAUUUUGGUUAUAAGUAUAUCGUUCAAACGGUAAUAUAUUAAAAAAAAUAAUAUUUACUACAAUGUAGACCUAUCGGGACUUUGAAGCCCAGACCAAUUCUUGAGUCUAGCCUAAUAACACCUCAACAGAUCAAAAUUGAAAUCCAACUUAAAUUUCAAUAUUGUGUAGGGAUCUGCCUUAAUUUAGAUAUGUCAAGACCUGCCUUAGGCAUCAAAGUGAUCUAUCUUAACAUAACUAAGACUUUCUUUAAACAUCACAAUGAUUUAUCUUAACGUAGUCAAAUCUAGCCUAAAAAAAUCUAAAGAAGGAAAAAAGAAAUUAUUUUCACGUAUUGAGAGACUUAAAUUCUUAACCUUAUUCAUAAGAAAAAAAAGUGUAUUACUUAACUAAAUCGUGACUAAAAAUUAUAAUUAUUAUUUUUUGUACAUUUAGCUUUAAAAAAUCAUUAUAUAUAUAUAUUCAUAUAAGUUUUGACAUAAUAUACAUACCACUUAUUUGUUUUUUAAAUUAUACGAGAAUGAAAAAACUCAAGCAUUAAACACCAACUUUUGUUUCAUGCUAUCAAUCAACUUGAGAAAUUUUAUAAUAUAUCGGAAGUUCUACGUCACAAUUUAAUACGAAGCCUUCGAUUAAUAAUAAUUAGACACAUGACAAUAGAUGCUAGAGAAAUUUUAAAUUCCCUCUUUUCAUUAUCCCUCCAAAUUUAGAAUUUCAAAAAAUUAGAGAAUAAAUGUUGCUUGCUCUCUUUGUUAUCUAAUUCUAAUUAUUAUUUUUUUCUCUCUCUCUCCAAUCAAGUUGCUAGCAUUUUUUAAAUCUAUUGAAGAAUAAGAAGAAGGUUUUUGUCGAUGAAAUGAUUUUGGCAGCCUUUUUUACCCAAAGCUAACAUGAUUGCUGCGACUACCAAUGAAGAAAAAGAUGUGUUUUGCUGGCGAAGAAGAUGAUUUUUGAAGCAUGAGUGGCUGCCGUUUAUUUUUUUCCUUCAUAUUUUUCGAUGUAGUGGCUGUCCUCAAGUUUUAUUCAUUUACUUUUCAGUUGGCCUACUAUUUAUUGGCAUAAUGAAAAAUUUUAUUUUAAUAAGCAUUUAUAGAUUAAUUUGAGGAGGUUUCUUUUGCAAUAUUAGUGUGGUUUCUGCAUUGGUAUGAUUUAAAUUACGAACUUGCUACAAUCUUUAAUUAAACUGUCAAAAGUAAUUUAAAAAAUCUUUAAUUAAACCGUCAAAAGUAAUUUAAAAACUGACAGUAGAUAGAUUAGAGAUAGGCUUGACAAUUUAGCCCGACUCUAUUUUUAGUCUGAUUGAUCCGAUCCUAAUUUUUAAGACUUUGGCCUGAAUUUUUUGAUUUCGGGUCGGGUUCGGGUCAAAAUUUUAAGGCCCGAACAAAUUUAGGGUCAGGGUCGGACUUAAAACCAACCCGACCCGACCCUAUUUAAAAAAAAAAAAACUAACACACGCACACAACACAUGACAGUUCACUCUCUCUAAAUCGUAAAUCACACACACAAAAUACACUUACACAAAUUCACAAAAACCCUAAGCCAGCCACCCAGCCUGCUGCCGUCCUAUCAGCCAACAUCGUGACCGUCCGCCGCACGCCAGCCAAUCAGCCGUCGUCUCGUCGUCGCAUGUCUCACCAAUCAGCCAUCGUGACCGUCUGCGACGCUGCGACAUGAACUUGAACCAGCCGCCCUUUGUCGCCGUCCUGCCGCAUCCGCCUGCCAGCCAACGAUCAAUGCACACAGUUGAAUUGUGGGGUGGGAAAUGGUUUCGAUAGGGUCGGGCUCGACCCGACCCUAACUAUAAAGAGGUAGGGCUUUUUUAGGGUCGGGUUUUAAUUUUUUGUUGAUCGGGUCGGGUCGGGUUUGGCCAAACCCGAGCCCGACCCGACGUUUUGCCAUCCCUAAUUAGAGAUGAAGAUUGGAGAGAGAGAAAAAUAUAAUUUGAAUGAGAUAAUAAAGAGAGAAGAAAUUCUAUAAUACAUCAUAAGUAAUAUAACUCAUUGAUGUAUGCAUGAUAUAUGUAAUUAACCUUAAUAUAACUAACACUUGUAUGGUGAUAUUUCAAAAUAAAUAUACAUAUGUUAUAAAAUCAUUUACUUAUUGUAUGACUGACAUUUUAUUUUUGAUGUAUUGUACAAUUUCUCAGAAGAGAGUAGUAUUUAUUAUCUCUAAUUUUUUGAAAUUCUAAAUUUUGGAAGGAUAAUAGAAAGAGAAAUUUUAAAAAUUUUUCAACGUAUAAUGCCAUGUAUCUAAUUAUUAUUAGUCGGUGUUCCACGUUAAAACGUAAUAUAGAACCUCUGGACCUUACUGUAUAAUGUACUGUAGAAUUUCCUGAUCACACACUUUCUCAGUUGCAAAAGAGGUGGGCAUAUGAGUUCCUUACGGGGAUUUAGUGUGAAUCCACGCAAAGCCCAUAUAGAUUUUUCCGGUUAACCGCUAUGGCAUCCUAGUUUUAAACUCAGUACUAAAUUUACAGAUCCAUUUAAACCCCCCAAAUCAGUCUCUCACCGUCUCAAGUCUCAAACAAAAAACCUGACCGGAACCCAAACCGCCAAAUCCGAUUCGAUGGUGGACUGUGCUAAAACCCCUAAAAUUCCAAGACUGACAUGCGGUAAAGGAGAUGGUGAUAGACUUAGCAAUCUUCCGGAGCACAUCAUUUAUCACAUAUUCUCGUUCAUGGAAACAGUUGAUGUUGUUAGAGCAAGCACUGUUUCGCGAAGAUGGAGGUACUUGUGGCUUUCCGUUCCUUAUUUGAACUUCGACUAUCACACAAUUUGGUCAGACCCGGAAAGUAGAUGGUCUCGUAGGAAAAUCAAUGAUAAGUUCAAAGAUUUUGUCAACUGGGUAAUAUUUUCUCAAAAUGGGUCUGUUAAUAUUCAAAGAUUUCGUCUUUGCUGCUGGGAUUAUUUAGCAAGUUACGAUAACGAUAGAACGAUUUACAGAUGGGUUUCUGCUAUGGCACGUCGAAACGUGCAAGUGCUUGAUCUGGCUAUAGCUUCACUAUACCCAUUUGAGUUUGACUUGCCACAUAGUCUUGUAACUUGUGAUUCAUUGGUGGAACUGAAGUUGAGUUUGAGCUUUCAUGUUCACCGAUGUUUUUUAAAGCUGCCUACUGCUGCUGGUUUUAUUGGGCUCAAGUCUCUUGAUUUACAAAGUGUUGCGUUGGAUGAUAAUUUGUUUCCUGAAUUUAUUUCAAAUCUUCCCCUGCUUGAGAAUUUGUGUAUGUUGUCAUGUGUUUUUCCUGAAUUGAAGGUUCUUGACAUUUCUUCCACUAAUUUGAAGAAUUUGGCUCUGGAAUCCAUUGUUGGCAAUGAUAAUGCUGGCAAUGAUGAUGCUGGCAAUGAUGAUGCUGGCAACUACAAGCUUAAGAUUGCUUGUCCAAAUCUUGUGUCUUUUAAUUAUAUAGCUUUAGCUCCAUGGUUACCUCACUUUGCUUUUGAGAGCUUAAACUCCUUGCAAAAUGCAUUCAUUGACCUGGAUGAUUAUAACGAGGAUGACAUGGAGAACGAAAGAUGUCAUGUUUUAUCUACAAUCUUCAAUGACUUUCGUGAAGUUAAAGUUUUGAAAUUAUCAGAAGCCAUUCUUCUCGAGGUAUGAUUUCAAAUACAUUCAUUGCACCAAAUCAUGAUUCUGCCAGAACUUGUCUACACUUUUUUAUUUUGACAUUAGAAAUGAAGCUUAAGUAAACUGAAUCUACUUUCUUUGUUUGGUAAAAUAAGAAUUCUAUUGAUUAUGGAACCUUCCUAAAUGCUAAUUUGUUCUUUAGACUGUGUAUAAGUCAUUGUGACAUUGUAUGAAGUCUCAUUUAUCUGAGUAAUCAAUUGUUAUUGAUGUCAAAGACUAGAACUCAUUGGUGACUUGAGUUUAUGUAUAUUAUCGUUUGUUAGAUUUUUUGUGUGAUUAUUGCACUUAACUUGACUAAUGUAUUCUCUUUCUUUUUGCCAUUGUUCCUCCAGGUUCUUGAUCCUGAUCCUGCUCACGAAGAACCAGCAUUUUUUUCCACUUCAUUCAAUAAUUUGAAGUCCUUAAUACUUUCUGCAGGUCCGGGUGUAUGUCUCAUGCCAUCAAUGCUUAGGUUGCUCAACUGCUCUCCAAAUCUAGAAGCUCUUGCAAUAUAUUCUCCUAAGGUAAUCUUAACACCAAAAACUAUUCCAUUUGUUAGAUACCGUCGCUUCUAUCCAUUUUUUUUAAAAAUCAUAUCUCCCAUUUAUGUGCUAAAAUUUUAAUUUUGUUAAAGUGCAACUGGGCUUUGCUUAAAUUAUCGCAAUAGAGUUGAAACCUGAAAGUAUUUGUGAUAUAUUAUGUUUACCGCUUAGAGCUUAAAGUAAAUGUUAAUCUUGUGGCCUCUUGGUUGUUCCCAUGCUAUUGCUUGUUGAGCAGAUGGUUGAAUUUAGAGUCAAUCAAUCGGUUGUGUUCUUCUGAGGUUUGUGCAAGUUUUGUAAAAGAGCAAAGUUUAGUAUUUGUUUAGUUUGUGAAAAUGAUAUAGCUUUUUCUAAUUCAUCUUACUCUAUUCUUUGCUUAAAAAUGAAUUCUCCUUUUGAUUUGAUUCCUUGACUGCAUUUCGGUCUGUUUUCUCUUGGCAGCAUCGGCGUGGAUAUAAUGCUUAUAGGAAAACACCGAACAAGGCUGCUAUUUCAUGUUUGACAAAUCAUCUCAAGACAGUUGAAAUAAAACAUUUUAGCGGUGAUAUGAAUCAACUUGAAAUUGUGAGGUUUCUUCUAAGGAAUGGACAUGUAUUGCAGAGAAUGAGUAUUAGAUGGGUGGCAGAUGUUAAGAAUCAAGGGAAGAUUAUCUCAAGGAUAAUGAAGUUUCGGAGAUCAUCUUCAAGUGUUGUGCUGAAAUUCCUAGAUCCUAAGCCAGCUGAUGAUUUUUCAGAUUAUUUAUUUGAUGAUGAGCAAAAGAACUAAAAUUAUGUUUAAAUUAAAAAAAAAAAAAGUGGUUUAAGUGUAUGUUCGAAUUAAAUAGUCUUUUGGAUUUGUAGAAACUGAAAGGAGUACAGUGCCAGUCACUGUGGCAGCCUUAUGUUUUGUUUGAAAAAAUUCGGAAGCUUCUAAAUUGUUAUAUACCUCAAUUCUGAAGUCGUUAGUAUGUAUAUUAUAAGCAAUACAUAUGUUCCAUUUGUCAUAUUUUAUUUUGGCAUUACGAUUGUUUUGUCUUGAUUAAUAUUGAUUAUAAUUUGUUUAACAUUUAUCUGGCAUAUGUAGAAUUAUACUUUAUCUGAGUAGAUGACGCUGCUGCGUACAUCUUCAGGACUCGGUCAUAAACUGUUUAUCUCUGCGUCUGUCUAGCAUCCAUCCACGUAUGACCUGUCGGCUUUUUGCCCGCAAGCAUACAGUUAGGGGUGGUAAAAAUAUCUGUCCGGUCUGGAUUCGGUUCGCACCCGGAUGUUUUAUCCGGCCCGGUCUUGGGCAUCAUUUGAUAAAUUCGGAACCCGAGUUUUAUUAAGCGCCUUGGCCGUACAGCAGUAUAUUAUUUUAAAUAUUUAUAUUUAUUUGACUCAUUUAUUACAUAUAUAUAAAGUUUUAGACACUUAAAGUUUAUAUUUUCAUGUCAAAUUUCAUUAAAAUAAAUUUAAAACUUAUAAAAUUACCAAAAAAUAAAAAAUAUAUACAUAUAUAAUAUUAAAAAAUAUAAAAUCUGGGUACCCAAAUUAAAACCCGGCACAAUCCGACCCAGGCAUCUAUGCAUCCGGGUCGGGUCCGGUCAUUACGAUACCCCGACCCAGCCCAGGGUUUUGCCAUCCCUACAUGCAGUGUAUAUGAAUUGCAGUUCUUGUACGGACAACAUGUCAUCCAUAAAACUCGAGUUAUGUUCUUUUUAAUCUUUAGUUUAGAUUACAUUUUGCAAAACUAAUAAACGAUAGAGCUCCUAGCAAGGUCAAUAGUUAACUGCGAAUCCAGAAGAUCGGAAUGCUAUACCUUUCAAACAUGCAUUUCAAAGCCAUCUGCGGAAAUGGAAAACAAGCAUUUCAAACUCGUUGUUAAAACAAUGAUAAAAGUAAUUUUAAUCCUAAUUUUUAAUUCCAGGCAUGAAGCUAACUCAUAUACAAAGAGAUAUCAAGUAAGCAGAGGCGAAAGCUAAAAGCUUUGGUUACAGGGGUCGGUGUGAAUAAUGUAUAUAUCGUUUAGACAUAUUUUUGAAUAUCUAUUUUAAUUUAGGGGAUAUUAUAUAUAUUUAAAAAAAAUUAAAAUUUUUACGGGAGCCAUGGCUUACUAUAGUCUCCAUUAAGAUUCACCCUCCCUACUUUUCGUACUUCAUUAAAGUAUAGGAUAAAUAUUUACAAUAUUAUAAAUAGAUUUUAUAAAAGCAGUCCAUAUAUGAAAGUCCUUCUGCACUCUGAAUUAAAUAAAAAUAACGUGAGACUAACAAUUUAAGAGUCUUUUUUGCAACGUAUAUCGUGCAGUGAUGUACUCUAUCGACGGAGGACUCUCUUCAUAUGCUUUUUAUUUUUCCAUGCCUGAUUAUAAAUAGGAUCACUCUAUGUUACAUUAAACGUAACGUACACACACUCACAACAACAGUAACAAGUCCCAUCAUUAGAACUGUUGCUGUGAGUGCGUGUAUGUUACGUUUAACGUAACAUAUCACUAGCCUUAUAAAUAACAUCACUUUUAAGGAUUUUUACAAAUUUUUAUUACAACCGUAACUUUUGUCCUCAUACAAUAACGGUGUCCAUUGUCCACAUAUAAAAAGUUCAUCAAUAAACAUAUAACCUAAUUAAAAUUCGUGACAAAAUCCAAAGGAAAGAAAGCGUGGAGUAAUAUAUAUAACAAAGGCAUUGAGCAUACACCAGGUGUAAUUUGCAUUGCAUGGCCACCCUUACGUGGCAGUUCCGCCGAUUAACACAUCUUUAAAAGUUAAAGCCCCCCUCUCUCCUUGUUAAGGGCGUUUCAACACAACACUCAUCAAUGCAAGCAAAGAGACAGUGAAGGAAAAAUUAAGAAACCAAUAUUGUCACUUGGAAGAAAGAAACAAUCAUUACAUAUAUAAUACGAUGGAUACUAAGAACAACAGGAAGCAUUUGUCCUGCAUUGCCAACGACGUCGUUCACAGAUGUGCACUGUACGUAUCUCUCUCUCUCUCUCUCUCUCCUUUUCUUUUUCUCCCCGAUCACUUUGUUUUCUUUAUAUAUACGAAUGUAUGUAGAACGUAGUAGGUUUUGUAUAAAUAUCUGUUGCACACAUUAUUUGAUGUGCAUUUAAAUAUAAUUAAUGGUAAUUGAGAUGACACACAAAGACAAUGCAAAAAAAGAAAAAAAAAGAGAGAGUAAAUUAAUGAAUUUGCCUUGAUCCAGUUAAUUUGUGUGCAUUUAGCUGACUGUAAGGUGGUUUCGAGUGUGUUUUUGUUUGGCAACUUUUCACACAAAAGCACUUUUGGGAAGCACUUUAUGUAAUGUAAGUGCCUCUAAAAACUGUUUUAUGUAUUACUGCCAAAUGCAGUGCAGAGGUUACAAUGGGAGGGUCGGUUUUAUACCUGUUCUUCGAGACUUAAUUUCAAUAGGAGAUUGAAAUAUUUAUGAGAAUUAUGUUGUUAGCAGACUUAAUUCUUUUGGAGGAAUUCAUUCCAUCGUAGACCACUCAAUGAAUUUGGUCGAUUGAGAUUAUUUGAGUGCAUGCUUCAAAACUGGAGCAUUAAUUCUUUGACAUAAAUGGGCUUUAACAUAAGGCGCGUUCGCUUAUUCCAUUUAUUCAAGAAGUUGGCACUCAAUUUUUUAUUACUAGCCUUUAGAUGGCCAGCAGCCUUUUGUAGCCCUUUCUAGUUUCUACUAAAGUGGUUAUGUGCAAUAGUUCUAUUCUGGGUUGCAAAAUUAUUGUGUCAGUAGAAUCCACAUACAUUAUGUACUUUUCUGUAUUUAAUUUCAAGAGGCUUAGUUAUAUCAUAGUUUUAGGAUUAUAAUAAGUCUGUCCGUUACCAUGUUAUUGGAAUUUUUUUUUUUUUCUAAAUUAGUUGGACACAUUAUUGGAUUGGUCAAUAAAGGAAAGCAUUUGGCAAGUACUUGGUUUGAUAUUAACAUAUAGUUGCAGUAAAGCACAUUAACUUGUGCAUCCUGAAAUUCUUGCAGGCAAGUAAAGGCUUCUGAGGAUUCAUUGGUGGAGGGGUUUGAAGCUGAAUGGAAGCCUGAAAUCGGACAGUAUUCGAAGAAAUUUGUGGAAUAUUGCAGCAUAAAGGCUCUUACUAACAUGUGCCAGAGCAUAGAAGAAAAGAUUAGUGAUGGAUCAUUUAGUCGACUCACAUUUGAUAUGAUGCUUGCCUGGGAAAUGCCUAGUGCCGCCGAUGAGGAGUCUCAUACUGUAAGCAAUCAUCAUAAUACUCAUAUCCUAUAUUUAUUUCAUGGUCCACCAAAUCAUUAUGAUAUUAUCCCAAUUUUGGUGUGCCUAUCUUCUCUUCAAGUUGCUUCUUCUAUUUCUUUUUCAUUAUACAUUCUCUGGUUCUCAUCAGUUUUCGCUCCAAUUAAAAGAAGCAUGAAUUCUUUCACUUAUCUGCUGAAUCUGUUCUAAUGAUUGGGCAAUAGAUUUUUAUUCCUCUCUGUGGUUACUACUAUUUUGAUCUUGUGCAGGAGUGCAUGGGAAAGGAGAAUGAGGAUAGAAAGGCUGUAAAAGUCACUUCAGAUCAUGAUGAAAUUCCUCUCUUCUAUACAGACAUCAUGCCUCUUCUAGUAAGAGCGUCUCUUUCUGAUCAUUUGAGUGCUAAUGUACCGACCAAGCAUUAGCCUUCACUGAAACUCGUAUAUGAUUUCAUGAACAUUGAUUAAUUGUUAUUUUUGCUAACUACUCUAUGAGAUCUGAUCAAAUUAGAUAUAUAAAUGUUGCGAUUGAUCUUGGAUUUGCUUUAUAUUUGGCCAUCAAUUAUAUUUUACUCUUCAUUUUUAUAUUUGUUUGGUUUGAUAAUUUACCCUCUGGCCCAUAUAUAUGAUGGUAGGUUAAUAAUGAACCGAGUGUUGGAGAAGAUGCAUUUGUAUGGAUGGGAUCCUUAGUUCCUCUAGUUUCAGAUGUUAUUAAUGGGAGAUUUACAUAUGAAAUUCUGACAGCGCCAACAGGAAACCGGCUCCAUUCUCCAGCAUAUGAUAUAUUUCUAAAGGAGAUGGACAAGUAAUUCUUCCAAUUCUUCCAUGCAGCAAUUUUACCACUCAGAAACUUUAAGUGCCGUUUGGUUUUGUGACAUGCAAAUUAUCAUGGAACACUCAAAAUGAGUUGUUCUUAACAAUUUCUAGAAUUUGCAAACUCACUAACCAUAUCUGAAAAUGCAGAAGCAUUAUUACCACUUAUUGAUAACAAUAUCUCUGCUCGACUUGUUUGGGUGCUUUCAGCCGUUUUUCAUUUUCUUUUGGAAAUCUUGAUUUCAUAGAUGCAUAAAACAUUUGCAAAAACAAGCAACUCCAAAGGGUGUUGAGCUGGCUGACGAUGAAUUUAUACUGCAUGUGGAGGGAACUGCAAGCACACAGAGAGUAGUGCGCCAUAUUGGGAAAACAAGUUGGCCUGGUAUGUCUUUAGUUUGAUGUCUUACAUCUUUUUAACUGCUGUAGAAAUUGUUACUUGGAUUUUACUAAUCAUAAUUGUUGUCUCUAGGUAGGCUCACACUGACAAAUUAUGCGCUCUACUUCGAGGCUUCGGGAGUAAUAACAUAUGAAGAUGCUCUAAAGAUUGACCUCUCAAAAGAUGCUGAACUAUCUGUUAAACCAACUGCCACAGGUCCAUGGGGUGCUCCGCUUUUUGACAAGGCAAUUGUAGUCGAGUCCCCUGAACAGUAAGCAUAGUUGCACUUAUAUGAAAUUACUGGAGCUAUUAGCAUCGUUAUUCUUAUUUUAAAAAUUGUUAAAUGCUUGGUAGUUAUCCCAUAAGCUAGAUUUUAAAUGCAUAACAUACAAGGCAGACAUCAGAAAGCAUUCUGAUUCGUUUAUUAAAGUUUGUCUUUUAUUAAGCUAAAGAUAUUAAUGCUGCUAGAUUUUUCUAAUUUGGUUGUAGAUAUUGGUUAGUUACACUGUCAAAUGAGCAAAUCUCGUGGAUAUUUCAUAGUGUGGUUAUGCAAUUGUUUUUUGCCCUUCACUUUUCUAGAUCUGAGGGAAUUGUCCUGGAGUUUCCAGAGAUAACUAGCUCGACAAGGCGUGAUCAUUGGCUGGCCCUCACAAAGGAGAUAAUGUUAAUGCACAAAUUCCUGUCAAAAUUCAAGGUGGAAUGUCCAAUACAAGCAUGGGAGAUGAAUGCAAGGACAAUACUUUGCAUCAUAAGACUCCAUGCAGCAAGAGAAAUGCUGAGGAUAUUGCCUCCAGAUCCCACAAAAUUCUUGAUUUUUGCUUUGUAUGAUGAGUUGCCAAAGGGAGACUACGUGCUAGAAGAGCUUGCUGAGAGUCUGAAGAAAGUUAAUUGUGGACAUCCUUCCAGUGCUAGCUCAAUUCUGAGAUGUAUGAACCUGUCAAUUGCCGCAAGUGGAGAAGUAAAAGAAGGAAAAGAACUGGAGGAACAUAAACAUAUAAGUGAUGAAAGCUGUUCAUCACUGGAAACUGCCAUCAAUCAAUCUAAAGAGCAAGCAAAGGCAAUUGAAAUUGCUAAGUCUACCACUGAGGGCCUGAAAGAUGAAGGGAUCAGUGAUAGUAUCCUUGUUCUCUUGGUAUGUUUUUACUUCCAAAUUGUUGUUUAUGCUGCUGAUUUUAUAUUGACAGAAUAAGUAAUGACAUCUCAACAAAUCAUGGUAUUGAGAGCUUGUUUGACAUUUAUCAAACACAGCAAAGAAAUUGAAUUUUAUGAAAUUCCUAUAGCACCCUAUAAUUUGUACCAAAAAAUCUCUGCACCUUUGGCAUGCUGUAUGGUAUGGAAGUAUAGCUGUCUCAGAGAGGUUACUGUUAUUUACUUUAUUUGGUUUUGUAGUAUUGAUGUUAAGUUUGAUUUAAUAAUGUAGGAGCUACUAAAGCCACUUAAAAGUGUUUUACCCUGGAUUCGAGAAGUUGUUUCAUGGGAAAAACCAGCAACCACCCUCACUGUGAUUGCAACAACUCUACUAAUAGUGUACAAGUAAGUCAGUGCUCCCUCGUAAUUUUCUUAUAUACGGAAAUUUUUUUGAAAGUGCAUGUUGAUCAAGAACCACUUCAUUACUUGGCCUAUUAAUGUGUAAACUUUGCAAAUGACUAGUAAACUAUAUAAUGGCAAUGUAGGGAGUGGGUAGGCCAGGCUAUAGCUGCUUGUUUGCUCACCAUCGUGGUGAAGAUGCUUCAGGCAAGAAAAAAAAGGUUGACAGACAAAUGCAAUGAGAUAGUAGUAUGCACUGCUUCAGAUCAGAGCACCGUGGAGAGCAUUGUGUCGGCUCAAUACAGUUUGAUAACUAUUCAUGAGAUGUUGCAGGCAGCAAACAUUAUGAUUUUGAAGAUAUGGUCGAUAUUAAUUUCAAAGGCCCGCAAGGUACUCAUUUUGAUAACCUAUGCUUUCAGCUUAGCAAUUAAAUAUCGUUUUCAAUCAAUAUUGCUUAUUCGUCGUUAGCUGAAGUUCGUUUACCUACUACAUUUGUUGGAUGUCUUCAAUUAUUGAGGAGUCUUAGUUGCAUUUCCAAAUUGUUCUAAAUCCUCGUUUCAUUUAAUGGGUUGCAGCAUGCGGACACGGUUAUGGUGGCAUUGACUGGGUUAGCAAUAGUAUUAGCAGUUGUUCCAUUCAAGUAUAUUGUCAUGGGAGGUGUGCUGUACGGCUUCAUUAUGAACUCGAAGCCAAUGAAGUACCUGGGAAACAACUCAAACGACCAAAGCGGCAACAGACGUCUAAAAGAAUGGUGGGAGUCAAUCCCUAUUAUUCCUGUUCGCGUCGUGGACAAGCUUCCUGAGUGCCCAAAAUAAUGUGUCGGCUCCUGCACAAUCACAGUUGCCUAAAUCCUCUGUUUCUGAACUUUUGUUAUCAACUUACUGCACGAUAUACACUUCUGAGUUUGCUUUUGCCAUCAGAGUAGAACUGUAUCUGAAACACAGCAUACACUUAAAUGCUCAUUACAAAUUUGGAGAAAAGCACAAGUAGAAAAGGAUUGAAGACAUUCAGUAACGUUGAAAUUCUGCAUUUUCUUUAAUUUUUGUUAUGAACAAGUUUCUUAAUUAUUUGUUCUCUUGAUGUAAAAUAGCAUAUUGCUGGGAGUAAUGAAGAUGUGACUGUGCUUUUCCUAUUAGCAUGUUAAUAAAAGCAAAAUGGAAAAUUAUUAGUUACGUCCUCUCGUUUUGCGGCUUAUUGAGCUAACAAGUAACUUCUUCAUUACUAGCGUGCAAGUUUGCAACUAGUGAAUCUCAAAUAUAACUCUACCCAAUGGAUGGAUGUACGAUGGAUGUACCUACCCAAUCAUUUAUUUCUCAUUAAAUCUGUUAAAACAGAAAAAGUCCCGACGUCAUAUUCUUCGCGCCUUUUAAAAAACGACACGUGUCGUAUCCCACUACUCGCGUGCUGGAAACUUUAACCCACUCUGACUGCGUGACAGCAGAUCAUUCCCAAUUCAUUUCAGUUUCACUGUCACUUUCACUCCUCCUCAGGCGCCUUCCGACAAACAGGAAGAAUGCAAACUUGAAAACCCCCAAAAACCCUAACGUUCCCCCGGAGACCCUAACCCACCAUAAACCCUGGCUCUUAAUCCUAGCCACUAUGAGCGACCAAGACGAGCAAUCGCGAGCUCAGAAAGCCGCCCAGUUAACAAGUCCGCUCUCAUCCUCUCUCUCGAACCUUUCUUCUUCUUCAAGAAGCAUCCCCUCUAAUCAAGAUUUCCAUUUCUUCUACAAUUUCCCUGAAUUCAAUCAACCCGUCCAAGAAAUCGCGAACCAAUCGCAGCUCCUCCUACAAUCCAUCGGCUCAUCGGAGAUUUUUAACCAACCGAUCAAUUUUCCUGAUGAGGUUGACAUCUCGGACGCCUACGACUGGCUUGUCGACGUAAACGACAACGUUUUCGAGCGUAUGGAUGUUUCUUUCGACGAAUUUAGUAAAGUAAGAGGGGAAAAUGGGGAAGGAGAUGGAAAUGAAGGUGGCUUUCAGUUGGUUUAUGGGAAGAACAAGAAGAAGGGCGACAUUGUGGGUGGCUCUGCCCCGGCCAGUGUGAAAGUGAAGGACAGGAAAGAGAAAAGCAAGGUGCCGUUUCAUAUAUCGACUAUAACAAAACCGCAAGAGGAGUACAAGAUAGUUGUGAACAAUGCGAACCAGCCGUUUCAGCAUGUUUGGUUGCAGAAGAUUGAGGACAGUGGACGGUUUAUCCAUCCUCUUGUAAGUUUGUUAUUUUUUGAAUAUUUUGAUAUUGGAUUUGACUUACUGGGUUUGUUAAAUUUGUAAUCUGAAAAUAGUACCUUUCUUAGGGACUUUUUAGUGAUCAAUUAUUUCUUUCAUUUUCUUUUUGGGUGGUUUGUGGUAUAUGUUUACGCUUAUCUUGUUUGGAAUUUGUGUGCAAUUCUUAUUAUUCAUGCGAGAAUUUUAACACUAUCAUGUGGUUCAUGCUUGCCAAAAAUAUACCAAAACACUUUUGCUUAUUGCUAUUGCUUUAUUUGUACAGGACAAUCUUUCUGUUUUGGAUUUUGUUGAUAAAGAUAUAGGGGAUGUGGAACCUGUAAAACCUCCCUCGUUGGAGCAGACACCAUUCAAGCUUGUGGAAGAAGUUAAAGAUUUAAAGGAGCUAGCUGCUAAAUUGAAGAGCGUAGAUGAGUUUGCGGUAAAGUCUGACUUCUGUGAUUAUGUUUUAUUGAUAAAUAAUGCCGUGGUUCAGCCUUACUGCAGUAGUUUCUUUUUUUCAGCCUUUUGAUUUCUCUUUUCUGAUGGGGCAUUUCAUAUACAGAACUGAACACUGUCCUAUGUAGAGGAUAUAGUGUAGUUAAGGCACAUGUCACCGAUGUCAGCUACUUCAAAAUUAUAUAGUGCUGGAUGUGGUUUAAGCCAAUAAGACAAGAAAGGGGUGUGGCCGCCUAUGAAGAUACAUACAAAUAUGUUAAUAUUCGAAACAUAUACAAAGAAAUGUGCCUGUAAUAGUUUUCCUGUCUACGUAAAGUAGUAAACCAGCUGUCUAUUUAAUCUUGAUACAAGUUUUGCAUGUUUAAAAAAUUAUCUUUCAUCUUUAACAGUGAGUCCAUUUUUAGCUGUAAUCCUUUUCUCAAGCAUGACUUGGUUUUGCUUUCGUUUUCAUCUCAACAGUAAACCUGUUUGCAACUAGAAAACAUUGUAAUUUUUUUGUAACUUUUCUCUAGGUCGACUUGGAACAUAAUCAAUAUCGAUCUUUCCUAGGAUUGACUUGCCUGAUGCAAAUUUCCACCAGAACCGAAGAUUUUGUGGUAGAUACGUUAAAGCUUCGCGUUCAAGUUGGGCCAUAUCUUAGGGAAGUUUUUAAAGAUCCUACCAAGAAAAAGGUUGGUCCCUUCAACAUGCUCUCGCGUAGCUUUGUGAUAAAUCUUAUUUUUUCCCCCCCAAAUUAUGUUAACUUUUACUUUACUAGGUGAUGCAUGGAGCAGAUCGAGAUAUUGUGUGGCUUCAACGGGACUUUGGCAUAUAUUUGUGCAAUAUGUUUGACACAGGACAGGUUUUAUCCCUUGAAACUCUCUUUGAAAUUUGAGACUUUAUUGAUGAUCUUGUCUGGUUUUUUGUACAAUGGUUAAAUUUAUCUUAUCUUAUCUGCUUUUUUGUGGUCUAAUUUAUGAGUGUUGAUGCAAGCCUUUAUUCUACUAAAUUAGUUAAAUUGAGUUAUCUUUUGAUACUGUAUUUUCAAUUUUGUAAUUCAUCUUAUGUGUUUGAGUCAAGGUUUGGCUUCAAAAAGCCUUGUCAGUUACAUGUCAUCUCUCCCUUAAUUUUUUCAAAGUAGCUUCGCUUGUCAUUUGAACUAUUUGUAUCAUUAUUUUCAAUUUUGAUGUGGAACUUCCCCCAUUUAUUAAUGUUCUUUUGGUUGUUUUUGUGUAAUGCUCUUUUGUAAAUUUUACCGUGGCAUUUAUUUUGUUUUGCAUUUCAAAUAAUAGUGAGAAUUGCUUUUUUCAGUCCUAAGUUUAUUGGUUUAUUGUAAAUAUACUGUAUAUUUAUUUUGGUUUGCAUUGGGAGAUGAUCGUGGGAAUUUGUUUCUGUCUUUUCAUAAGGCCUCAAGAGUCUUGAAAUUGGAGAGAAAUAGUUUGGAGUAUCUUCUACAUCACUUUUGUGGAGUUAAUGCCAACAAAGAGUGAGUCCUUUUGUAAAGUACCUGAUCUGUUUCUCCUUAUAGUUUCCGCCCUUCAUCAUCCUAAGUCAACUCAUUGCAGAUACCAGAACGCAGAUUGGAGAGUACGUCCUCUUCCCGACGAGAUGCUGAGGUACCUUUGGUUCUCUUUUUAUCUUCUUUGUAACCUACUUUUCUAAUGAGUUCUCCAAAAAAAAAAAAAUUAUGAUCUGUUUGGCAUGAAAAUAAUUACUACUAUUUUAAAGUUCUUGUAUUCUUUGGAAAAGCAGAAAUCAUAUAUCAUCAUUUAAGUGUUUGGGGUUUCAUCUUUGCCUGUAUUUUUGUAGAAACUAAUAAUAUUUUUUUUUCUGUGGCUUAGGAUUUGAAUUGUGGGAAUAUCUAUGUUGGAAAUUAAUAAUGAGUGCACAUUGACUCUUGAUAGUGGACAAAUAUUUGGACAGCCAGGAAGGGGAAGGCCAACAAAAGUUUUGGGUUUUUAUAAGUUGAAGUUAUGAAUGGUUUUAUAAUUAAUUAGGUAUAGGUUUCCUCAUUUGGGUAUUUCUGGGAGAUCUGGGUUAUAAGAUUGAGAUAUUCCAGCCUGUAUAGAUAAUUGUAGGGUUGCCUGUGUUUGUGAUAUUCCAGCGCGUUUAUUAUUACUACUUCUUAUAUAUAUAAAAUUUUAGACUCUUUCCAUGUCUAACAAGAAGUUUUCAUGAUAUCACUUGGAUCCUACUCAUGCAGACUUGUAAGGCAUCCUUAGGUGCGGUUAUGUGAUCUGGUUUUUAUAAAUAUUUUUAAAUUUUUUGUCAGAGACAAUGCCUGUAGUGACAAUGUACUGACUUAUCUUUUGGUUAUUACCAAGCUGAAUCAGGUUGCCUGUGGUUUAUGACCAUACCAUUUGGUCUUAUAAAAUGUUCUUCCCUUCACCUCAUGUUCUCAUACUUUAAAGCAUGAAUAAUAUCUAAGGGCCUGAGAUUAUUUCAUUAAUUUUUCCCAAGUCUAGAUCCUUCCCAGAGAAAUGGAUGGAUUACCCACACACUCACCAGUAACAUGUCGUACUUUAUGACGGUUUUGCAUUACUGCUGUAUGUCAUUUAAUUUGCCCUUUUGAGGAUUCUUUAUUUUCUCUGGGCUGAUGUUACUUUGUGGUGCUUUUUUUUCCUAUUUAGUCAAAAUAUAUAUUCAUCAUAGAGUUUCUCUGUUAGAAUUUUCUUAGCUUUGAGGAUUCGUUAGUGGCAUAUCAUCCAAUUGAUUAUACUUGUGAUGACAGAUACGCUAGAGAAGAUACACACUAUCUGUUGUAUAUAUAUGAUAUAAUGAAAAUCAAGUUGUCCUCAAUGCCCAAGGAGUCUGAGAAUUCUGAUACUCCCCUGACAGAGGUAUGAUUUUUGCUUAACUGUUGGUGUUGUUUUGUAAAACUGUUGGGCAUCUCUAUGAUUAUAGAGAAUCCAUUUUUAAAUGCUUUUUUCAGAUCUUGUUGUGCCAUGUAUGACAGACCAUUGCGUCUGGAGAUUGGCAUGGAGCUUAAUAAUUACAAUGUUAAAAAUAGAACAUAAAAUAUUGGGAAGUAUCUAUCAUGACUAAUUCUUCAACUGUUUAAGGAAGAUAGUUUAAAUCCGAAUAUCCUUUUUUGGAUUGUGGACUAAAGAAAAUUGUCAACUCUUGAUUUCUCUUCCCAAGGAUGAAGACGUAUCAGUCUGUUGGCAAACACAUUUUUUGAAUUUUACUUUAGUUAUCUAUAAUUUUACCAUAUUGAGCAAACAUUUUGUUGCAAACAGGUCUACAAGCGCAGUUAUGACGUAUGCAGGCAGCUGUAUGAGAAGGAGCUUCUGUCAGAAAAUUCUUAUCUCCACAUUUAUGGGUUUGUCUUUGUCCCUAUUCAUCUCAGUUUAAGUUUUCAUUUAGUGGCCUCGCCUGUUUAAAAUCUUCUCUCAUACAGUUUUUGUUUGUUUCAUUCUUUACUUAGCAUUACUUCUCUUGUUUAAUUUUAGUUCUAUUUUGGACUUCGUAUUUAUGUGAUUUGACAGAACUUAAUCAGUGGAGCUUAUUUCUCUAUGUUGAAAUAGGUUGCAGGGGGCUGGUCUCAAUGCUCAGCAGCUUGCUGUUGUUGCGGUAUGUCAGUUCUUCAUGUGUUUUUCAAACUUUGCCACUUUUCUAUCUGGAUAUUAUAUGCAUGAGGAUGCUACUGAAAAUGUAUUAUCCGCAUGUUUUGUUUACUAGUUGCAUCUUCAAAUGAAACAAAGUCUUGACCCAGAAGAAUCCGUAACGCACCAAUAGUCACUAAUAGGAUUGUCUUGAGAAAUUUACUUCUAAAUUUUUGAGUGGAUGAUAGAAGGGUGGAUUUUAAGUAGCUGACACAUCAUUGCCAACUGCUGAUAGAGUCUGUUGCAUACUUGAGUAUUCUUGCUAGUUCUGGCCCCAUUGAUCCCACUUCAAUGAUUUGCAGGGUCUUUGUGAAUGGCGAGAUGUUAUUGCUCGUGCAGAUGAUGAAAGUACUGGCUAUGUAUUGCCAAACAGAACUCUGAUUGAAAUUGGUAGAAACCUGUCUGAAUUUCCUCCAACUCUCUCUUCUAUAUGUAUAUAAUCCAUUUGGUGAGUUAUGAGUUAAUCAUAUUUUCCUUUUGUGGUAAAAGCCAAACAGUUGCCUACUACUGCUGCCAAGUUACGUCGAUUGUUGAAAUCAAAGCACUCAUAUAUUGAACGCUAUAUGGGUCCGGUACUUAGCAUCAUAAAAAAUUCUAUGCAAAAUGCUGCUAAUUUUGAAGUCAUUGCUCAAAAAUUGAAAGAGGAACGUAUGGAAGUGGUAAGACCUGCAUGCUCAUGUUUGAUUGUUUUGUUAUAUCAGUGAUCCAAAUUGAUUAUUUUUCUUUGAGAAUUUGAUGUUAAUGCCUUCAAUGGAUUGCCAACAUACAUUGAUUUUCUUUUUCUUUUCCUUGGAUUUCGUUAGAAUCAGACCAACCAUCUUUUAAACGAGGAUGAUGGUCCAAAACCUUAAGGUCUACUACGAUGAAUUGCUACUUUUUGUGCAAGUUCUUGUAAUUCACUCAGCUGGUUGUCUUCGGCAAAUGAAAGGAAAAAGGAAAUUCAUCCAAUCCAGUUCUAUUGAAGAAAAAGAAUCCUAGUUGAUCUUACAAAAUUAAGCUUUCAUAAUUUGUUAACCCAUGGAAUGUGAUUAAAACUCAUGGACAAAGGAUGUUCCAGUUGAGAAAGGGAUUUGAGUGAUUUUUAGCAAUUAUCAGUGAUGUCUUCAUUAGAAGUAAGUUUAUGGUUUAUAGCAGUAAAUGCUCAAUAAUUAGGUACUCCUUGUAUAUUGGCUGACCGGGUCCCAUGUUUGUAGUAGGUUUUGUGAGCUACAGAGGAUUAACUUCAGUCAGUUUUCCAUGUUAUGGCUGUUAAGAGCUAUGUCACCAUUUUUCUUUGUUUACAUCAAACUAAUCUUUUUUUUUCCCCCCAUUUUUCCUUAUUUGUGUAGGCAUCAGAAGAAACUGAAGUUUUAGUUCUUGAUACUUCCUCAAACUUGAAAAUUCCGAAUGUUGGAAGGGAGAGUGUUGAUGGUGUUGAUGCAUUAGUUGGUACCACGAUGCCUCACCCACCAGCUUACACCCAGCUGAAACAAGAGCCUCCAAAGGUUGGAAGCAGUGUCGCAGAACUUGACAGAAAUGGACUAGGGUCUUUUGCGCAUCCUGGAGAAGCAAUUGCUUCAGAAAAUAAAGAAGCUACUCAUAUUUCAACACUUUCCAGCUCUGGUCAAAGUAGAGACUUGAAUGCUUGCAAGUCACCUUCACCAAGGGUUGUGAAUUUGAUGCCUUAAUGUGGAUUUUUUUUUUUUUUGGUUAAGAGGUUUAGCAUUCAAUUUCUUUUUCUUUGGUUGUGAAUUUGAUGCCUUAAUGUGGAUUGGAUUUUUUUUUUUUUUGGUUAAGAGGUUUAGCAUUCAAUUUCUUUUUCUUUAUAGGUUACUGAAGCUGCUGUUCAGGCUCUAAAGAAGCCGAACCGUGGUUUUGGAGCACUGCUGGGUAACCCAAAGAGAAAGUUUGAUGGCGAGAAAAAGGUGAGUUAAUCAUUUGCUAGUAAUGGUUGUUAAACAUCUGCUAUGUCAUUGUCACAUAGCAAAAUAACUAUUUCUGAGGCCUGCCAGUCACCCAGUUUGUGCAUGUGUGGUUGGGAAGAAGGCAACAAAGGAAGAAUAUAGUUAAACAUUUGCUAUGUUAUUCUUACAUAGCAAAAUAACUACUACUGAGGCCUGCCAGUCAGCCAGUCUCUGCAUGUUGGUUGCAAAGAAGGCAACAAAAGAAGAAUGUUUUUUUUUUUUGAAUCUUCAUUCCAUGAUUCACUUUCUUUUCAAUUUUUCUUGUCAACUAGCAUGUACAUUUGCCUUCUUGUUGCCUUUUUCGUUGCGUGAGUCAUUAUGAAUUAUGAUUUAUAUUAUACGGAAAUUGUGAGUGGGCAACUGUUGGGCUAUAAUCAAACAUGCAAAAUUUCGGGUCCCAUGACUAAGCGCUGCUAUCAUCUGGAUUUGUGUGUUGUUGCAUUUUAUAUUUGGUUAACACCCUUCUUAUUAUCCUCCUUUUGAUUGUUUGUUUGUCUUAAUUAGGACAAGGAAGCUAUGAAACUAGAGCAGAUUAAAUCCUCAGUCAAUCUUCCAUUCCACUCAAUUUUUGCAAGAGAUGAACAGUUAAAACCAGUUGAUGUGAUGAAGUCUGAACCAAAUAAGCCUGACAUUCCAUUUCCUUCAUCUUUUGGUAGUGGGCAACAAACGAAACCAAUCAUAGAGGAAUCCAAUAGAGUUACAGUAGUUUCCCAAUCAGAAGAACCCGCUCCGGCUGCUAGGUCUGAUACAGAAGAUAUUAUUACGUUGGAAGAUGAUAUAGAUGAAGAGGAACAAAACCUUGGUAAUUUGGAAACUGCAAGUGCGCCCGGAGAGGACGGUUCUGCAGGGUCUGCUUUGGAAAUGGGUAAACAAGAUGAGACCAUGUCUCUCUCUGAUUUAUCAACUAGUUUCCAGGAGUGCUUCCACUCUGCUAACAACAAUAGAAAACCUGGAAAGCCUGAGAGAUCUGAAGAACCUAGUGGUUUUUUGCAGCUUAAGCCGUUUGACUUCGAAGCAGCUAGGAAACAGAUCGAGUUUGGAGAAGAUGCCAAAGAAAAAUCAGCUGGGGUUGAUGGAAACAAAAGAAAACCAGUGAACUCUGGAGAUAAGAAAAAAGUUUCAGCUGUAGAUCAAGCUCAAAAAGAUGAUGGAACAAAAGAACUGUCACAAGGUAGACGACGUUCUGCUUUUCCUGCAACUGGAAAUCGAAGUGCAACAUUUCGCUGAGUCUCUGGUAUCAAUCAUGCUGCUCUGUGUAGCAGAAAUUAGUUGAAUUUUGGAUUUUCACAAUCAUGUUCUUGAUUUAAAUGGAAAUUAAUGCUGGUGGACAAAUUCGCAAUGGUUGUACGUAUAUUUCCAUUGCUUGAGGUCUUGUCUGAUACAGCAUGAGCUAACCUGAUCAUCUUUUGAUAUUCAGUAACAGGAGAGAUGUAUGGUCUGCAGGAGCCAAUGAUGGGCAAGUGAUACCUGAGGCCGGUGUCUAUUUGAAGGUAAAAUGGGCGAUGGUUCUAGGUUUCAUAUUAGGUUUUUGAUAGUCUUGAGUAAUUGCCCUACUAUCUUCAUAUUUAAAAAACAGGAUGGUUUCAAACCAAAGUGCGGUUUGUAAUCAAAAGCAUUUGAUCUUUUUGUUUUUGUAACUUUACGGGUUUUAUUUUUAGAAAAAUGGUUCUGUACUAUGGUUUAUUUCUGCCUUAUUUGAUAUUGUGGUCAUCUUAGGCUUUAUUUAGUGUAAUUUUUCAGUUAUAUGUUCGUUUGGGAAGAGGAAAUGAAGUUAAUUUUAUUUCACACUUGCAUAAGAAAAAAUUGUAAUGUUUAUAUUAUUUUUGUUAAAAUUAUUAUUUAAAAAUUAUAUUUGAUAUCUAUUAAUAAUUUUUAUUAUAAUUAUAAUUUUCUUUUUCCUCCAUCAUCUCAAUUGCUUAUAACUGCUGUUGAGGAUGGUUGGUGCGAUGUUAAUAAUUUGUAAAGGGCUUAGUAACAUCUGGUUCCGUGAUGUCGGCCAAACCAUAUCGAAGGGCUUAAUUUGACGGUCAUCGGGGCCUCCUGCCCAGCUGCCCUCCUUUACGGAUUCCGCUUCCGCAAAUUAUUUUAUAUAAACUGUUGUUACAUGAUAGUGGUGGCCGGAUGAAAAUACUACAUGACCAUAUAAUGCUUUCGGUGCAAUGAGUGAAAAAGAGAAAUUUUUAUGUAUUCUCGGAUUGAAGGAGAAAUUUUAAGAUUAAGAUUGUGGAGUGGUAGCAGGAGUAAAUUAUUUACUUACAUCACUAUGAGAGUGUGGAACGAAAAUUAGAAAUUAUGUAUUUUCUUUGUCUUAGAUUGAGAGUGAAUCAUUUUAAAUUAUAAUUUUAUCCUUAUUUAAAGAAUUGUAGUUUUUAAUUAUAAAGUAAAUAAAAAAAUAUAUUUGCACAAUAAAUUAUUUAUUUUGUUAUUAAUUUUAAUUAUAUAAAUUAAUAAUAAUUAUUAUUAUUCUUAAUCAUGUGAAUCAUGAUUUUUUUGUUAAUUUUNNNNNCGUACAGCAGAAAUAAAUAUGAUAUUUUUAUUUUUAAAUAAAUGUGAUAUUAUUUUUAUUUUUAUCAAUAUAAUUAUAUUAUAUUCAAUAAGGAAAUGAUAAAAAGAAAGAAGUGGGAGUAGAUUUCUACUUUUUAUUCAAAAACAAAAAUGAGACCCACAGAGUAGAAGCCUAACUCUCCUCCUUAGAUGAGUACUAAAACGUUUAAGUAGGAGAAAUUCAUAUUUUUGACUCCCACUCUACAAAGUAAACAUAAUAAUAAUAUCAUAAUAACAUUUGAUAAUUCUAUAUAUUUGUGACGUCAUAUCUCAUCAAUUGAUUAAUAAAAUUAAAUGGUGAUUAUUUAUGAAAGAACAAAAUUAAUUCAUGUGAGUUAUGGUUAAUAAAUAAAUAAAAUAUAAAAUGUUAAAUUUUGACUAUAAACUAAUUUCAAUAUCUAAUAAUUUAAAAGCUCAAUAGAGCUAUGAUAAAAACUAAAGGGAGGAUUCUUAAUCCGAUCCGGGAUCUUAAUCAGUUCAGGACCGAUCCACUUCCAGCUAUUACGCGUCAAACAUCCAUUUGACGAUUGACGUGUCACGCCAUCUCACUGUCCUCACAAGAAAACCCGUUACCUUCAAAAUGCUCCAAACCCAUCAACGCCGAAUUCAAAUCAAGCCCCAAGACCAAAUACAAAGCAAAAACAAAUAAACAAACGUCUGUUCAUUCAGUCUGAAAAAAUCAAAAGAAGUAAAAGGAUUGGCGAUGGCGAUGGCGGUUGAAGGAGGAGGGACAUUAUCGGAGAUAUAUCAAAGUGCGAAGAAGUUGCUGUUGAGAGCGAGAGACGGAGUUGAGAAACUGGAGAGACUGGAGAGCUCGACGUCGACUGGGGGAUACGAUUCGCCGGAGCUCUCCUUCGCUGUCAAGAAAGAUAUUUCUCAGAUCCAGUCACUCUGCGUCGAGAUGGAUCGCCUAUGGCGCUCCAUCGCCGACAAGUCUCAGCGCGAUCUCUGGAAGAGGUACCUAUUCAUUUACUGUUUUGCCACGUGGCACCGAAUCAACCUUGUGUCGUGUCCUAAUUGCUCUACGCCAGUUCGGUUGCAAUUCUGUGCAUGAACCGCAAUUUUUAUACUGAAUAUUACAUUAUUGAUUUUGUCUGAGCGACAAGGCAUGCUUCCACGUUUACUUGUUGCUUAGUUUUAUUGUUUUGCCUUCUAUGUUAACAGUCUAUAUAAGUUUUAUAUGUGUUACAGGCAUGUGUAUAUAUGGAAGUACAUUAAUAGCUGUUCAUGCUGUUGCUUGCUUGAGGUCGUUGGUAUAUUUGCAUUUGGAACUAAAUGUGCUUGGUGUGGGUUCGCUAUGUGUGUGUGUGUGUGUGUGUUUGUUUGCGUUUGAUGUUAAAUGGAAUUACCUUCUAUCGAGUCAGUGCCGCAAUUUGAUUGCUUGGUUUUUCAGAGGUGUGUUUUUAUGUUAUGUCAUGCAGAAAAGUUGAACAAGUAGCAGAAGAGGCUGAAUCAUUGAAAGAGAGUCUCGAUAAGUACUUUUUAAGAAAUCAGAGACGGAUAAAUGAAGCUAGAGAGAGGGCGGAAUUGCUUGGAAGAGCUGUAUGUUUAUUCAGUUUUCGUUAGAAGUUUUGAACGGAUUCUGUAGUGUUUUUCUUGUCUGGAAACGAGAAUUAGCUUUCCAAUCUGAUGAAUUUCUUUUAUGUUAUAGAAUGGAGAGUCGUCUCAUAUUUUGAGAAUUUUUGACGAGGAGGCGCAAGCAAUGCAGUCAGUACGCAAUUCAUCGAGGAUGUUGCAAGAAUCGUUUGCAACUGGGACAGCCAUUCUUGCCAAAUAUGCAGAACAAAGGGAGCAUCUAAAGGUAUUGACACUUAAGCUCCUUGUUUACAUGCACAGUUGCACACUAGAAAUUUUUGCCAAGCUCACUCAAACUGUGUGCAAACAAAGUUCACUAAACAGGGUCAAAUGAGAAAUUUACAUUCUUGUCAUGGUUGUAUUCUUAACAUGAUUAAAUAUUUAAAUGAGAACAAUGUUAGAUCCUCAAAGCAAUUAUCUUUAAUAUUGAUUUAUACUACUGCUAUAGAAAUUAUAAGUGUUUGCAGCACCUGCACAAAUGGCUGCAGAGAAUUUAGUCUGUCUAUGGUAAUAAUUUUAAAAGCUGGUAACUCCAAAUAUUCAACAGUGGCUGACAAAAACAAUCCUCAAGUUUUAAAGUAAAAGCAAACUUUGCUUUGAAAUAAUCAGUGACAACAAUGACGUGAAAGUGUCACCAACUGUUUAUAUAUAAUAUCUCCAAUAUUCCAGAAUUUAGUUUCAUAAUGGCUGGCAAAGACUUGGUUUUUUUAAGGUUUAAAGUAAAAACGAUCUCUGCUUUGAAAUGUUCAGUGGCAACAGUGAUGUAAAAUGAUCAGCAACUGUUCAUAUCUAGUAUCUCCAAUGUUUAGAAUUUUGUUUAAAAGAUCCGUUCCAUCCAUAAAAAAAUUUCAUUCUGAAUAAGCAACUCAAGAUUACACUUCGCAAGAACACACCAUCUACCAUUUCUCACAAAUUUAAAUGUCACAACCUAUGAUCCAUUACCAAUUGUGAGAAACGGCAGAUUAUUUGUUCUAAUGAAGUGUAAUUUGAGUUGCUUAUUUAAAAUGAAAUUCUUUUAUGGGUAGAAGGGAACUUCUAAACGAAGUUCUAGGAAUCAAAUUAGCUGUUUAGAUUUGAAUAGUUGGUGAUGCUUUGAUGUCACUGUUGCCACUGAUUCUUCUCGAAAAGAAACAGAUUUUUAAAUGGUAUUAUAGAGGUCACAGAAAAAAAAUAGUCAUGCUAUCAUUGAUAGCACUUGCCACUGAUGUUGAUAAUGAGUUUAACUGAUUAACUUCCAUCUUUGGUUCAGAAAGCACAAAGGAAAGCUCUGGAUGUUCUCAACACUGUGGGUCUGUCCAAUUCAGUAUUGAGGCUCAUUGAGAGGAGGAACCGUGUCGAUACAUGGAUCAAAUACGUAGGAAUGGUUUCUACAGUGGUCAUCUUAUAUUUCUUCUGGAGGUGGACUAGGUGAUCCGAUCUUCAUACUUAGCCACGCAUAGAUCAUUAAUCCGCAUACUUUGGAAUGAUUAAGUUUUGUUCUUGAUAUUUGCCCCAUAAGAGGGUUAAUGAGGAUGUACAAGGCAUUCUUUGAUGAGAGACUAUCCUCUUAUGAGGAUGUAUAAAGCAUUCUUUGUUAAGAGACUAACUCGUAUAGGACGGACUCCCAAAGAAGGUUCUUUGCAAUUCUUGAACAUUUAGAGCGAAGUUGACGAAACGUGCUAGUUGUUUUUGUAUUUUGGCAAAAGGGGAAUUACAGAGUUCGAAGAUUCUAAGAAAUGCGCCAAUUUUGUUUUGUUGUCAGAACGCAAAAACGGCCUGAUUGUGGACGGUUAAAUCCGGAAUUAUGUAGUGGAUUUGCAGUUAUUGAAGGGCAUGCUUGGGAAAAUAAUAUGGUCAAAUAAAAUCAAGAACAAUUAUAUUGUAUCUGCUGUUUAUGCGUCCGUACUUGAAGGUGUCCACGUGGCUGGUGUGUGUUUGUUAAACCAGUAAAAUUAAGUAGUGCGAAGUUCUGAUCGCCGCUCAUUGAUUGUUUUUUUUUUUAACUUUAAAUAAACUAUGAGAAAAGGCUUUGAAUGAGUCGCAGAUAAAUUAAAGUUUUUUUUUUCUUCUUCUAAAUUUAUAUCCAAUGGUUCGGCACAUGUUAUUUUCUUUAUUUUUAGUGCACACGGUAAACUAUUGAUAGUAUUUGGUGUAAACUCACUUUCAAAUCGAUGCUUCACGAAAAGUCCAAAUGACGCGCUAUGAAAGUAAUAUAGAUAACUAGGAUAAGUGGAAAUGAUAAACGAAUAAAAUGAAGUAAAAAGAAUUUUUCAUUUUUAAGGGUUACAAAAUAAGAAUAGUUAAUUACUUAAUUAGUUGACUUGCUAAAAAUUUUUCAUGCAAACAAAUGGUCUGGACUGGAAUCCGUUUAAAUGGAUAGGAAGAAAAUUAGAGUGUCGUAAAAGUACUGGAGUUUCAAAUCCCCUCACGUAGUCACAAGGAUUAGAAGAAAAUUGAAUUGUUAGGCAAAAUGAAAAAAAAGAAAAAAGCUUAACAUUUUUAUUUUCUAAAAAAAUGUUUUUCUUAGUUGUUUUGUUUUUUAAUUUUAAAUAUAUUUAAAAUUUUGAAAUUAAUAAAUGACUUUGAAAACUUGAGUGUGCUCGAGCCUCGAGAUCUACUCAAAUUCUUUUACAUUAUUACAUUAUGAAAAAUUGUAUGAUGUCGUGAUUAAACUAUUGUAUCAAUACUAUGAUAAACAUAAAUUUUAGAAAUUAUAUAUAAGACUAGUAAGUGAAAUGUAAAAUAAAUUAAUUAAUAUAAGAGUGGUAAAUAAUGUUUUAAAAUUAUAAACAAAACAAACACUUAUAAAAAUAACAUAAAAAUUAUAAAUCAACAUUAAAUUUUAAUGUAAAAAUAGUUUAUUUAUUUAAUUUAUUCAAGCAAAGAAAAACUUUACUCAUCAAUUGAAAACAAAAAUUUUGUAUUGAAAACAAUGGGAAUAAGUUUUAUUAAUUGAUUUAACCAUGAAUUUUAUAUUCAUGUCAGGAUAUUUAUAAACUGUUUUUUUUUUUCAUUUUCUAUCAUAGUAUUUGUUUACUAUACAAGUUGAUUAAGUAAACUUAUUAUUAUUAUUAGUAUUAUUAUUAUUAUUUAUGUGGAUCAAGCCAAAACAAAAUAAAAAUACAUUUGAAUAUUACUAGACAUAUAUGGAAUAUUAAUACAAUUGAAUCUAACUUUCAGUUUUAUACAUAAUUCAUCUAGUUUCAAAUUUUACUUCUUAUACUAAAAGAUCAUUUGAGGUUGCUAUCGAGGAGGUUUAAAAUGAUGCAAAAUCACUUAUAUCACAAAUAAAAUAUGAAAAAAAAUUUCUAAAAUUUGAUUUUGAGAGUAAGUUUUAUCCUUAAUAAAAUUCCACAUAUAUUAUCACGUCUAUUACAUAACCACAGAAUUAUCAUUAUUUGAUUUAGAAAUAAAAAUAGUAAAUAUAUAAUGUAAUCAUUAUUAUAGUGAGUUUUUAUUUAUUUUUUCAAUAACUCUUAUAAUAUUUACUUAUUUUACAUUCAUUUACAACUCUUCUAUUUUACUUUUAUAAUUUAUAUGUUAUUUUACACUUAAUGUUGAUGUACAAGUUUUAUAUCACAUUUGUAAACAAGUUUUACUUUAUAUUUACAUGUAUUAUGUUUUAUUUACUUAAUUCAUGUUUUAUUUUAUACUUAAUGUUGAUUUACAAGUUUUAUAUUAUAUUGAUAUAAGUUUUUAUUUUAUUUACUAAUGAUAUAUCAACUUACCACUGUUAAUUUACUUAUUUUACCUUCAAUUUGCAAGUCUUGUGUUUCAUUUACAUAAUUUAUUAUGUUUUAUUUUACGUUUAAUGUUGAUUUACAAGUUUUAUGUUAAAUUUACACCUCUUAUAUUUUAUUUACACAAUUUAUGUUCAAUUAUAGUAUAUUAUAGAAUGACUCAUUUGACAUUACAAUACAAAAUUAUAAACAUAAAUAGAUGUAUCAAAAAGUCUUGUCGAAAAAUGAAUCCACCUUAAUACGGACCUGUCUCAUUGUUUUAUAAUUAAAGUUGCACACUCUUACAAUGAACUUGAAGAAAUUGAAUUCUCAACAUCAAUAAUGAGGUGUCUAUUACUAAUAAUAGUUUAUAAAAAAAAUAAAAAAAAUAAAGAAAUAUGAUUAAAUUGAUCAAUGUAAUUUUAUUAAAAAAAAGAAGCAUUUUUAUUACAAAAGCAAUCUCAAAAUAUAUAUUUUUUGUAGUUACAAAAAAUCAUGACCUAGUGGCGACCUAGUGGCGACCUGGUGGGCGUAUAUACAAAAAUCAUAAUAUUUUUAUACUGAUUACAUAAAUUCGGUGAUCACAGACCACAGUAAAACCCUGAAACCGCCCAACGGGGUUCUUUACCAGAGGAAAAAAGGGAGGAAAGAAAAUGACUUUUUAAUAUAACGGCACGGGUUUAAGCCAAAAACGGUGGAAUCAAAUCAUUGACACGUUCGUGCGAUGCCUUCACUCCUCAGGCAAACCAGACUCCCGCAUGUGAAUGCCACGUGAACGUAGCUUCUUCACAUAAUUUUUACCCCAAUGUCCAAAUUACCCCUUAUCUUUUACUCCUUUUUUUUUCUUUUUAACUUUGCCCGAUUUUGAAGUCUAUUACGUAUUGCGGACUGCUGCCCUCGCUUGACGUGUUUUUUCUCCUUUUUUUUUUUUUUCCCUCUCCAAACUAUUCUUUUCAAUUUUAACUAAAUAAUUUUUUUUUUUAUUACGAACAUCAACUUAAAAUUUAGGUUAGUUAGACACUUCCCCACUUCAUCCUUAAAGUCAAGUAUUCAUAUCUAUCUGUCUAUGGUGAAUAAUUUUUUUUAUUUUUUAAACUACGAACAAGUUAUCUUUUUUUUUUUUCUUUUCCAAUAUCACUAUUUAUCCACUUUUAGUUUAAUUCUUUCUGCCUAAGAUGAUCAAUUUAAAUUAAAAAUGGGAUUUUGAAAUUAUUUACUAAAAAUCAUGAUUGUUCUUUUGACGUAUUUGAAUAAAGUUUAUUUGGAAAAAUUAAUGUAAAAAAAAAAAAUGUUGGAAGAUUACGACAAUGGAAAUGUAGUCUCUGGUGAAAUGCUCUGAUUCAAUCAAUCAUCAGCAAAUGCGGUUCGCACGUUGGCAAUGGAACUCGUGAUAGCACAACCGUGAAAUGUCCUUCAUUUGGGAGUCCACGUUAAUCACAUGUGGGUCCAUCUUGAGUGCUUUUGUGCUUUACAAUUAAAAUAGACAGACAGGCUGAUGACCUGACAAUUUCGAGCCUGAUAAAGCCCCUUCAUCAACUUGAUCAGAAGGACAGGACAGCUAUUAAUAGAAAAAAGCAGCAGACUAGUACUAAUCGAGAAGUCAAACAGAUAAAAACUAAAACUAAAUAAUCUAAUCUCCUCCUAAUUCACUAAAUUAUUUUAUUUCUAUUGGUAUAAUUAAUUAAUUGAUUGAUUAAUCAAACAUGCCUUCACAAUUAAAUAGUUUCAACAGUGUAAGUUGAACCACGUGUCAAGCAAAAGCAACCAUCAUUUAUUAUAAUUUUUUUUUAUUUUUUUCGAAAAAGGAAAAAUCAAAAAACAAGGCAAGUUGAUGCCAACAGGAUCUGAUCCGGAAGGGUAACCGAGUCAUUUCGCCGUCAUGCAUGCCUCAAUCCGGAUUGCCUGCCCGCCCCCACGUUGGAAAACCAGGGACGCAUCGAUAAGCAGUUUCAACACCCAAAACACAAACUUGGGGGCGGGAAUUGCAAAACGAAAUAACAGCUUUUGCUUUUGCUUUAAUUUUUUUCCGUUUGUUUUCUUAAAAAGAAAGAAAAAAAAAAAUACUCCCAGUUCCACAAUAGAGCCCCUGGUUUUGCCUAUUUCUUUAAUCCUUUUACGCAGACUCAUGAUAAAUAUCUCCAUCUAUCAGUCAGUCCAUACGGUUUCCUUUCAUCACCAACCCCACCAACGAAAACAAAAAAAACAAAACAAACCCCCUCUUCAGAAAUAUAAUUAUAAUUUUCUUUUUCUAUUGAAUUAAGCUUGUUGGGUAUAAUUUGCUAAUUAAUCAAAGAUCGAUCUAUGACGACGGAAGCGGUCAGCAAGGUUGGAUAUGCGCAUAGUAAGGUUGCUAUGAAGAAGAAGAGCGGUUAUCGAGGUCGAUGCAGGAGAAGAAAUCACGACAGAUAUGCACCCGAUAAUAAAACGGUGCCGAUGGCGCUGCAGCGUCUGUUUCUUUCUUGCAAAGACGUCUUCAGAGGCCCUGGAACCGUUCCCGCUCCUUCUCAUGUCCAAAUGUUGUGCUCUAUUCUUGGUAAGUGUUUUUUUUCUUACACUUCAUCAUUUCUGGUCCAAUUUUCUUGUUUUUCAUUUGGCCGCUGCACUCGCAUGACGUGUAUGUUGUGAAAUCUGAACCCAUCAUCAUCCUUCAUCCAUGCACAUAUAUAUUAUCAGUCAUGAGAAAUUUUGAAUCAGCCAUUAAAAAAAGAAAAAAAAAAAGAAAAGGAAAGAUUCAAUAUUAUCAAAUCAAUACCAUUUUGUUUCAUGAGAUGAUCUAUGAAAGAUGGGAAAGGAGCACUGCUCCUUAUUUCAUUUCCUGUCACGUCUGUGUUUCAAUCAAUUGUAAUAAUACAUAUAGCCACGUAAAAAGCAAGGGGCAAUACUCUUUACAGCACGAAAACCUUCUCAAAAAAGGGGCUUUACUUUAUUGGCAGUAAUGAAUUGUUUUGAGCAAUUCAAUUCAUCAGUGCACUUAUCAUGUUUACGUAGUUUGUCAAUUUGGUUCCAGUUUUUGGUUCUUUUUAUUGGAUUCAGUGCCGAAAUGUCAUGUGUGUUCAUAGGACGUACUGGGAAAAGGAUUAGAAAUCUGUACUGAAUUUUUUUAAAUUUUGGGGGGGGGUUUUUUUUUGGGGUGGAUGGGGUUAUGGAUCUAAGUGGAUGGUACCAAUUUUCAAAAAUGUAGUUUAAUUAACUUUCCAGUUGAAAUUACAAAACCAAACCAUCCGAAAUGGAUUCUUCGAGAAAAGGUGGGUUCAGAAAACAAAGUGGUUGCUUCUAGGUGAAUCCAGAUUUUUUUCACGCGGACACAUGGUACCUUUUGGUUGAUUACCCAGCCACAGUGUUGCUUGAGGGGACAAAAAUAUCAUAUUUGUUUUUUUUUUUUUUUCCAAAUUCCUUUUUAAUUCGUAACUCAAUCUCAUGGGAUCCUACUCAGCAGCCAUUGUGAUUAUUUUUUUUACCUGACGACGCAAAAAUCUUUGCAUUAGAAAGGAUACAUAAGCACAUUUGCCUACUGUUGCUACGUGUACAUGUGCAAUGGUUUGGUUGCAAAACUGGAAGCAUUGGCACAUUAUAUAUAUGUGUGUUUUUUUUUUUUUAAUAUGUAUAAAUGCAUGGAUCAUGACACUUGGCUAAGUUAAAAUUUCCAUUUUCUCGUUAUCAUAAAGAUUGCCAGUGACUCAAACAAGCUUUUCUUUUUAAAUUUAUGAUGCUACAGAUGAAAUGAAGCCAGAGGAUGUUGGGCUUAGCAGUAAGUUACAGUUACUUAGUGCCAAAGAUGCAAUGAAAGGGACGCCAAUUGUCACAUCCACUACAAUAUACAAAUGCCAGAACUUUUCGGUAAAGACAUAAGCUAUUCAUAUUGGGCUAAAUUAAAUUCUUUUAUUAUCGUAUACUAAUUUGUAAACCAUACUAAUUAAUAGUGCAAAUUUGAUUUAGAACUUGAUAGAUUACCUUUUGGAUUCUCUUUUGUGCAGUUGUGUCUUUUCUUUCUUCCUCCAACUGCUGUGAUCCCCUUGCACAACCAUCCGGGAAUGACUGUUUUUAGCAAGCUUUUGCUCGGGACAAUGCACAUAAAAUCGUACGAUUGGGUCGAUCCUGUUGACGCAAACGAUUCUGCAGCCCCCACAAAACGUGAGUACCGCUUACCUUAUACAUAUAUGUCCAUGUAUAAUGCACACACGAACACACACACACACACACUCACAUAUCAAAACAACACGAUAACUUGAAUGUGCUAGCUCGGACUAGGAUGAUCAUUUGUGACUGAAAGUGAUGAUUUAAUUAAUUUGCAGCGCGAUUGGCGAAGUUGAUAGCCGACAGUGAUUUCACAGCACCUUGCAACACUUCUGUGCUAUAUCCAACAACAGGAGGCAAUAUCCAUGAAUUCACAGCCAUUACGACAUGUGCCGUGCUCGAUGUGCUUGGACCUCCCUACUCUAAGGACGAUGGUCGGGACUGCUCAUAUUACAAGGAGUUGCCACUUCCCGCGGUUCCAAGUAAGCGAAACAAAACCACUUGUUACUGAUUAAAAACAACCUCGUUUAAACCUCCUCGAGUAGCGCUUUCAGAGGUCUUACCAAUUAAACCCACCGAUUUUGUUAAUGCAGAUGGAGAGAAUCAGGAGGCAAAAGAGGAUGAUGGUGGUGAGAGUUGUAGGUGGUUGGAAGAGAUUGGGGUGCCAGAGAACUCACACAUGGAUGAAAUUGAGUACUUGGGACCGCAGAUAAUUGAGUAGUAGCUGUAACUAGCUUCAGCCCACAGUCGCGUGAUAAAAAAAAAUUUCAACGCAUUAUCUUCUUUUGUUUCAUAGCUAGUCAAUGGUUUUGUAUUUAUAUAUACACAUAUAUUACGUUGUUUCCUGACCUGAGUUUUCACUAUGUUAAUAGCAAAAUUUCAUUUCUUUUUCUUUUUUCUCUUUAAUCCCGGUAUCUUCUUUAAUAACUUGAUUACUUGAGUACACUGUACCAUUGAAAUCAUGGUUCAUGCCAUAGUUCCCUUAGAGGAAGGUCCAAACCCGGCUUAGGAGAAAUGGAGGUUUGGGCUGUCGAGGGCCUUGGUGUUGCUAUGUUCCCAAGAGAUGUUUACUUGGGCUGUCGAGCGCGCCGAGAAGUGCUUAAUAUUACAUCAAUGGGCCGGGCUUGUAACCGACUACUACACAUUCCCAUGGCGGCAAUCCUGAUCAGUAAUUAACUUGGGAUUUUGCAUUCAAUGAUUGCCACAAUAAUAUCAGCAAACUUUUCAGAAGAACCUUAAUUGAUAAUUGUCAUUUUGCAAUCAUAGGUUAGUUGAUGGAUAUACCAUGGGCCCUGAAAAUUAAUUAAAAUAUCAAACAUUGUAUGCUCCUAGGUUGGAAAUUUUUCAAAAUUUUCAAUAGAAAAAUAACCUCAAAAUCAAUAUUUUACAUGUGAAGAUCUGUUUCAUUAACAAGCGCGAUGGGCCAAACGGAGGGAGCCAGGAAUUUUAAGCUGUUCAUAUUUGACGCCCUAAUUUGGGAUUUGCUAAUACGGAAAAACUUUGAGCUGCUCACUAAUUUAUAUCUUGACUUCGAGAAUCUGCGCAAUUACUAAUUAGUAGCCAUCAAUAAUUGUCAAAAAUCAAUUUUGAAUUUCGAUAUUUUUGAAUGCAUUGGUGUUACGUGUUUCUCCAUACGCGUUAGUAAAUUUGAGAUGGUGUAAAU